This 107750-nucleotide long non-coding RNA is filed under the name Citrus maxima (pomelo). RNAcentral describes it as "long non-coding RNA (CMAX_LNC002758)". The record is from RNAcentral. Lineage: Eukaryota; Viridiplantae; Streptophyta; Magnoliopsida; Sapindales; Rutaceae.
UUUUUUUUUUUUUUUAUUACAUGAGACUAUUGCUCAGAUUACAACUCAUAUACAUGAGACUAUUACUGAUAUUUACAAAUCAGACUAUUACUGGGACCAACUGACAUCAAUGCUAAUGGAGCUCUGCCCAGAUUUUAACCCUCACAAAUAUUCGAGGGAUGUCUACUCCUCACUCAUGGGUAAGGGAGAAGACUACCUCACUCAAAUUAAUUGAGUGAGAAAAUCAGUUUAAUUCUUAGAGUUUUCAAAGCAUUAGACUUAUGUGAUCAAUCCAACGAUUUAAAACAGUUUGCUGUUAGUUACAGCAGAUGUAACUUAGCUGGACCCUGUUUCAAAGCUUUUAUUUUGCUCAGAUUUCCCGCUCUCUCAAUCUCUCUCCCCUAACGGUAGCCAGUUUUAAAUUAAAAAUAAAAGAUAAAAAAUUCACUCUCAUUUCGAUUUCUCCCAUAAGGGUUUCUCAAAUCAAAAUGAAACCAAAUCACAAUAUCAAGAAACCAGACUCGUCUUCAAAGGUACGUCACAGUUUUCCAGUUUCUGUUUUCCAAUUCAAAGACCUAAUUUCAAAUUUUUUUAAUCAAAUAAAUAUUUCUAUUCAAAAUUUCGGAGCUCACUUUUGUUUUUAAAAUUAGCAGCUGAGUUUAGAAGAGAUAAUUGGAUUGAAUACGAGGAACUGCAAUGGGUUGGCUUCGAAUACUUCAACCGCGAAGUGCGCUUACGUGGCCGGAUGUGUUUUGGUGGUUUACGAUGUGGAUUCGAGCACUCAAUCGCACCUCAUGGUGUCUCAUCGAAUGCCUAAGCCUCUCUGCUGCGUUGCCAUGUCACGCGAUGGCCGUUAUGUAGCUGCUGGAGAGGUAUUGCAUCAAUUUGACAACAAAAUGUGCAAUUAACCUCUUAAUUCUUCAAUUCAAAAAAUAAAAAAUCUAUUGAUUGUUGUAUUUAUUUAUGAAUUUCUCAAAACAAGGCCAUUCAAAUUUUAGAAAAUGCUGAUUUCUUCAUGAUUGUUGGCAAUUCAGCUCAAAAUUGCUUAAAUUCAAUUCUCACCUCCUAAGGACCUUGUACAAUUUCAAAUGUGCGCAAAGAAUUACAAAAAGAUAUGAAGUUGUGAAUUUGAAUGCAUUGAUUAAUCGAUUCAUUAGUGAGGGGUUGGACCAAUUGUUGGUUGCAGCAAUUAAGUUGUGGUCCAUAUUUUGAAAGAUGCCAAGUUCACAAGAGGGAACUGUAGAUAUUGAGAAUUAUAUUUAUGUAUUUUGUAAGGGUUGGAAAUAGUAUUUGGGUUAUUUUUACGUAUAAUAGUAGCUAUAUGCAUCUUUUAUGAUCUUGCAGUCAGGGCCGCAACCUGCAGUUUUAGUUUGGGACUGUGCAAAUCUGGCCUUUAUUUCUGAAUUGAAAGGCCAUUUGUAUGGAGUUGAGUGCAUUGCUUUCUCACCAGAUGGUUAGUUACAAACUUACAAUCAUUCAAUUAGAAGAGCUAUAUUUUGACUUUAUCUAUUUAUAUGAGUUGAUAUUUUCAUGCAAUGUUUAUUUUCAUAAAGUUUAUGCAUUGAUUAUUUGACCAUUCAUCCAUAUUUUGCUAAUGUUUUACUUCAAGGAGAACAUCUGGUGACUGUUGGGGGUUAUAUUUACCUUUGGAAUUGGCGGAGUGCAAUGUUGGUUACGAAGCUUAAAGCAAAUUCAUCUUGUUCUGCCAUUACUUCUGCGUGUUUCUCAUCAGAUGCAAAAUUCAUUGUUACUGCUGGAAAGAAGCACUUGAAGUUCUGGACAAUUGGAUCGUCUGCGACUGCAAGGACCCGUUUAAACAAAGGCACAGAAUCUUUAACACUGCAUGCGAAGCCAGUCAAUCUAGGCAUUCAGAAAGAAAGUUAUUUUGUCUCUGUCAUAUCUGCCACCUGGACUGAUAAUGGUGUUGUAAAUCAAGAACAGGCUGGAGAAAGUUUCACCAUAUAUGCACUGACUGAUGCAGGUUAAUGUUUGCUUUAAGAACAACUGAAGAAGUUCAAUGCAUUGGAGUUAUUGAAGUGCGGUUAAUGAGUGCCAUUCUGCUCCUUAUGAUUACAGGCAUUUUGUAUAUUGUACAUUCUGGGCUUUCAGUAACAAAGUCAGUGGAUUUGAAGGUAAAUUUGGCUCUUUUUUUUCUUUUUCCUCAUUUUCUUUAAUAGUAGGUUUUCAGCUAACCUAGUUGCCCGGCAAAAGUAAAUAGAGGGUCAACAGCUGAAAGAUGCUACUGAUUUUGAUGGACCAAUUAAAGAAAGGAAAAUCCCUUUACUUUCCCCAAGGUUCAAUCCCAUAAUGACAAUGCUAAAGGUUGGGCUGGUGUUGUCAGGUUUUGAAAUGCUUCAGCUUGGUUAAUUUUAAUUUUCAUGAUAGCAUCUAUCUCCUGAAAAACUGAAAUGGAUAUCAAUAAGUACCAGAUCCAUAAGUUGCUUCCAUUGAGGCAAGAUAAACUAGCACAGAAGUAUUGUUGCAAGUUGAAUAAGCUCAUAUCAAGCCAUGAAUGUCUACUAUGCACUGAAUUUUAUUGCUUAAAAGUUAAUACUUGUAUGAAAGUCAUUUUUAUUAUAUUACUUUUCUAAUAUUACCUGUUUAUAUUUUACAGUACUCCUAACUCUAUUUUCAGGUUAAAAACGGAUUUGCACUCUCUGCAUCCAGCAAGUUAAUAGCUUGUGCUUGCAGCAAUGGAGCGGUACACCUUUUUGACAUUCAGUCUCUUAAACAUGCUGGAACACUUCACUAUUCAGAGGCCAAAAAGUGCAAUGGAGAAAAUGAUACGGUUUCUACUGCUAAAGCAACUGAAUUGUAUUUUAAACUAACCCCUACUAUUCCCAAUGCAAUUGCUUGUCAGUUCUCAACAUCAGAAAAGCUUGGUGAGCACGUAACUAUACAAUUGCCUUGAUAAGUGGAUUUCCCCGUUGUUCGAAUCUUGAACUUAUCAAUGCUUCUGCUUUUCAGUGGUUGUUUAUGGUGAUCAUAGUCUCUAUGUAUGGGACAUUCAUGAUGUGAAUGAGGUAGUUGCUUAGAGUAAGAAUUAAUGCUUUUCUCUUAUAACUUAUUAUUUGAUUCAUAAAGUUGCCUAUAUUUGUUUCUUGUUUUUGUUUUUUAGUAUUGGUUGCUGCUUCAAUCUCCACUCUAUUGAAUGUUUUAAAAUUUUUCAAGGCUACAAGGUGUUGUGUGCUAGUGUCCCAUUCCGCGUGCAUAUGGGAUAUCAAGAAUCUUGGCUGUGAAAACAUGCACGAUCCAUCCGUUUCAUGUGUUGCUAGGGGAUGUACUGGUGGAGUUUCUUUCUCGACAUGCUCAGCUGAUGGAACUAUCAGGUUAUGGGAUCUGGCCCUGCAAUCUGAGUUGUCAAAGGAUGUCUUGGGUCAUGAAUCUCUGAAUAUUGAACCCAUGAGCACUGCACAUUUAGGUAAUUACCACAUUCUGAGGCACUGACAAACAAAUCCACAAGGAUACAACUGUACCUAUGUGCACUUUUUAAAACUCUGCAAAAUGUUUAUUUAUUGAUAUUUUACAGAAUUUAUACAAACUUCCUUUUCCCUAUUGAUAUUCUCAUCCAUUUUGUCACUGCAGUUAGUGCUGGGAUUUUUGAACGUAAUACUAUGGAGACAAGUGUGAGCACUCAAGGGUACCGGUCGAUGGCAGUUAGCUCAGAGGGGAAGUACCUUGCUGCUGGUGAUUUUGAUGGAAACCUUCACAUCUAUGACUUAAAAUCUUCUGAUUAUACAUAUAUUGAGGUGAACCUUAGCAUAGACAUUUAUCUUCAAAAUCAUUUCCUGAAGAAACAAUCAAUUUGAAGCACAAAACUAAGCUCUUUUCAAAUGAUUGGUGAUGAAAUGAUGGUCAUCUUAAUAUGAAUAAUAUGAACUAUUUUGCAGGAUGCCCAUGAUGCAGAGAUCCUUUCAUUGAGUUUCAGUUUGUCAAGCAAGAAAGAUGAUGUUUUAGAAGAAGUCACCGAUAGCCAUUACUUCCUUGCUUCUGGGGGAAGGGAUCGAACAAUCCAUCUAUAUGAUGUUAAAAGGUUUAGCUUCUUAUAUUGUACACUUCUUUAGCUUAUUGAAUGUGUAUACUAACUAGGCUUCCCUUAUAUCAGGAAUUUUGAUCUCAUUGAAAGUAUUGAUGACCAUUCAGCAGCGGUGACUGCAGUGAAAUUUACUUGUAAUGGCCGUAAGAUUCUGAGUUGUAGUGCUGAUAGGUAUGCUGCUAUAACUUCAAUUUUCAUUGCAUCACAAAUCUAUCAAAUCUUAAGUCGAAGGAGCGUUUGGUAAUAGUUAGGAAAGGAAAUCAAUUCUUCACUAUUAAUAUUUCACUUCAAACAAGUUGUCAUUUGGCUUUUGAAAUAGUAGUAUCUGUUGCAUCUAUCUGAUCAUUUUUAAAAAAAUCAAAGAUUGUUGGAAUUCACCUUUUAUUUCAUAUUUGGUGACAACGAUCCUUUUGUUGUAAAGGAACUUAUGAUGUCAUUCUGACAUGGGUUUGUGCUUCAACUAGCCAUUUGUAAAUUUAAUUACCUAGAAGGAUCCAGAUGCCUAUGUUUGUAGAUAAGAUUAUUAUUCUUUCAUCCAGGUCUCUUGUCUUUCGUGAUGUUGUCGAAACCAAUAGUGCUUAUAAGAUUUCACGCCGUCAUCAACAAUUGGCAUCUCAGGGAACUGUAUAUGACAUGGAUAUAGACCCAACAAUGGAGGUUGUCAUUACUGUUGGGCAGGUAAAUGGUGUGUUAAUAGCAAUUCAAGAGUAAAUAAAUUUUCAUUAAUGAUGCUUUGGAAUGGCUUCUACUAUCAACAUGUAAUGCAACCAGCCAAACUGGUCUUUGAAUGAGUGUCAAGUACACAAAAAUCUUUGGUUAGCUGGCUGAAUAAUUUGAUUAGCAAAUUCCCUUGGAUUCUUGUGAUUUGGGUUCAAGAGUUUGAUUAUUUAAUUACUCAUUGGUAUACUCAUAGGAUAAGAAGAUAAACUCAUUCAGCAUUGCCGCUGGAAAACUUAUUAGAUCAUUCAAGCAAGCUAAAGACUUUGGAGAUCCCAUGAAGGUGAGCUACAUUGACAACCAGCAGUGUUGCACCAUUAUGUUGUUGGGUUGUGACCUGAUAAUUUUUACAGGUGACAGUGGACCCAAGUGGCAGUUACCUGGUUUGCUCCUACUCAAACAAGUCUAUCUGCUUGUAUGACUUCAUUAGCGGUGAGAUGGUUGCAAAAGCCAUGGGCCAUGGUGAAGUUAUAACUGGUGUCACCUUCCUACCUGAUUGCAAGCACAUUGUUUCUGUAAGUUCCUGUUAUGAUCAAGUUUCAAUUUUAAUAGACAAUGAUAUGAAAUAUCUUUCAAAUUGCUUUGUAUCCCACAAAUAAUAAUACCUUUCAUUUUUUAUUAUUGGAUAGAAUCCUAACUUUAUUGAUGUAUUCAGGUAGGGGGUGAUGGUUGUAUUUUUUUAUGGAAAGUUCCUGCUCAUGUGGCUUCUAGGAUAGUGCAGAGAGUGAAGGAAAAGUAUGGUAUUUUGCCCCCAAGAAACUUUGCCCAGCCAGCAGCUUUAAGUCAAAUCAUCUUCUGUGAAGAGGAAGAUCAGAAAUGUAGAAUGGACUCAGUCGAUAUGUCAUUUAAGAAGGAUCUCGACCAAAUUGGACCUCAUCUGCACUAUCAUGGUGUGAAACCUCAUCUGACCUCAGCAUUCAAAUUUAGCAUUUCAAGACUUCCAAAGUGGGCACAAAAGAAAGUAACAGACUCCGAAAUUGUCCCUGGGAAUCUUGAUUUCAGUUUGUCCCAGGUAAUUUAUUUUCAGGCUCUUCACAUAUGAAAUUUGCAUUCUGAUGUCUGAGAAAACUAAGUUACAAUUUCACAUUCUGUUGGAAAAUUGUACUCUAGUAGGAACCUUUUUCAUACCUUAUUGCACUUUUUUCAAUUUGACAAGUUUCUUAAUAGUUCUGAAUUUCUUUCAUUUUGAAUAUCUCCACUGCUGCUUGGGGCAAGCAGGAAGUAGAAAAAAAGUCUUUGUCGCCUUUUGUUGGUGAUGUUGGGGGUUAUUCUCCUGAGAGUCAAGAAGUUCAAAUUCCAUCUAAUCAUGAUUUGGAAGACAGCAAUUCAUGCACCAGUUGUUUUUCCACAAGUUUUUCAGACGCUAAAAAGAGCCAAAGUUCACCGUUGCCACAGGAGACCGUCAGGUUAGCAUUUAUUAUAUUUGUCAAUAAUAUCCUUGUUCUUCUUAUUUAUGGUGGGUGCUCUAUUAACUAAUGGUUUUCAUAUGCACUUCAGCAGCUUUGCCCUUGGCAAACGUUGGCUCAGAGUGUAUACUGUAUGUAUGGACUUAUUAAAUUCCCCAGAGGUGCUGAGUUUAAAAUAUGGGAAGAGGCCACCGCUAUCCUCAAGUUUGUGUAAGGCCAACUCUGUUUGUUAUCAGAUUCUUGUUGAGUUUCUUUUGUAAUAAGCAUAUAUGAAAAAAAUGACAAUAAAUUUUGAGAAUAAGGUUAUUAUCUUGGUAUGAUUUUCAUGGAGGAUGAGUAGAGGACAAAAAUAAAGAUUACUGAUAUCAAUAGUUAACUGGCCAGAGAGAAUGACCUCUUCUUCUCCUCAUUUCCAAAUUGCAAUACUAUAGCACAUGAAUCAUCAUUUUGGAAUUUCAUUGAGAUGAACACUUACUGUGUCACCAAAGUUGAGAACUUAUCCAUGAGAUGGCUAUUAUUAGCUUUUUUUUUUUAGCUACAAUUCAUGAUAAUUUCUUGAUAGAGAUACAUUUUUCAUCCUAACUAGUAACUGAAAGGAACUCAAUAUCCCUAAUGAAAUGCCAAGCAUGCCAAGCAUCUAUCUUUGGGACAUAUGUUUGCUACUUCUGUCCCAGUAUUAUGUUUCUCCUUUUUCUAAUGAUAUCAUUUUCGUGCAGCUAAAAGCCCAAUAAACAUUCUGAGUGAUGAUUUGCAUGGUGCCAAUGGACAGGGUGCCACUAAAAACCAACAUGCCAAUCCCAAUGACAUCAGCAUUCUUGGCAAGAAAAAUUAUCAAUUUGACAUGAAAAAUCUGAGUGCAAUUAAUGAGACAAUGGCUGACUUGGCAGGACAAUCGUGUUCAGAAAAGAGUGAGAUGCAAGAAAAUAUAGAUGUUAACACAUGCCUCAAAAAUUCUGAAGAUAGUGAUUUGUUCAAGCAGCAUUUUGGCAGUUUAUCCGCAACAAAUAUGGUGAGUGCUGUUUCAUGCUACAGUGUAUAUAAUUUCCUGGGCCUUUUUUCGGCCAUCAAAUUGUGAUUUCUGUCAAUGCAGUUUUAUACGUUUAUGUACACGAAAAGAAACAAAAUUUCUGAUAGACCCCUAGUAUGUUUGAUAUGAGGUUUUGUUGAGUGUUGUAUGAAAGUUACUUAUGCUUACAGGUAAAGAAUAGGGCAUCAGCAGUGGGAAGAAGAUUCUCCUCACAAUAUGUCGUACAUAGGGACUAUGGUCGGGGCUCCAAGAGACUCUUUGACACACCUGUCCAAAAUUCUGGCCUCAGUUCUUCGAAUUGUGCAGAAAAAUCUGGCUCCCAUGUCAAAUCAGAGAAUCACACAUGGCCAAUGAUAGAUUCUUUUGGACAGGUUAGUCUCUAUCCAUGUUUUACAAACUCUGGUGACCUUUUGUAAACAAAAGUACUAAAACAAUAUUCUUGGAAAAGCAAAAAUAGAAGCACAGUUUAAUUCAGUUGAUAGUUACCAUUGAGAUUGAACUCCUGAAGCAUGGUAUCUUUUGGCAUUUCGUGCGCAUAGUCUUUUACAAUGAACUGUACUUUCUUUUUAGCUUCCUAUUUCAUUGUGCACAUAUACAUCUGAUCAUUUACACAGCGUAAGUAGAUAUAUCAUAUUGUUUUAAAGAACCAUGUGAUAUCCUUUGUAAGAGAACACCAUGCAGUAGAUUAUAUAUUUUUCCCUUUGAAUGUUCUUUCCAGGACCCGAAGAACCUUAAUCAAAGCUUGUUUAGCCCAGAUCAUGCACUCUGUCAAGACGAUAUAACUAAAUGCCUACUCAAGGGAAAUUCUAUGGACAUUGAAUUAGCGGAAGCAACAUUUCCGGUAAGGAAUGAAGUUCUGGAAAGAAUAACUGAAUGCAAGAAAGCUUUAGUUAAUCUUGAAGCUGCAGCUAAAAGUGUAGACCAGUUAUUUUCAAAAUUAGACACUCAGCUUUCUGGAGAAGAGAUCUCUACUGGGCCUGGAGCUCAGUUAUACAACAAAGCAGCCGAACUGCUUCCAUCAAUUGCAGAGAAAGUAAAUGCAGUAGCCAAACAAGUGCGAAAUAGAAACAAUGAUGUAUCUGAGAGAAGUGGAAUUGAAGUGUCGAGAUUUGAACCUUUGUUAGGAACAUUGGCUGAAAGUUUAUCUCAGAAAGUUGUGGAGAUCCUGAAGAACAACCUCAGCAAUGCUUAACUUUUAAAAUUUAGAUCAUAUUAAAUGUAUCAUGAAAUAACAUCAUUGAAUUCGUGAAAAAUAAUGACAGGCUUACUAAGUUGGGAUGCAAAGUCUGUAUGGCAAAUGAUGUGGCACUAUUAAUAUGUAGUUGAGCCUAUCAUUCUCAUAGAAAUUCUAUUAGUGCUACAUUAAGUGGAGAUGCAAACUUUGUAUACUUUAUAAUGUAUCACUAGUGUAAAUAAUCAAUCACACCCAUGCUGCCCAUUGUUUUGCAGUUUUGCUUCAACAUUCGUUCUGCAGAAGUUGCAGGUUGUAUUGUAGAGCCCAGCCCAAAAACCAGCUUCAAUAGUUGGCUACUUGGCUCUUUCAUAGGCCCUAAGAAUAUUCGUAAGUCGCUCAUUUAUGUGGUGUAAUGAGUAGCCAUUGAUCUUUUGAGCACUGAAAUCAACAAAGUUGGGCUCCAUGGCUUAGAAAAAUCGCUCAGAAAGGAGGAAAAACAUUGGAUCUUUCUUGUGUGAAAACUCUCUUUUUUCUUUACAAUUCAUGUGGGUCUUUCUCUCUCCUUCCCUCUUUCUUUGCAGUUUGCACUUUAACAACAAAAAGAAAGUGGGCAAAAGAGAGCAAAGACCAUCUUUUCCUUUUCAAAUCGCUUCACAUUUGAAAGCCAAUUCUACUGAUGAUUUUCAUGCAGUUUCCAAUAUAAAAACUAUAGGGUAAGCUUCCUUUAAUUGUAAAUUUCAAGGCGUGUCAGUGAAUAAAUAUUGCUUGCUGCGGCAGCUGCUCUCUUCCUAUAUCACUUAUAUAAAUAAAUCAAACCAAAGAUACGGUUGGAAUAUUUAUGUAAAUGUCUAAGAAUGUAUGCCGAGUAAUUAUCCUUUUUUAUGCUUUUGUCUUGCUUUAGUAACAUGCCAAACUCUAAAUUCUUCCUUGGGAUUCCAAUUCCAUCACUCUAUAACUCAUAUUAUUAUAACAUGUAUAGUUCUCCUUUGAGGCUAUGAUUUUAGGCAUUGCCACGUAGAAUUUUAGUGGCAGAAAUUGCCUUAUGAUAGACCUAUAAGUGGCUUAAUUCCCAAAAUCAGACUAAUCAAGACCGGUUUUAUAGGUUCCAUGAGCAGACUUUUAUGAACUGUGGUGCCAUAACUAGAAACCCAUAAACAAUUAGCAGAAUACAUUCAUCAAUCUGCUUCUUAGAUCUUCUUAUCUCUUAUGACUGAAUGACACAUUUUAAUCAAAAUAUGCUUUGUCACAUGAGGGGGCAAAAUGAGAAUAAAAUUUGUGCAUAGGUAUGUUGGGUCCAAAUUGGAGGCUUUGUUUAAAAUGGGUUAUAUAACUCAAUAUAUGAAAAAAAAAAUGGGGCGGGGGGAAAUCAAAAGCCUCUGCUCUGUAUGUGCUGUACAUGAACGUGGGGACAAGGCCUUCAAUUAGUUGUCCUCUUUUUAAUUUUCUGUAAUGAUGAAUGCUGCUUUUUCACUUUUGUAAACAGUAAUCAGGCAUGAAUUUUUCCUCUUGAAUUUUCCGUUUAGAUUAUUCUCCUAGAAGAUGAAAGAAACCAAUCCAGUUGUUGUGUCUCAAGGAGAAUAUAACUUUUAUUUAUCAAUAUGGGUUGUGUAAUUAUGGACAAUAAUGAUCUUGGUGUAUGAUAAUAAGACACCAUUAUUUGACAUAAUAACUUAUGGCGAAAUUUGUGGAAUCUAAUGGAUUCGCAUGUUUAUCUUUGCAUUAUUUUGAUUACUCUCGCCAUGAGCUGUUUUAGUUUCAUUAAAACUCUCUUCAUUUUCAUGAUUUCAUAAGAAAGUUGAGCUUCACAGCCCCAAAAGCUUCCACAAUCAGCCUCAAUCUAGCCUAAGUAGGAGGUAAAAUCAAAAUUAGAUAGCCUUGAAUCAAGUAUCAAUGUAUACAUAACGGCAUGAUUAAUACAUUAUCCAGGGUCCCAAUUCUGUAUCGAUGUUAUAUAGCAUCAUUAACAAACUUAAAAAGGCGCCUCUGUUUAGUAUUUACACACUGUUCUUUAGCAUUUAUACACUAUAUAUUGUCAUGGAUUACAAAAUUUUUAAUAAUAAAACAUGGGACGAAAAAAUUAAGAAUAUAAUAUAAAUUUGUAAAAUUUAACGUAAAAACUCUAGGCGAUGUAACGCUCCAGCAGAUGCAAGGUAGAGACAACUAGACUGACCAAACUUUGAAUGUUCAGACUUUGAAAGACUAGAUUUUCUCUUGUUGUUUUCAUUGAGAAAAUGACAGAGAAUUAAGAGAAAGAAAGCUCAUUCUCACUGCAUAAAGCUUAAGAGAGACAAAACUAUUAGUCUGACUAUCGAAUCUUCAGGUCUUCACAAAAGAACAAACAACAAACUUAAAAAAAAAAAAAAUGCCCCUUCAGAUCCAAAGAGUACUGUGUUUCUAAUCUUUUUUUGCAUGCUUGAGCUGUAGUAAUCAGUUCCUUUCCAUGUCAUCAACAGAACCCCAAAAGAAUGACACUAGAAACUGUGGUUUUGAUCAUAUGUGAUUAAGUGAACUGAACUUCCCUGCGAGGGCUUCAAUCUAAGACACACACGAGCCAUUGUUUGUGAUUAAUUAAUUACAAAUUAAUUACUUAAUUAUUUCUCUCACAUAUGUAAUUGGUUUAUUUUAUUCUGGCUAUAAUAAAUAUCAUGAGUUGUAAGAAUCAUUAAGCUUAUUAUAGGCCCCAUAGAUGAUCGUAUAGAUAAUGCUAGUAAACUUUCUUUAAAUUAUGUCAUUAAUUUCAUAUUUGUGCACUAUAUGUAUGCUUCCAAAUGGAUAAUUUACUUGAGCAUUUUCAACAUACUUAAAUAUUUCUUUCCCAGCAUUAUUCUAACAAAUAGAAGAUUAAGAAAACCUUUGAAAUAAGAUAAAUGAAGUUGUCAAAACUAAUAUAUCAUCAAACAAAGACACAUCCACUUGCCUAGUUACCUCGCGGAAUAAUUAAUCAUGCACGUUGUUUAGUAUUGUAAUAGCAUAAUCACAUAAUCUACCCCAAAUAUACUAUUUAUGCUUCUUAUAAUUAAUGUCUAUUAACAACAAGGUUAUUAUGAUCUCUCUUUGGUCAAAAUAAUACAACAAAAAUGCAAGUGUCAUUAUAUAUCUAAACAUAGACUAUUAUAUAUAUAUAUAUAUAUAUAUAUAUAUAUAUAUAACAUGAUAUGGAUUAUGUUCAACUAUAACUAGUCUAAUAUGGUAAAAUCAAUAAUUUUAGUUUCAAUUUUUGGAUUCAAUUUUUAUUUUAAUUAAUGUGUCAUUAAUAUAUUAGAUGAUAUAAUAAUAAUUCUAUUAAUCAUAAAAUUUGUCUUCCAACAAUGAAUGCUACAUAAGUUCGGAUCUAAAUUAAAAUCUAAAUAUGGUACAAAUAAUAACAUGUGCUGCACUGGGUCAGACCUUUAAAAAUGAUGCAUUGUUAAUUAUCAUAAAAGAUUCAUUUAGUUCUCGUAAGAUUUAAUCUAAUUUCCAGUAAACACGAUUAAAAAUAAAAUAAAAACAUUCUUAGAAGAGAGAGAAACAAGAAGUCGGAGAGAGGAAGGAGAAAACAAAAAAUUAAUUAUUAUUAGUGUGUCUGCUAUUUAUUAAAUAGUUUUUAAAAAAAUAUAAUUUAGUUUUAAUUUUGACAGUUAGAUGAGAUGUAAUCUAAUAGUUAUAAAUGUGUGUAAAUAAUUGUGUAUAAAAAGAGGAGCUAUAUAUAUAUAUAGUCAAAUUUUAUUUUUGUUUCAAAUUUAUUUUUCAGUUAAUGAACAAGUGAAUAAAAUCUUCUGAAAACUAGAGAGAAGCAUUUCAUACAAGGGCCAAACUAUUAAUGUGGCAACUAAUUCUUGCACGAAUUCCGAAUGCCUUGCUCCUGUGGACAGCUUGGUUUGAUGGUUAGUGCUUUAGGAUAUGUAGGGAGAGUGAAACAAAGUGAUUAUGCAUCAUAAGGAGGGAGGGCAGACAAAACAGAAACAACUGAUUAUUAAUUAAGAUUGAAUCCAAUUUAUAGAAGACACAAUAAAAAACAAAGUGAAACUUUUCAAAAGCAGAGAAACAAAGAAUGAAGAAGCCGAGAGAGGGAGGAGAGGGAAAAAAUUAAACAUCACUAACAGGUCCACUAUUUUCUUAAUUAAUUCUUUUAAAGAAAAUAUAAAUAAGGUUUUUUUUUUAAUCCUAACCAAUAAAUGAAAUACAAUCUAAUGGUUAUAUAUGUAUAUAAGAGGAGGAGCUCCCUUAUGCCCACUCACAUGUUACUCAUUUUUACAUUGUUUUUGUUGGUUAUAAGUUAUAACAAAUGUGACCUACAGAUUGCCUUAAAAACAAUAAAAUAGUUCAAUAUUUUCUAUCUUUUCUCAAAUAUAGUGAGAAGAAAGAUAUGGGACAAGAGGUCCUGCUGGUCCUAGGCUCUCAAAUUAAAUUUGAGAGUUAGGUUCAAGUCCCAAUAAAGUCCUUUCUCCUAUCUAAGUAUAUGUGUGUGUUAGAUAGGAGUUGAAUUCCCUUCAAAUUUUUGUCCCUCACAUUUUCAUGGGUGGAACUACUAAUUUGUUUAAAUAUUUAAGAAAUUUAUGGAUUUAAUAAUGAGAUAUAUUUGUGAACAAUUUGUAAAAGUGAUUAAUUUUGAGCAUAUCGUAUCUUUGAAAAAAAAAAAAAAGUAAGGGAAAGGGGAGAAUUUUUGUCUCAAAUCAUUUUCUCUCUCUCUCUCUCUUACUAAACACAAAAAACAUGCAUGUAUCAUAUCCACUUCAUCUCACAAAAUAUACACAUGUAUCAUAUCCACUUAAUUUGGUCAUUGGAUGUGAGAAUUAUGUGAUCAACUAACCAAAAUAUGAAAUAAAACCCUCGAAAGACAAACCUUAGCGUUAACUAGCUAGAUAGAGAAUAAUCAACAGUAAUAGAACAGAAUGAAUGAAAGACAAACAAACUCUUUGAAUCUUUUUCAGUUUUGGAAUUAUUAAAUGGUAUAAAGAAAGAUAUCGUUACUCUUUAAUACCAGUUAAUCAAUUAGAGAUUUUAUGAGUUAUGGAUGGAAAUUAGUAUAUAUCUUUGUGAAAUGGCAGAUCACUUAAGAGGGCGAAUAUAUAUUCAUAGAUCAGACUCUAGGGGCUCUGCUAGUGUUCAACAUUACAUUACCACCUUACCUAGAGGUAAUCUCAAUAUUGCACACAGCACAAUAACAUUAACGUACAUCACUUUUCUUAUCUAUGUCUAGCUAAGAUCACGCAGUACAUAUUAAGAAAACCACUACCAAGGUCACCACUGCGACUUCUUUUUAUGUUUGAAAAACAAGAGAACCUCCUGCCGUCACGAUACUAUAAUCAGCUUUCAUUUUGUCCAAUGGAAUUGAAUUUUACCGGCAUGAAGAGCACGCUGAUGAGAACCUUUGCUAUCAGUAGCUAAUAAAAUUUGCUAUCAGUAGCUAAUAAAAUUCUAUGACAAGAAUCAGAUGCAACAACAUCAAAACAGCUCCGCCAAUAAUAUUUGAUUUUGUAGGAGAUAAAUUUCUGUCAGUAUCCUCCUUACGUUUGGGAACAAAUCCCACGGCCCACGACACAAUAGGACACCAAGUCCGACCAAACAUACCAAAAUCGGUAGCUGUUUAAUUCAUCAGGACCUGCAUAACGUAUAAAAACGUAAUCUGAUUUAAAACCUAAAAAUUUGAUAUUGCCAGACACCAUCGUCCGAACAGACGCCAUAUCUUAUCUAUUUUUGUUGCCCCGCCUCUACAUGCAUGCACUCUCUAUAUAUUCUUCUGCAUGCCUUCCAAUUACACGUACACAUUUUCACACCAGUUUAUACAGAAUGAGUUGCGCAAAGCGUGUCUUCUUCUACCGCUUCCCUCUAUGCCUUGUCUUUUAAGUUCUCCCAAUUCUUGGAUUUCCCCACGGGAAUGAAAUUUGUUCAGAAGAAGGGCGAAUCAUAAGAGGAUCUUUAUCCUUCUUCAAGGAGAAAUUCUAUAAUACAUCAAAUAUAUAUUAAAUUAAUUUUAUUACCAUGUCAUGCAUGCAUUAAUUAGAUGUAUUACUUCUAAUAUAUUGUAUAAUUUCUCUUGAUAGUACUUAAUUAAUUAAGAAGUGCCUAAGUAAUAAAUUAUUAUUAUUAUUUGGCUUUUACCUUCCUUUUCGGUGUAUUAAACCAUUUGGUAUCCGAAUACCACAUUGGACCCGACUAAUCUAAAUUCGAGUCGGGUAUGAUCACUAGGGCGGCAAAGCUCUCCCAAUAAGUAUUUAACGUAGCUGCAUUCCCAAAUCUUGAACCGAGAAUCUUGGUUAAGAUAUAACAACACUAUACCGGCUGAUCUACGCGCUUGUUAGUAGAUUUACCUUCCUUUAAUAACAUGCGAACUCUAAAUUCUUUCUUCGGAUUCCAGUUAUUCCAUCACUCUAUAUAACUUGUAUUAGUAUUACAUAGUUAAUUCUCUUUUUGAGGCUGUGAUUUUGGGCAUUUCCAUGUGGAAUUUUAGUGGCAGAAAUUGCCGUAAUUAUAGGAGCUGUAGACGGUGCCAUAAAUUAACUUGGGUGAAAACACAUAAAAAAUUAACGGAACAUAUCAUCAAUCCUUCUUAGAUCCUUUAUUUCUUAUGACUGAAAUACGUGCACAUUUAAAUUAAAAUGUACCUCAUCAUAGUGGGGCAAGAUGUGAAAGAAAAUCUAUGCAUAUGCAUGUUGGGUACAGAUUGAAGCUUUGUUUAAAGUGGAUUAUCAUUACUGCUGGGUCUCCGGAUGCCUAGUGGUAACUCACGCCCUCAAAAUGUUUGAGCGCAUAAGUUGAAGCCUCACAGGGGCAAGAGUCCCAUUUUAAUCCCAUAUCCAAAAAAUAUAGAUAUUAGGGGCAGAUUUCUCCCUAAUUAUUUGUAAUAGAUUUUAAAUUGUAAUAUAUCCCUAGAAUUACAACAAGUUGAAACGUGGGUUACCAUUCGAUAUAUCAAAAAUAAUUGGGAAAAUCAAAAGCCUCUCUGCUUAUGUGCUGUAUACAUGAAUGUGGGGACAAACGUUUCAAUUGAUUGUUCUUUUUUUCCCCCCGUCAUGUAGAAUGUUGCUUUUUCACUUUCGUAAAUAGUGCUAGGCACGGAUUUUCCUCUUGAAUUUCCGCUUAGAUUAUUCUCCUAGAAAAUGAAAGAAACCAAUCCAGUUGUUGUGUCUCAAUGAGAAUAUAACUUUUAUUUGUCAAUAUGGGCUGUGUAAUUAUAGACAAUUAUGAUCUUGCUGUAUAAUUAGACACCAUUAUUUGACAUAAUAACUUACGGCGAAAUUCCGUGGAAUCUAAAUGGGUGCGCAUGUUUAUCUUUUCAUUAUUUUGAUAACUCUAACAGCUAUUCCACUGUUUUAAUUAAUCUCAUUCAAACUCUCUGUAAUUUCAUGAUUUCAUAAGAAGUUGAGCUUUACCGGCUCCAAAAGCUUCCACAAUCAGCCUCAAUCUAGCUGUAAUUAGUAAGUAAUAAAAGAAGAAUUAGAUAGCCUUCACUAUAUUAUCGUGAAGGUAGCCUUGAAUAUAUUAUCAUGAAGGUCGCAUUUCUGUAUCAAUUGAUGUUAGCAUCAUUAAUUUUUCUAGUGCACACGUCCAUACAUUGUAAAAUCUUAAAUUUGACUCUAUGCAACUUUAUUUAAUAGUUAUAGAUUAUUCUUUAGUAUUUAUACACUAUUUUCAUGGGGUCACGAAUUCUUAUAUAGUAAGACAUAUAAUGAAUAUGAUAAAAAUUUGUUAAGCGUAACGAAAGACUUUUGGUGAUGUAAGAUCGAGUCAUAAGAACUAAGAAUAAUAAUAAGAAAAAUUCUUUAAAAGACAAUUGUUGAAUUUAUGAAAACCCAUAUAUCAUCAAACAGACGCAUCCACUAGCAACAAAUGAUUAAUUUAAUCAUGCAUGCUGUUUAACACUGUAAUGGUACUGUAAUUAAAUUAAUCACAUAAUCUACUCCCAGAUAUGCUAUUUAUUCUACUAAUUAAUGUGGGGUUAUUAUGAUCUCUAGCAAGGGUCAAUAUCUAACCAUAGGCUACUACAUAAAAGUAAAUAUAAUAAAAUGAUUGAUUGGAGUGAGACAUAUGGGUUAUUUUCAACUAUAGCUAGUAUAAUAUUGUGCAAAUAUUAAGAUGUGUGGGGACUAAUUGGAUUAUCACGCUAUCAGAAAAAAAUGAUGCAAAACGAGAAAACAUGUGUAAUUUUUUAUAUGAAAAGUUAUUUGAAAACAAUAGCUCCAUGUUUCUUUCUUUCUCAAAUAAAGUGGGAACAAAGAUAUGGGAUCGUAUGGGAAGAGGGGCCACAGCUGACAGAGGGAGAAUUUUUGUCCCGAUUCUUCCUUUAUUAUUUUUUUUUUUCUUCUCUCUCCCACUAAACCCUCAAAAUAUACAUACAUGUAACAUAUCCACUUUGGAUAUAAGAAUUAUGUGAUCAACCAACCACAACAUGAAACGAAACCCCAAAAAGACAAACCCUAGAUCUAACAAUAGCUAGAGAGAGAAUAAUCAACAGUCACAAAUUAACAAUAAUUUAAGAAGAGAAUGAAAGAAAGACAAACACAAACUCUUUGAUCCUUUUUAGUUUUGAAAUUAUUAAAUGUGUUUUUGGUAUAAAGAAACGUAAAACAUAAAGGUAGAGAGGUUAUAGAGAAGACAUAAGAUCAUUUUCACGAUUCAUUUUCUUGCACAUUAUACAAUCUCCUAUGCAUUUGGCUUCAAUCCCCACCAACAACACUCCCAAUUUUUAUUUUUAUUUUUGGGAAAUGAUAAAUAUAAUAAUAAAGAAAAAGCGUUUGUUUUCAAUUAAUUAUCUUCAGUGAUAUUGAUAUUGGUAAUGGUAAAUGAUAGCCCAUGUGAUUAUGGGGACCCCGUGAAUUGCAACCGAAAGCAGGUGGUAGUGGUGGCGGCGGUGGCGGUGGACCCGGCAAUGACAGAUGCCACUGAGCUAUAAGCUUUACUCCCCUCAUCUUCUAAGCCUCCGGGUCUAUGUAUCUCGUGACCGUAGCGGCAGCCCGCAGGUUCUCAUUAUUACUUUCCAUAAAUUUACUUCCACUCCUUUAUUUCACUAAUAAUUUAGCCGCUGAGUAGUUUGCUUGUAGAUUAUAAUUUCUAACACUAUAGGGUUGCACUAGUUGUAUGCUGGGCUCAUCCGGCCGGUCACUCGUGAGUGUGUUUUGUGUUCGUUGAUAUACGAGCUUGGUAUAUGAGAUUAUUUCACAUUCACGCUCAAAACCUUAAAAAUUAAACAACGCUAUUAUAUAACAUUAUUCGAUUAAUUCACCCUCGUCAAAAUAUAACUUAUACUUGAUUAUAACUUCUUUGCAAAGGAGUAAGAUAGAUUUGUAAUAUUUGGGAAUUAAUCAAUAGUCAAAUGAUAAAUUACUCCUCUUUCGACAUACAUAAGAGAUUUAAAUACGACAUGUAGAGCUGGCAAAAUUUGACACGACCCGAUUACCCGACACGAACACGACAUAAAUAAAUGGGUAUGGGUCGUUAAAUUUAACACGAUUAUUAAAUGGGUCGGAUCCGGGUCAACACGAUUUCUUUCCGUGUCGGGUUUGGGUUAAAAUUCUUGACCCAUUUACCCGAUCAAUGACCCGAUUAUAUUUUCUAUUUUAAAAUAAUUUAGAUAUUCUUAUAAUUAAAACUCAAAUAUUAGAGAUGAUUUUUUUUUAUUCUUUAAAAUGGUGAAUAUAAACACAGUGUUUUAUUUAUAAAAUUUUACAUACAUUUAGAGCUUCAAUAGUGUAAAUGUGUAAAAAUUGAUAGACAUGUAUAUUUUAUAAUAUUGAUAUAUAAUUAUAUAUAUAUAAUUAAAACCUCAAUAGUGUAAAUGUGUAAUUAAAACCUCAAUAGUGUAAAUGUGUAAUAUAUUGGUAGAUAUAUAUAUUUAAUAAUAUCGAUAAAUUAUGUAUGUAUUUAUAUACAUACGUAUGUAUGAUAGUGUGUAAAUAUUUUAUGUAACUUUUGUUCAAUAUAUAGAUAUUAAACAGGUUAUUGGGUAACCCGAUUAUUUUUUCGUGUCGGGUUUGGGUCUCAAUAUUUUGACACGAUUAUUAAAUGGAUCGGGUUUGGGUCGACCUAAAUUUGACACGACACGAACACGACCCGAUGAUCCGUUUUGCCAGCUCUAACGACAUGUGCUAUGUAAGAAAAUAUUUCUUUAAAUUUUUUUUAAGAUAAGACUGACUCAUAUUUACCCAAAUAUUAUUAUUUUAUAUUAAGGUUAUCCGUGCGUAUUACCCAUAUGAAUGAUUUAUUGAAGACUCUUGUAAAAAAUUAUACAAAAGAAGUGCAUCUAGACGAUAAUACUAACAUGACUGAAAUAAGUUGCCAAACUAAUUAAACUAAAUUACCCCUUUAACAAUAUUGAAAAGGGAAAAAGGAAGAAAAGAAAGAUCUUUAACACAGAGACGUGUUUAUUAGUUAUUACUCCUCACUCAUGCAUGUGAAUCGUAUAAAUAUGACAUUUAUGGCAUAUACCAAGCAAUUCUUUCAUGAGUUAAUAAAUAAUCUAUAGUAUCUCAGUUUAAAUUAUUAAAUGGAAUCUGAGAAUAGUAAUUAUUUGGAGAGAAUUAACUUAUACGGAUACCCACUUGCUCUUUCCAAAACCCAAUUCAUUAAAUUCGAAAUACGUGUUGAUUCUGACACAAAAGCAAAAAAGAAAUAAAUAACCGCAGACACGUGUGAACAAACAAUUGCUUCUCAUGCUGGCAUCACCCACACGUGUAGAGAAAGAGGCGCUGCUUUCCAAAUCAAUCAAAUACCCAGCAUAUUACUAGACUAGAUAGUAGGCCCAUCAAGUUCGUGGGGCCCAAUUCAGCCAGCGUGCCUAGCUUUCUGAGAUGGAAUAGUGAAACCCACGCGCUUUGUUUUAGCGUGCUGUAUUUUAUCAUUGGUCUAAUCAGGGGUAGACAAGAUGACGGGCCAUGUGCAUGACAUACGGAUACGACGCCAUACAUGCAUGGAUGUAAACGUAUCAAGGCCAUGAAAUGGUAUGCGUUCCAAAUACAAUCCGUACAUAGAACGCGUGGAGCACUCAUGUUGCCAAUUAUUUUUUCUACGAAUUUAUUUUUAUUUUAUUUUUAAAGCUGGCAAGAAAGAAGCAAAACUCCAUAAAAGCAAUCUCCAGGUCAGAUUCUGCUUGGAAAAUUCUAGGAACACAACACCACCAACACCAACACCAACACCAGCUACAACAACAAUAAUAAUAAGAAUAUUGCUACACAUUUUAAUUUUUUAUUUUAAAAAUUUAUCUUAAAUAAUAUAACAUUUAUUAAUUAAUUAGGAAAAUAUUAUAAUUAAUUUACUUAGAUUUUAUUAAAAAUUACCAACUAUUUAAUUAAUGAUAUAUAAUUUUAGAUAAAAUUAAAUAUAAAAAAUUUAGAAUAUAUAUCAUUACUCUAAUAUAGUAAUAAUCUUGCUACUCUUGCUAUUCCCUUAAUAAUAAAAUAUAACAAUCACCCCAAUUUGCUAAUCUUGCUCCUUUUAUAUUUUAUUAAGGGAAUUGUCACUGGCCAGCUUUAGAAUAUUUGAAACCUUAGGUUAGGUUAUGAGGUCUUUAUUUAUUUUAUAAUCUCAAUAUUCAAACAAAUCUGAAAAGGCUCAAAAUUCAUUAUAUCUUUAAUUCUUGAAUUUCAAUAAUAAUAAAAGAUCAAACAAAUUUAAAAAUAAAACUAAAAAAGUCAAGAAAAUAUCUUUUUUAUUCCAUUAAAACCAUUACAAAAUAAACAAACAACUAAAUAAGAACAAUAUUAUUUUCAAAUACAAUAUGUAAAAUGAUAGAACAUAAAAAGUUAAAAUGACGAACUGAUGAUCAGAUAAUAUAAAUGGACCUUAUAUUUCAAAAAAACCAAACCUUUUUUUUUUCUAGUGAACCAAUGAAUAUAAUAAUUUUAUUUGUAAGAAAAGAGUAAGAAAUUUUUUUCAUAUACUAUUUUUGAGAUUACAAGGCUAUUAAUAGAAAUUAAAAGAAAUACUAAAAGUCAAAGAUUAUAACAUUAAAUAACUAAAAAAAAUUUAGGAAAUUGGAAAGGUAAAUAAUUUAACUUUUUCUUGGAAAGACUAAUAAUGAAUGAAUUAAUGGUUAAAUAAUAUUAUUAAUUAUAUUUCUUUAACACUAAGGUUACCAAAUAUAGAUUUUUCAUUAAAAAAAUAAUUCUUAAUUGUAGGAUAAUUAAUAAUUUGAGAGAUGCCUAAUAGGCUUUCUAAUUUUCUAAAAUAUGUAAUUUAAAAAAAUUUCAAUAAUUAGAUAAUUAUUAAGGAAAUAUUAAAAAAAAAAAGAGAUUUUCCAAAAUAUUGGGUUCCAGGUGACCCCUUUGUUCACCAUACCUAAAGUCAUCCUUGAAUUGUCAGCAUCCUCCGACUAAAACUAAUGUAUAUUAUUUAUCCUCUUAUUAUUUUCAUAUUAUUUAAUAAUCCCUCAAACAUCAUAAUUUUAUAGUAUUAUCCUCAUUUUUAAAUACAUAUUCAUUCAUAUUUAUUGUAAAUUAAAAAAAUCAUAUAAAUUGAAAUUAUGAUAAAAAAAUUUAAAUAUUAAAAAUAUCAAAUAUCAAGUAAAUGACUCAUUUACCCUCUUUAUUUAAUUUUUGUUAUAGAAGAUUAUUAGGUAUUAUGAAAACAAUAGGGAGAAACUAGUAAUCUCCCAUUUACUAGUGCUAUUAAAAUAUUUUUUCCCUAAAAAACUCAUGUAUUUGGUGUUAAAGUACACUUAAAUAUUCUUAUUUAGAUUCAUACCUCCAAAUUUUUAGUUUUAAGUAUGUUAACUCAUCAGUUGAGUGCAUAAAAAAAAAUUAUUUGUUAUGAGUGGCUAAAAAUUUUGUAUGUCAAACAUUUCUUUCUGAAAUAUUAUGAUAAUGGAUAUAACAAGAAUUAAUUUUCAAGCAUAAUCAUUAUAAGUUAGAGAUUUUAUGCUCUAAAGGUACAUGUGAGUAUAUUUUUCCAAAAACAAAAGUCUUAACUAAUUAAAUAAUUUUCGAAAAUAUUAAAAUUUGGGGUAAAUUUUUAUAUUUAAGAAUGACAAGAAGUGUUAUUAUUUUCCCUUUUCCAUUUUCUUCCUUUUAUUCGUUCUAGGACUAUCCGAGUAAUUUAGUAAAGAAGGCUUAGAAGUUAGGGCCGCGAUGCUGUUCCUUUUUCUUACUCUUUUACCACUUUUUUCUUUUUCUUUUUACUAAUCAAGAAACAAGAGAAAAAUAUGUUAUUUUUUUGUUUUCUUUUUAAUUUUUUAGUAAAAUAUUAGCUUUAAAGUUAAAAGUUCAAUGCCAAAAAGAAAGAAACGCAUUCUUCUUCCCCAAUACAUCUUUAGUAUUUACUUAAGAAUUAAGAUCCCUUUAUUUUUUUAACGGAAGAAUUAAGAUCGUUUUAAGAUCAUAAAUAAAUGCACCAAUUUAAGCUAUAAUUCAUCUACCAUUUUAUGCUUACUCAUCAAUUAACUCACAAUAGUUUUAUUUUCUUUCAUAGAUUUAGACAGGGAUAAGAAAUUUUACCAGCUUAUGAAAACCAAUCCUUAAACCAUAUUGUUGUGCGAAUUUGGGUGACCACAGACGCAAAGUGCAUUAAGCUAGCUUAAGUAACUUGCAAUAAUUUAACUAAUUUAUCCCUAUAAUAUAUUUAAGGUUAGGGUGAAACUAUUUUAAUUUAAACUUUUUACUUAUAAUUUUGAUAAAGUUAAUUCUUAUAUGUUGAUCUUGUACAAUAUACUUCAAAAUUUAUUAUUAGAGUGCAAAAUAUUAGUAGAAGGGACUGUGCCAAAAUUUUAAGUACAAAAUUUAAGUUAAAAUAACUUGAUCUGGGAAUUAGAGACUGAUUGAGUUAUAAUUUAAUGAAUUUUACCAUUUUAACUGGAAUCGUAAAAUUGGAAUUUAAAACUUAAUCCUUGUUUAUGAUCUUCACGCCUUUUAGUAAUCUAUAAAAAGUUUUAUUGAUGUUAUUUUACCAUUUAGAGGACAAAAAAUUUGAAAAAUGAAAUUACAUCCUUGAAAUUGGGUGUACUGCCAAAAAAAAAAAAAAAAAAAAUUUUGCAAGUUUCCGUUUUGAUGAACUAGAUGGGGAAGCUAGGGCAUCUUAUAAAAAAUUGGAGCAAUUCUACAUUUGUGAAAUCAAGUCUUUUGUAAGCAUUCACAUUAUUAAUGAAACCUUUACCAUAAAUGAAAAGGCAAGCCUGGUUAAAGUGAUGAGCCAAAGCCAAAAGCACAAGUCACAUUUCGACGACAACAACACAGGAAAAAAGGUGUUUGGAUAUAUGGAAAAGGGUAGGAAGCCAAAAUCCCAACUCGCUUUUUUUGAGGUGAAACCAUGCAGAUCCUUAAUUGUUAUAUAUUAGCAUCUUACACUAUGGUUUUUUCCCUUUCUAUCAAAUAGGUCCUUAAAUUCCUAUUGUAACAACCAGAUUACUUUUUAUAAUUUUGAAUUCUACAACAAAAUAACACUAUUGAAUAAUCGUGUAAUUCAUUAGUCCAAAAUUCUAAGCUAAUUCAUGUAUUAUACUAAACUCGUGUUGUGCUCAAAUUUUAAUAAGUUAUUUUGACAAAAUCUAGUGACAUAACUAAUUAUUUAUUCGUGUUGUGCUAAAUUCUUCUAAUUUUCACUUUGUUAAAAUUAAUGAACUAUUAAUCAACUUAAUAGUUAUACAUCUAUUGUUUAAGGUAAUGAUAACUUUUUUUUUUUACUUUUAAAAAUUAUUUUUAAAUAAAUUUUAUUUGUUAUUCGUGCUUUUAUGGUAGUUCAUUAAACUUUUUGUGAUUAAAAUAUAAAUUUAUUGUAAUCUAAUUUGGGUUCUUGUGACAUGUUAAAUCUUUAUUUCUUGCAUCGAAUUUGUGUCAUUCCAUGUUGCCCUAACCCAUUGUACACAUCUAAUAAUGUAACUAAACAUUAACGAGUAUUUAUGCCCUUCGACUUAGGUUCAUCAAUCAAGGACUCGUUUGAUGUAAAUAGAUGAACUAUAUCUUCAUUAGUGAAAACAUAAAAAUGUAGGGAUCAUAUGGUAUUACCCCAUUUGCAAUGCAUGCCAUUGCCCCAUUUGAAAUGCAGGCCAUAGUUUGAAGAGAAAGAGCAAACGACAGCGUUUAAUAAGGACAAAUGUUGUCUCCUAUCUUAUGAAGCUUGAUGUGGUGUGUUGUGGGAGGUGUACGGGUACUUUGUUCACCCAUUGGUGAGACAUGACUGGUCUGUUACAAUAUAAAUCCAAGUGGGAAAACUGAAUAUAAAGAUUGAACUUAUAUGGGAGAAGAAAAAACUGAAAAAGAAAGCCGAAAAACAAAAAGAAACCAAAACAGGGAAAGAUAAAGAGAAAUUAAAAAGAAAAAGAAAAGCAAAGAAAGUGAAAUGUGAGAAAAGAGAGAGAGAGAGAGAGAAAACAUGCAGCACCCACUUCAUCUCACCUCACCUCUCUAUCUAGUGAUGGCGUGAUUUGCUUUUGCUUUUUUUCUCUCGACAGGAAUCUUUGAAAAUUGAAAAGCAUCAACAAAACAAUGAAUUCAACAAAGUUAAACAAGAAAAAGAGAAGAAAAAUUUGAGGUGAAAAACAUAAGAAAGAAAUGAAGAAUGUGAUUUGAGCCUUGGCCAUCUCUUUAUUUUGCUAAUUGAAUAAUGUAGUUUGCUUGCAAAGUUGAGAUUAGGCAUCUAAGUUCGUGUUUGUUUUUAUUAUUAUUUAAAGUCCGAAUCAAUCUGAAUUUUUUUGAAAUAUGAAUGAAUCUAAAAAUGAAUACUUAAAUGGCAUGUUAUUUUUUUUUUAAAUAUCAAAAUAUAAUGGGAUUUUGUUUAUUUUUAUAAAAAAAAACUUAAAAGUAGUUAUUUAACGUUUAUGUCUUAGUAAAUAAAAAAAAAUUAAGUUUAUAAUCUACGAAAUAAGUAUACUUUAGAAAGAUAUUUUCAGAAAAUAAUAUUUACUUUUCAUUCAUAUCUUUUUUCAUUCGGAUAAAAGUCAUAAAAAUUUUCUUUUUAAUUUAGAUGUAAACAUCUGAAAACCAUAUAUAUGUUACAAAAAAUAAACAAGUAAAAUUUAAAAACAGUUUAAAAUUCAUAAAAUUUCAUAUUUCAAACAUCUAACAAACAAGUCUUAAGUUUCCUUCUUCAAAAUCAUACUAAAUAGAUGGUUAAAUUUAAAAGGUUUUUGGUAAAAUUUGGUUCAAAUAAGUUUAAGUAAUUCCAUGAUAAUAAGUGUUUAACAGAAUUGAAUUUACUAAUUUAAAGAAAGAUGAUCAAACACAUUCAACAAAAUUAAAAAAAAAAUGAGUAUCAUCUUCUCCUUUUUUUCUCAUUACAAUUCUGAACACUUACCAAUUAGGGAUCCGUUAUGGUCUGUUUAAGUUAAUUACAGUCAAAUUUGUGAUUAUACUAGUAAAGAGAUAAGUAUAUUCUAUUUCUAAUUGAAUGUGAUAUGGUUGCAGCGAUAGAAAUUUGAGUUUACAUCUUUAUUGUUAAUGUUGACACUUGUUAAUCAUAGAUUUAUUAAGAUGUGUUUUAAUCAAUCUCAGCUUAAUUUAUUAUUAUUAUAUUCCAAAGAGAAAAUAUUUUCUACUCAUAAUCAAGGUAGUAUAAGUGAGAGAACACUAGUAAAUUAAAUUUACCUUCUCUUUUUAGUAUCGGCACUUAUUAGUAAUAAACUUUUUAAUCUCGACACUCAUCAUGCCAAUCAUACAUCAGGAUUGAUUUAAGUCAAUCCUAGCUUGAUUUGUGAUUUUCGUUCCAACAAAGAAGUCUAUUUUUCUUGGUAGUUGAGGUAAUAAGGUAACGACAUUAGAAGACUAAGUUUAUCUUCCUUUUGUUUUUAUUCAUUUUUCGCACUGACACUUGUUAAUAAGAGAUUUGUCAGGUAUUGUUUGAGUCAAUUAAUUGUAAUUAUCUUUGAAAGAAAAAUAUAUAUUCUACUCGACUAUGACUACUUUGGAGCUUCUUUAAGGUCGAGCACGAAUCACAACCACACACUUAAAAUGAUAAAUAUUUCAAAAUUCAAUAUAAUUUUGAUCUUGUGAUUAUUAAAUGAUACUCUAUCUUAUAACGGUUCUAAUAUAACCGAAUCUAUUCUAUUCUAAAUUGAGGUAUUGAUGAGUCAAGAAAACUGAGUUUCUCUUAUUCUUUUUAACACAAACACUUAUUAGUCGUAGACCUAUUAUAAGACCCAUUUAAGCCUAACUAAUAGUUUACUUUGAAGAAGAGAGGUAUUAUUGUACAUGCUACUCGUAGUUGGGAUACUAAAGGUGACAUCACACUAGAAAAAUUGAGAAAAUUGAGAUUAUCAGAUACUUAUCAUCGAUCAGAUAGGGAUCUGUUUGUAUGUGUUAACGUCAAUCCCACUUUAAUAGACGAGCUGCCGAGAGCUCUACACGACAACGACUAGACAAGACAACUUCAGCUAGUUAAACGAAGCUUUGCUUAGCUGGUGCAACGCGAGAUAAGCUCGUUUAAACCAGUUCAUUAUCGAAGUAUCGAACACACAACUGGCUCAUAGCAGUUGUUUGUGUAAAACUAUAAAUAAGCUUGCCAAACAGAGUCUUAUUUACCAGUAGGCACAAAACCGUAAUUUCUGAAGCGAGUGCCCCUAGGAAAAACAAAAAGGGGAAAAAUGCAGCAACGGGAAAAGAAAAAGAAAGCAAAAUCAAAGCUCGGAGACACAGCGAGUCCAGAGUCCAGUGUUUUGUGCUUGUGUGUGUGGGGGCAUUCGAUUUUCUAAAUUCUAAAAUCUACGCGUUGAUUUUUUUUCUUUUUCUUUUUCUCUCUCUUUCUUUCUCUUUUUUUAAUUUUUUUUUCUCCCAAAUCUUUCAUCAUUCCUCUUCUCUUUCACUCACCCACUGUCCGUUGGAGCCAAAACUGUUUCCCUUCACAUUCUCUCUCACUAAAUAACAGCAUUAUGAGCAGAGCCAGAGCUGGCAUUACAAAACGACGCCGGUUAUGAAUCCAGCAACCGACCCACCACCACCACAGCCUCCACUUCAGCCCCACCGUCCUUCCACUUCCUGCGACCGUCAUCCCGACGAGCAUUUCACCGGCUUUUGCCCCUCAUGCCUUUGCGAGCGUCUGGCCGUUUUAGAUCACUCUUCUUCAGCGUCAGCUUCCUCGUCACGCAAACCCAACGCCGCCGCUGCACUUAAGUCCAUCUUCAAGCCCGGCGGAGGCGGAGGGGGAGCUGGGUCUUCCUCGAAACCCCCUUUUUUUCCGGAGCUGCGUCGUACGAAGUCGUUUUCGGCGUCGAAGAACGAGGGCUUUAGCGGCGUGUUUGAGCCUCAGAGGAAAUCUUGUGACGUUAGGGUUAGGAAUACUCUUUGGUCGCUUUUUACUCAGGACGACGAGAGAAACCCUUAUAAGAGAGAACAAAACAGAGAGACUGUCGAAGCAACUGAGAGUCUCAGUCGAAAUUUGGGGUCUUCGGCGAGGCCCAGCUUUCAAGGUCCCGUUUUGGAGUCCCAAGAGGAAGGCAAAAGCGAGAGCGACGGCCAAAACGAAAACGAAAUCGAUAAAGAAGGUAAUGCUGAUGACUGCAUUAGGGUUUUAGACGAACCCAUUGUAGGAAUUGGAUCGUCGAGUGAUAAAGUGGAGGAAAUUAUUGAGGAGGAAGAAGAAGAGGAGGAGGAGGAAAUAGUGGAAGUGAAGCAAGAACAAGUUUUUGAAGAGGAAUUGAAGCCAAUGAAAGACCACAUAGAUCUUGAUUCUCAAACGAAGAAAGCUUCUGGGAGAGACUUCAAAGAUUUUGCAGGUAGUUUUUGGUCAGCUGCUUCUGUGUUUAGUAAGAAGUUACAAAAAUGGAGGCAAAAGCAGAAGCUGAAGAAGCGGAGAAACGACACUGGGUCAGCGAGAUUGCCUGUCGAGAAGCCAAUUUCCAGACAAUAUCGUGAAACCCAGUCGGAGAUUGCUGAUUAUGGGUUUGGGAGAAGAUCUUGUGAUACGGAUCCACGAUUCUCGCUUGAUGCAGGGAGGAUUUCGUUUGAUGAUCCACGGUACUCGUUUGAUGAGCCAAGGGCCUCUUGGGAUGGUUACUUGAUUGGAAGGACUUUUCCAAGAAUGCCCACCAUGGUUUCUGUUGUGGAGGAUGCUCCUGUCGUUCCUGUUUCAAGGUCUGAUACUCAAAUUCCUGUUGAAGAGCCAGCUAUGAAUGCUAUUAAUGAAGAUGAGACUGUCCCUGGUGGGUCUGCUCAGACUAGGGACUAUUAUUCUGAUUCAUCUUCGAGGAGAAGGAAGAGUCUUGAUAGGUCGAGUUCUAUUAGGAAGACAGCUGCAGCUGUGGUUGCUGAGAUUGAUGAAUUGAAGGCGGCUUCUAAUGCUAAGGUGUCUCCUGCUACGGCUGAUUAUUUUAAUGGGCCUAAGUUGGUUUAUGGUGAUAAGGAGUUGAGGGAUUCGAACUCGAAUUCGUUGAGGGAUGAUUGUAGCGAGACUUUUGAGAUGAACUUUAGAGACAAUGCAUCCGUGGUGGGCAAUGGUGAAAGGAAGGUGAGUAAGAAGUCACGAAGAUGGGGUAAGGCAUGGAAUAUAUGGGGUUUUAUUCACAGGAGAAGUGUUAACAAAGAUGAGGAUGAAGAUAGGUAUAGUAGAGCUAAUGGGGUUGAGAGGUCCUUUUCAGAGUCUUGGCAAGAGCUGAGAGGAGAAAGGAAUGGAGAAGUUAAAGGGGGUUUAAUCCUAAGGUAUUGAGGAGCAACAGCAGUGUUAGUUGGAGGAAUUCAAGUAAUUUUGGUGGAUUGGGUGGUUUGAAGAAGAAUGAUCUUGAGGCAAAUGGGAAUAGCAAAAAGAAGAGGGAUGAGUUUGUAUUGGAGAGGAAUAGGAGUGCAAGGUAUUCACCAAACAACAUUGAAAAUGGACUGUUAAGGUUCUACUUGACGCCGAUGAGGGGCAGUAGGAGAGGUGGAUCCGGCAAAACUAGGUCUAAUCAUGCCCAUUCAAUUGCAAGGAGUGUACUGCGAUUGUACUAAAUUUGGAGCUCCAUAAGGUGUUUCUUUUGGGUUAAUGUUAAUUUUGCUGCAUUUGUCACAUGCCUAUGUAUUCUUGAUGGUUGGUUGGAUAAAAAAACAUCCUUAAUUUGUUGCCUUUUCUUUGAGUGGCAUGCUUCUUCAAUUAUUCAAAUAACAUAAAUUUUCAGUGUUACUUUGUCUCUGAUCGCGUUCUUGUUAGAAUCUUGAGUUUUUCCUUCAUAUGCUAUGUUAUUUUCUCUUAUUGCCAGAAAAGGCUACGACAUACAGACUAGAUGUGCAGAUAUGCAUAAAUCUGAUUGCCUCAGGAUUCAACUCGGUUCUCUUUGUUGCUGUCCUAUUCAGAAUUAGCUGAUGUGAUUGUACGACUUGCAAUGUUCUUUCAGCAUUUUGCAUUACUGGCAAAGGGGUGUUGUGGUGGGUUCAUGACCCCUUGCUUUGAUACCUUUCCUAAAAUUAUCGGUAUGGGCACAUUAUAAGACCCAUUUCCCCAUCUCUUCCUUAACACUAUAGGAUCUGUGGCAUGCUACAUGUUCUAGAAUGAAUACAUGAUAUGUGAAGCCAUUUACCUUAUUUUGAAAUCUAUUGUCACAUAGAUGUUGAAAAUGUAAUUCAUUGAAUAUCAUUUGGUUUCAAUGUGUCCUCGGUAGAGUUUAGUGUUCUUGAGAUGUGCAUGUCUUCUGGGGCUUCUGUGAGAUCUAUUGCGAUUGUAAUCUUUGGAGCUUUUAGUGGGCAACAUCUCUGGAAAUCAUAGUUUCUGAGGGCUUAAGUCAGAUCAUGCUUAUAAUCUUGGAGCUUCAAUGACCAGUGUCUCAGAGAUAAUAUUGUUCGGCCUUCAUGUUUUUACAUAUCCUUCACAAAGAUCCAUUCUCUCCGUUUAGUUUGAUGACUUAAAGCAAAGAAAAUACAUUGAUGCCAAUAAAUGGAAAAAUGAUGAUGCCAAAGUAAUCAGUGUACAAAUCAUUAGCAAGCCAUCUCCUUUCCUUGGAUUUAUAUUCUUCUGCCUCCAAUUCUGUCUACACUUGGGUCUUCGGUCUUCCAAUGUCUAAUAUCUUCAUAUGCUAUGAUGCUUUAACACUAUUUUUUAAUUUCAGUUUGGUAGUUGACUUGGAGCUUCAUCAAUUGCAGAAGCAAGUUCAAAACCUUAGUUAUUUUCAGAGCCAGUGUCCGGCAAAGCCCAGGAUAGCUAGCAUGUUAACUAUUCUUCGCCCCUUAGUUUUAGGACAGAGAUACAAUAGGUCAAGAAAGCGGAAAUACGGAAUCAAAAUAUCAAAUAUAUUCAAAAUGUUCAUUCAAUUGAGAGCAAAACUAAAUAAGAAUAAAGACUGCCGCUAGUUUACUACUGCAUUUUUCUCUAAAGACGUACCCCAUUAUCACAUAAUAUUCAGAAAGAGAAAUUAUUUUUCAAUACCUUUCCUCUCAACAACUUUGUAAAGAUUUCUUUGUUGCUCAAGGGACACCAAUUGCAAAAUCUUACUCGAAUAAUAAAACUUAAGGUGACAAAUUGGGUUGGCGUGUCAUGACACUUUGAAAUGACAGAUUUUGAUCCGUUUAUUAACAUUGUUAAAAAUCCCAAACAUUAAUCAGACUCGUUCAUUAAUUGUGUCACCCAUUUAACAUAAAUGGACUGGCCAUGAAAAAUGAUUUUAAAUCAACUCAAACUAGCAAAUUUGUGUGGUGUCGAGGGGUUGUGAAACAAAUUCCCACUCCUAAUUCCUAAACUUAAUGUAGCAAUAAUUUACUGCCAUCGAGCCAUGCAAAUCAAGAACAUGCAUUAUUAAACAUUAGUGCUCAAAUCCCAUUAUACGAGCAGAAUCAAGUUAAGCAAUGAUGAUUUCUUAAAAAUAAGAAUUUUCCUUUUUGACUGGGAUGGUUAAAGGUUUAAAACAAAUAAGCAUUUUCAGUCAAUGGGUCUGAAAUUAUGCUUUCUCCAUGAUCAACAAAAUGCCUCCAAAGUCAAAAAGAUAUUAAGAAAACAUCCCAACAUGUUCCUUCAUGGAGGAGAUAAAAGCAACAAAGGAAAGAAAAGAAAAAGGAGAAGGAAAAAAUAAAAAGGAUGAAGAAAGAGGCUCCCAACCCAAUGGCAGGUCCAGUUAAGCCCUAAUGGGAAGUGGGUGGGUAAUAAUUUUGUUUAUUAAGGUAAUUGAGAGCUCAUUUUUGUCAACGAUUGUGCACUCAAGCUUUUGCACUCCGAGGAUUUGCUUGGCACUUCGAUGUUUCAUCUGCAGCUUAUAUUGACAAAUUUAGAAGCCACUUGGGAUAAAGAAUUAAGAUAAGAGACUGUUCUUCUGCAUGCCAAUGCAAGCUUGUUGGUAUUUGAGCUGAGACUGAAAUUACACUCGCUCAAAGCGGCUAGAAUGUGAGGCCCAUGUAGCUUUCAAAUUGUGAAGAUUAUGGAUUGCAAUACAUAUCUCCGGGGCUGAUAUAUGAGAAGACAAUGCAAGAUUCUCAAUAGAAAAGGCUGAUAUUGAAAAUUUUUUAUUCAACGGCAAUGCUGAAAGAUUGUUAACAAGUGUGCAGAGUUAAAGAAAUUGAAAAAAAAAAUUGUUGACAAAUGGGCACAUAUAAGUAUAUAACAAUAAUCGAGACUGCAAUGACAUGCACAUAUAGCAAGAAUCAUAAAUAUCAUAACAGAUGCGGAAUAUGUAUUUGAUUAUUUCCCUUUAUUGUACUUUAUCCUCUUAUUAAAAUUGAGUCCUCGCGAAUCAAUUCUUCGCAUGUAAAGACAAAUUUGCUUACUGAAAAUACACUUAGCAGUAUUAAAAUUUGAAUUAUUAGGGGGAUUAUUAUGACUUAUUAAAAAUAAUUGCUUAUACAGGAUAAUCUCUCUAUAGUUAUAAAGUUGGGAAUAGAUUAAUUUUAUUAAAAUGAAGAAGUUAUAACUAAAUAGAGGUGUAAUUACAAACUUAUUAUUUUGAAACUUAACUAUCAUUAGUACAAGUGAUAUAAAGUAUGCACUACAUUAAUAAUUAAUAUCAAAUCUAAUGUAUAGACUAGAGUACUAGCUAAGCAACCCAAGAGGGGGAUGAAUUGUGUUUCUAAAUAUUAUGGAGAAAUUAAAUCAAAAUACAAUGCAAAUAUAAAAUAAAAUUAUGCAAUAAUAAACAAAUCACAACAAUCAAAAUGUAAAGAGAUAAGGGAAAGAGAAUCGAACACGAGAUUUUUACUUAGUUCGGCAACCUUUGCCUACGUCCACGCCUCUAAGCCCACCGGACUUGAGAAUUCCAUUAUCCAAACCUUACAUCCUAAAACUUAAAAAUCUUUACAAUUGAUUUCCAAAAUGUCAAUCAACCUUUACAAUAUGAGAUUAUCCUAAACCUCUUAACCCCAAGUGUUUCCCACACUCUCAAUCACUCAAUUUAAUGUUUAAGAAUAAAAAUUACACAAAUUUAUUUCACACAAUGUAUGUGUUUACAAAUAAAAGUCCAAAGUGUGAUUUGAUGAAAGACUAAUCAAGUUUUAAGCACAAGAGAGAUUAAAUACACAAUGACAAGCUCAAUGAUAAUCAUAGAAUCCAACAUUAUUUGAAUUUGAUUGAGCCUUUUUUAUAAUUGGAGAAAAAAAUUAGCCGUUAUUGACUUUCUAGGCAUAAUCAGAUUGCCGUCUACUGCUGUCAGAUCACUGUUUUAACUUUGUGCAAGUUACCGUUAUGCUGAAUUUUGAAUAAUCGAUUCAUUGUUUUGGAGUUAUCGGUUUGCUGUUUAAUUUCAAAGACCUGCAAGGUAUUUAUCAGCUAGCCAUUUGUGCUAAACUAAUCACCGGCUACAAGCCAAUUUCUCUCUAGAAUUUGUUGGUUAGCCGUUAUCAGUAAACGGUUUAUUGAUUCCAAAGAAUUUGUUCUUUAGAAUUUAUCAGUUAACCGUUUUCUAAUAAAUGGUUCACCAUUAUCUUCCAUAAUCAAAACUAUAAAAUUUCCUUAAAAAAAUGAUUUGCCGACUUAGAAUUAACGGUUAUCCAUUUAUUUCCAUAAUCUUAUUAAUGUUUAAAACAACUUUAUACGGCUUAAAAAUAAUCAAUUUUAAAGACUCCAACUUAUUUAUCCAGUUUGUCAUCAUCAAAAUUAAUAUUAUACAAAUAUGUAUGUUAACAUAGACAUUGAUAAAAGAGAUAGACAUGUUUCAAAAACUAGCAUAGAUAUUUAUGUAGUAUUGGGAAUAUGUGACUCAUCUUAAAAGUCUAAAUGUUUAUAUAUUUCUUUCAUGUUUUUCUCUCAAUAUACAUUUUAUAAAUACUAUUCAAUGAUUUGGUAACAACUCUAAAGAAUAAAUGGUUGUCUUAAAUAACUUUACAAAAAUAUUUUACUCCAUCCUAAACUUUUAAUAUAACAGAACAUAUAUAUUUUGUAAUAUAUAGAUAAUUAUUACUAUGUAAACACAAAUUUCUUAAAUUAUUAUAAUGUGGAGUUUAUUAUUUUUUAAACUAGCCCAAAUUAGGUCAAAAUAUUUUACAACUAGGUAGAGGUUAUUCCUAUAUGCAGUAUAACUAUCAAUAGGAGUUAUUAUAUUGAGCUGAAGAAAUAAUCGGUUUCAUAAAAAGCAAGCUAUAUGUUUGAUAAAUUUUGUUUUUGAAAAAUGAGUUUCAAAAGCAGAAUGUAAGCUGCCAUUUCAUUUUUAAUAUUAAAAUGUUGUGAUAAAAUAAAUAAUGACUAUAAGUGACAACAUAAAGUUAUCCACAAUUUUUUAAUAUAUUCGGGAUAAAUAUAUUAUAAUUAUCUUUUCAUUAAGAGUAAUGAUACAAUCACAAAUAAUUUUGUAAAAAUAAUGUUAUACAACUUGAUCUAGCGUGUUAUCAUUUUUGAAUUGAAAUUACGGUAUGACCUGCAUGAUUUUUUAUAUUUUUAUAUUUUUAAUUAAUCAAUAUAUAUAUUGCAUAUCUGUUUGUAUAAGUGUUUGUAGCUCUAUAGUUUUUUUUUUUUUAAGUAUAAGGUUAUAAUAAGAACAUAAAUAAUAUUACGAAUUAUUAUAUUGGAUAAUUUUACAAGUUGCUAGUAAAAAGAAAUCUCUUAUCUGCUUCGAAAAGAAAUUGUCAAAAUAGAGAAUAUUUUAAAUAAACAAUUUAAAUAAUUUUACUACUUUUCUGUCAUUAUCUAUGAAGUCAACCGUAACACAACCUUAAUGUUGUUAGCCAUCAGAACCAAAUGGCUGGUGCAUCUUCUGCUCUUCUACUUAUUGCAUUAAUCCAAAAGGUAAAAGAGGUUGGAUGAGUUGUCAAGUUUAGAUGUUUCUUUUUUGCUUCAAUAUCUACCAUUCAUUGAAUGAAUGAAAAUUAUUGUGAAAAAUGAAAGUUAAAGAUAUCCCUCCUUUUUGUUCCUAACAUUGUAGGUAGAGCGCCACUUCGGCCUUGGCCGAAGUGGUGGGCUGCUGCCCUCACAAUGCUUGUGAGGGCAGCGGUUCUAGCCCCCACAAAAGUAUUGUGGGGGCUAAAUGUUCUUUAUAUUUAAAAAUUAUUCUCCUUUGCGAAAUGUAAGUGGAGUAUGGACAUUCCUCUCCUGUGAGAGGUUAUUUGUCUGGACAUAUACUUUAUAGAAUUCAAUGUAAUAAUGUAAGUCCCAAUCAUGUAUAUCUGAGGUUAUUUGUCUGGACAUAUACUUCAUAGAAUUCAAUGUAAUAAUGUAAGUCCCAAUCAUGUAUAUCUGAUUGUAAAUAUCAGUGUAAUAUCUCUGCUACAAUAGCAGUUGUUGUAAAUAUCUGUGUAAUGCAGUAAUAUGAUGAUUAAUCAAUAUUAAAAAAAAAAACAUUGUAGGUAGAGCGUCACUUGAAUGACAAAAUAUGUUUACACCCUCUUCAUCUGAUUAAAAUAAAAUAAUACUAUAAAAAUAAGGCAUAGGACAAUAAGUAAAUUACUAGUUUGACAUUCAAGAUCAUCUCUUCCUAUUUGGGCGAAUCUGAAUAAAAUCAUCUAAGAUUCUCUUGUUAUAGGUGUCUUUAAAUUCCAUACCAAUGCUUAUGUGAUGGGUUUGCUAUCCCUUUGCAUGUUCACUGUAGUUUCUAUAAGGUCCAAGUUAUUUUCUAUGUUGCCGAGUAUGCAUGACAAUGGCAGUUUUCUCUUUGAAUAGAGAUAUUGAUUUCAAUGUAGCUGCUCCAUUUGAAUUGGAGUUAAUUGAUUGAACCUUUUUUCCCCCUUCAAUAUUCUACCAUCAUGUACCAAAUGGCUCUUGUAGAAUUGAUAAUCACAAGCAAAAAACUAUCAAUAAAAUAAAUUUUUGUAAUUCAUAAUCAUAAGAUAAUAUAAAAAUAUGUUUAUGUAUGUGUAAACAUCAGAAACUAAACACAAAUACUUACCUUUUAUUAUAACUCGAACUCAAGUGACAACCAGUGCAAGAUAUUUAAAACUCACACUAAACACCAAUCCUCACCCUUUAUAAUUAUCCAAACUCAAAUGACCAUAGGUGCAAAGUACAUUCAUGGCCAGCCUAACUAUGACCAAGGGGCAAAAUUAUCAUUACAAGUGCUAAGAGCAAUAUACUUCUUUUUCAAUUGUAUAAGGCAAACCAUAAUAAUUAAUUAAAUUUUGAGAAUUCUAAUAAUACAAAAUUUCAUUAAAAUAAGAGUGUUAAGUCUUUUUAGUAAUAUGUAUGUGUAAACCCCUCACCUUUUACCCCUUAUGAUGGGUAAAUUUAGAUUACUUGUGAAUUGAUUAUCCUCAUAUCAUUUCCCUUACUUUUGAAAAACUGAAGUUACCCUUAUUUUUGUUCAAAAGAUAAGGAAAAAAUAAAAGUGAGUUGAUGAUCGUCUUUUUAACAAGAAUGGAGGUAAAUUAGAGUUUUAAAAAAUAAAGGGAUAAUUUAAUGAUAUUCAAUUCACGAGAAAAGUAAUCCAAGAAUUAACCGCCUUAUGAUUACUAAGAAGUCGAGUGACUAAGAGACAAAACUGUCAUUGUAUGUGUCAAGUGUAAUACAAUUCUUCAUUCAGCUGUAUAAGGUUGUACUAAAUAAUAAACUAAAUUGUGAGAAUUCUAAUAAUAUAGAACUUCAUUAAAAUGAGUAUUUAGAAAAUUUUUAAGGUGCUAGUUGAUUCAGUGGGUAAAAUUACUUGAGGCCAUACAAAAGAUUUCGGAAUCGAACCUUGCUCACACAGAGUAGAAACGGUAUUCAUAAAAUUCUUGAAACAUAGAAAUAAGAUCUUUAAAAUUACAUACACUAAAAAUAACCAAACAAAAAAGGACUUGUAUAAGCUUGUUCAUGAGUUUUGAAAGUUUUGAAAACACGAGUUGAAGUCCUUCUUCCAAAAGUUCCGGAGAAUGAGCAUUAUGACAGGCUUAGCCUAUCAAACUUACAAAUAUUUAUCAUCAACUUGAUCUUCAUCACUAUCAACUUGAUCAUGGGAAGAUCUUGUCAACCGACUCAUCCGUCUAGGAUUGGACACAUUAUAAUAAUAGCUCAAAAUCAUCUUUUUGCUCUUGGAUGGGAUACGUUUUGCAGCACGCUCCCAAAAAUUGGCUGCAUUUGACAACAAAUAAGUUUUCAUGAAGGUUUCAAACAUAAUUUGUUCUUUCAUUGUCCAUUUCUUUGAAACUACUUCUCCCAUCUCAUCAAACUUCCAACUCAGGAAAGCAGGUCCAAGUUCAGACUGCAGAUUAUGCCUUGCUGAAAGCAUAUGGCAUCUGAUGCAGUCUGCAGAUCCUGGAGAGACACAAGAACAGAAUUGAGGUCUCCCUCUCCCAAUUCUUCUCAUGUUGCUCAAAGGACUUGCUUCUUCAAUGGGCCAAAUCUUAGUGCCCAACCAUUUUAAACUUUCUGAAUCAUAAAGAUAUUUUUUGGUUAUUGGGCCCCUCCAAUCUGGAACUUCAGCCUGGAAUUUUGGCCCAAUAGGAAUGACAGCUCUGGGAGGAUUUUCACUCUCACUCUCAGAUUCAGCACUCAAUAAACCGACUGCUUGUUGAACUUUCUCCUCUGAACUUGAUGAAUGUGAACUGCUAAUCAAUUCGCAGGAAUCCACCAAGGGUUGAUCCUGAACUAUAUAGUUUUCUGGACUAAAGAAAUCUGAGCCAUUGAAUGAUUCAUUUUUGUUAACUAAAGAAAAAAUAUCCUCACUAAAUGGAUCCCAGGUAGUUAUACUAUCUGAAGUGUUGGAAUCAGUAGGCAGUUGCUUUUGUUUGAAACUAUUAUCAAAUGUCAAACAACCGUCAGAACUGCAUGAGUUCCUAACAGUUUUCUGACAGGUCACUUUCUUGACAUUUUGAUAAUUAGACCUCUUUGAAGCCAAUCCAGAAGCCGCUUUGAAAUUUCCACCAUUUAAAAACUGCUCGAGCUUUCUCUUUCUCUGAUGAACAGAUUGAGAGGAAAAGGUUGUUGUCUUAGGAUUAGGAUAGUCAAAACUGGAAAUUUAAAUUUAUGUUAAAUGGAUGGGGUUAAAGAUCUUAACUCACAAUUGCCUAAAAUGGGCAAACGCACUAAAAUUGUAAAACAAGUAUAGCUUGCAUAAUUGAGCUUACAAUGGGGUAAAGAAACAGUUCUUAUUUGACAAAAUAAAACAAUCAUUGUAGGCUUCGCACAAGUUAGCAAAGUAAAGAUAAGGAUUGUCUAAUAUUUUCUGAAUGAAGACUGCAGAGCUGGAACAUAUUGGUCCUGAGACAAGGACUUAGAGAACUCUCUAUACCUACAUACAGACUGUCUUAACUGCUACACUUAUGACUAGAAAAAAAAGGUCAGCUUCACUUGAUAGGAGAGGACUAACUCUUGAUAGGAGAGGACUAACUGAAAACCAAAGAAAUAAAUUUAUGUGCACACAAAAGUACCAAAGAAACCUCUAUAUCUCGAAUUGUGAUCCCCUUUCAUGCCCCUAGAAAGAGAAUACAAUUAAGGGUGUGCAUUACAAAUAAUACGAAAAAUAUGAUUGAAAAGAACAAAUCUGUGAUGUUGUGAGAAACAACGAAAUCUAGUAAUUGAUGUGGUUCUGUAGAUGGACUUGUCAAAAUAGCAUAGUUAAGUCAUAUGAAAGGAAACGGCUCAAUCAACAAAACUUCAUGGCAUGCGGCAUUUUAUUCAAUCAUUUAGGCCUUGAAAUUGCGUUUUUCCUUCUUUUCCAGAGUCGAUCACUAGACCGAAUUCCAACAUCAUCAUCUAAACUUGUAUUCCCCUUUUGGGGGAAAUAAGGAGCAAAUAUAGUUAGGAUAUGUUUGGAAUUGAGGUGAUAUGACUUCAAUGCCGCAACUACUAUAAAAGCACUAAAUGUCAAAUAUAAGUGGACGAAUGAGGGAUGAAUAUUCCCAAUUAAAAAGUAUGUGUUCACCAAACACUUCAGCUGCUGUGCUUUCAAAGGUGAGAAGCAAUCUGCCCUAAACAUACCUUCAAUAGAUUUGACCAUAGUUUGUCUUUAAACCCUUUAAUUGACUCAUUCUACCUAUAGACACAAUACAACUGGCAAAGAUUUCAACUUUUGCAGAAUAUAUGCAAGAGUUCUGCAAUUAACAGUGGAACCACAAUCACAGUAGAAAUCUGACCUUACACUCAAAAAGAGCAUUUUAUUAACUAUUUUCUCCCUACGGACCAACAUUAUCAAUUGAUAAAAAGUAAAAAGACUUAGUUCAGAGCUUACCUGAGAACAUUUAGCAUUACUGAUAUGCCAAACUUUCCUCAAUUGAAGAGCCUGAUACCAGAAUUUCUGAACCGAAUAACUCGAUACAUCUGGUUCACACGGAUCCAAAGCAAGUAAUUUUAACCACCCCAGCAUAUCUGAACCUGCAGUUGAGCCACAAAUAGAUUCUUUAAGGCCCUUUUGUUCUACAUUACGCUGUAAUGCUUUCUGCAUCAUAUUGUUGCCAUGCUAUUUACCACUUGAACAACCUUUUUCCUUUUAUUUUCUUAAAUUCAACCCUGAAAAGGAACACAAAGCUCAACGUAGCAGCAUUCACAAGGAAAAUUAAAAAAUAAAGAAAAAAGUUUUUUACACCUACUAAACUUGAGUGGUAAUUAUGCACUUCAGCUUACAAUCAGAACCCAUCUUACUAAAGCAAAUUCCAUAUAUCAUGUGGUCUAAUGCAACGCCACAUUAAAAACUACUGAAACAUCAUAACUUCAUUAACUGUACAUGCAUGAAACAUACAAUGCGGGAAAUUCUUGCCGCAAAAAAUUAAUAAUCAUAUUUCCCGGAAAAUAAAAUAUCUUCAAGAUUUUUUUCCUGGGAAAUCACUAUAAGCUUCACCAAACUUGCAAAACAGAAAUCACGGUAUAUGUUAAUAUAAAAAAAAUAACUCAUAAAUCAAAGCAUUAUGACGAAAUAGAAACCCAAAGAUUAUAAUUUCUAGUUCGUUUUAUGCGAUUAAAGGAGUAAGCUAACCUCUGACAGUUGAGCCUUCUAUUAAUGGACUAAUACCAACGAUUAAGACUGAAUGCUAAUAGGAUGGUUAAAGUGAAAUUUUGAAAAAGAUAAGAGAGAUGGGGGCAGAGGGAGGAGUUUGUAAAAAUCAAGAUGUUCAGGCAGAAAUAAAGAAUCAUCUCACAAUAUACAAUAGAACAAUCCCAAUUAUCCUAAUUAGUGAAGGGAAACGAUUUUUACUAUGGAAAAAAUAAUAUAUUUAUGAAAAAAUUUCAGAUCUAUCUAUAUUUCAAUCAAAAUUCAGAUCUAGAAUGAAUUUGUUCCGAAUUAAGAUCUAUAACGAUUUCAAACAAAUUCAAAUCUAUUUGGUUCAAAAUUUAAAAAUUUUAUUUAAAUUUUAAAUUAAUUCAGGUCUAUUCAGAUUUCAAAUAAGAAUAAAUUAAAAAUAAUUAACAUCUUAAAAAAUAUUUAAAAAUUCAAAACAAAAAAGUUGAUAUCUAUACCUCACAAACCCAAUGGAUGGAUGUAGGAGUGAAGAAGAUUGGGGAUUUAUGAGAAAGAGAUGGAAUCUAAGAUGGAAUCCAACUAUCUAAUUUAUAAGAAUAUGUGUCAGUAACCCUAAGGAAGUGUCAAGUGGCUCGACAGAUGGCCAACAAGCUGUGCCAGCCGUCAAAGGAAGACCCACGAGGGUCUAUGGGCCGAUAUGACACGAUCUACCAUAUGCUUAAUGCGAUGCCGUGUUGUGUUUAUUAUUAUUAUUAAUAUUAAUAUUUUGCUCCUGCCUGACCCAGUACGCAUGUUGUGCCAUGAAUCGUGCUUAAGAAAAAAGCAUAACAAGCUUUUUUUUUUUUCUUUUUUUUUUUCAGUUUUUUAAAAGAGUAUGACAAGCUGUUGGCAUAUUUUUUUCAAGCACAUAUAAUUUUUUUGAGUCUAUGUACCUUUAGUCAAAUUUAAUAGAAUCAAAAGUUCAAAAUUUAAGUCCAUAUUAAAAAAUAAUAAACUAAUAAUAGUAAGAGAAUAUAAUAUUAAUUACUAAAUUAGACUUACGGUAUUAGAAUUUUUUUUUCAUACUUAGUAACAACAACAACAACAAUAAUAAGCUUUUUAAAGAUUAAUUUAAUUAUUAACUUGAACUUAUAAAGAAUCAUAGAUCAUAGUUGAUAACAACAUUAAUACAUACAUUUUAUAAAAUCAUGAUAUUUAUAAUUUUAUUUAUCAACACGAUAACAUCUAUUCGAUUAAUAAAUUAUAAAUAUAAAACAGUUAGAAUAUUCUUUUUGAAACUAAGAAUGAAAUGAAUUUUAAAAACUUACAAUAAUGUUAUACUUUAAAAGAUUUAAUUUCAAAUUAUUUGUAAAAUUAUAAAAUUUUAAUUUUACUUUCAUUAAAAAGUAAAACGUACUUAUUCCGAGCCUUUUAACGUGUUAUGCUUUAAUAUAUUACUAAUUAUAAUGUACUUUUAAGGCUCACAUGCCUACAAUUCUUAGUCUCGUCUAGCCCACAUGCAUGCCAUGCCGUGCCGCAUGCCCUAGCAAAAUGUGUUCGUGUUGUGCCGUGUUGUGCGGACAUCUACCAUGUCCAUACCAUGCCACGUGUCACCCGACCUGUUGGUCAUCUUUAUACUUUUUUUACAUCGAGUAUUAUUUUAUUUUUAUUGUUAGGAUACACAUUUUGUAUCUUUAAGUAAUUUGUUAGUAAUUUUUUUAUAAAAUAAUAUUGCAAUGAAUAAAAAAAUAUCAUUUUAACGAAUUUAUUUAUUUAUCAAUAAUUGAAAAAAUUAUUAAUUCAUUAAUAAAUGAAUAUUUAUUAAUUUAAAAAAGAGUUUUUUUUUUUUUUUUUUUCUGGUUUAAGAAGAGUUUUGUUAGCAUACAAAUGUGGUUUGCUCAAGUCAAUAGUAUCUCCUUCAACAGCUACUAUCUGUAUAAUAAUAUAGCUUAGUUAAGAAACUUGUAAUUAUACAACAUCUUUCUUUCUUUAUUCAGAUUGUAUAAUUAUGUAUACAUAUAUUCUAUUGUGUAAGCCUUUGAUAUUAAGAAAUAUGUAUACACAAUUAUUCUCAGGCUUUGUUCAAUUAGUUUAUGAUUUUUAGUUUCAAAUCAUUAGAAUUUUCAGAUCUUUCUCCUUCGUGGGUUCCAUUUGAAAAGAAUAAAAAAAAUCUGCAUUGAUUGAUAAAAAUCUACCAAAUGUAGUGCAUGCUUUGCAUAAAAUUAAGUACGAAGUUGAGUCAAUUUAGGAAUAAAGAAAAAACAAAUAACUUUACAUGUAUAUUUUGCAAAGAGUUCAAUUCAAAUAAUUGAAGUUGUAUGGAAAAAAACUCGUUAAUGUUAUAAAUUUUAUAUUUGAUUCAUUGUUGAUUAUUGUAUUUUAUAAUUAUUAAUUUAUAUUUUCAAUGGGCCAUAAAGGAUUAAAAAAAUUACUAUCUUAUGAUAGUGAAAUUAUUAAUUUAGUACACUGAUCCAAGUUAAGAUAAAGAGAUUUUAUUAUUUAAUAUAUGUUAUUAAUUUAUUAAACAUUUGUUUAUGGUAGUUUUACUAACCAAUAAUUAUUUAAAAUAUGCGAUGGGUUAGUUGACUUUCUUUUUUCGUCAUUGAUGUGAUAAUAUUACACUAAGGCCUGGCACAAGUCUGAGCCGGGUUUAGUGUUAACGACAAAUAGAGUGAGUUGGGAAAAAUUCAACUCAACUCAACCUAUUUAAAUCUAGCCUGCCAACUUACAUUGUUAAUGCAAAUUUUUGGUAAACUUGAGAAUUAAUUUAUAUGGGGAUAUAGAGAAUUAACGUGAUUCAGCCUUUGACCUACGUUCACAGACAGAGAAAGAUAAAUAUUUUAUUAAAAUCGCACUUACAACUCAACUCUCCCUCUCUUUACUAUUUUUUUUUUUCGGUUCCUUACACUAUGAGAGGCCUCUGCUUUUAUAGCCUUCUAUAGAUAAAGUCAUUUUCUAACUUAACUCUAUCUAACUCUCCUCUAUCCUCUAAGAUUUUAAUUACAAAAUAUUUCUACCUUUUCAUAAGUUGUAUCUGUGUCAGACUCUAUUUAAUUUGCUUCUGGACCAAGCAAUGUCCUUCUAUUGUCGACUUUUAUUUUGUUGGGCUUGCUUUCAACGAUAACUCUUCUAUUUGAACUUGGUUUUUUCCAUAGAGUCCAUAAUUUAGAACUGGGUCAAGGGCUCCACAGACCCAUGACUUUUGUCAUUCUCCACUCCUCGGUCCAUUCCUGUGGACCAUGCUUUGUUGCUCCCCAUUCUUAGGGAAGCAUAAUUCUUGUUCCCCAUUCUUGGGGCAACAUAAUUCUUGCUCCGGUAGCAUGGUUCUGUUGCUCCCCAUUCUUGGGGAAGCAUAAUUCUUGCUCCGAUAGCAUGGUUAUGUUACUCCCCAUUCUUGGGGAAGCAUAAUUCCUGCUCCGAAAGCAUGGUUCUAUUGCUUCCCAUCAUUCAGGGAGCAUAAUUCCUGCUCCUCGUUCCUGGGGAGCAUGGUUCUGCUGCUCCCCACUUUUUAGGGAGCAUGAUUCUGCUGCUCCCCAUUCUUGGGGGAGCAUAAUUCAUGCUCCAUGUUCUUGGGGAGUAUAAUUUCUGCUCUCAUUCUUAGGGGAGUAUAGUUUUGUUACUCCUCAUUCGUAGGGAAGCAUAACUGAUACUCCUUAUUUUUAGGGGAGCAUAAUUCUACUGCUCCCCAUUCUUGAGGGCAUCACUUUUUGCUUUAUUGACUAUUUUAUAUUUUCUACAAUAGCUGCUCCUCAGCUUUUAGCUUUUUGUUCCACCAGAAGCAUAAGAGCUCAAGUUAUUUUUCUCUCUUCUCAUUUCUAUAUAAACCAUCCUUUGCACCAUUCGUCCACUUCGUAGGGUUUCAACCCUUUGGUUUUCGCUUUUCUUGGUGAGUGCAUCUUCUCUUCUCCUUGUUUUUAGCAAUUUCAAUGUCUUCUUAUUCUAAAAAUAACUCUAACUCCAUUUACUAUGAGUACCUUGAAGAUGAUGAUGAUUACAAUCAUAUAUCCUCUGACCACAUACCCCUUGUCGUAAAUUUAGCUCCUACGUCAUUUGUUCCUGAUGACCAAACUAACCUUUAACCCGACUGGUCUAUCGAUGGGAUGAGAAAUGUAAUUUCUAAAAAAUCCAUUCCAUCUCUUAGAGUCAAGUAUGAAAUUCCAUGUUCAAUUGAACUUAGGAAGCCUCAAAUUGGUGAGCUUGCCAGCUAGCCUCCUCUUAGGGCUGUUGCUUUUCAUCCUGAUUUUUUUUCGUUAUGGUGUUAGGUUGACGUUGCACCCCUUCUUGAGAUACAUGUUGAUAUGCUUGAACUGUGGCUUUGCCCCAGCAUCUGGUGUGCCAUGAUUGGCAUGUACAUCUUAUGAAAAUUAAAGGGUCUUUCAGGUGAUAAAGACUCCCCUCUCAAGGGUUGGUAUUAUUUUCGUGCUUACGCUAAAUCUUUCCUUUUAAUUGCCUAGGGCAAAUCUCAUGAUGGUUCCUGGAAAGAUUCUUGACUUUUCGCCCUCGGGGAUUGGGAGCUAAGAAAUUCUCUUGGUAUGUAUCCUGUAUAUUGGGUUCAAACCUACUUUUCUACUCCAAGUAGCUUUUGUGAGAAUUGCUACAAGAUGUACUUUUUCUUUAUUAGUGUACUUACUCUUUUUCUUUCUUUUUUCUUUUUAACAAUGGCAUAUGGCUGUACCUCUAUUGAUCCUGCUGACCAACAUCAAAUCGAUGAAGUUUUUAAAAACCCUAUAAACUUGCGGUCUUGGAAAUAUCUUUCUGAAUCAUGCUUUCUAACUGCCUUUGACUUUAGCACUUCUACUUCCACCAACAUUCCAUCUCCAAGUGAGUUUUAUUUAAGCAUAAUUUUUAUGCUACUGAGAGGUUGUAAUAUUUUGUUUUUCUUUUUUUUUUUUCCUGAGGACAAUGCUGCAUGGAAAAAGAAGAAGAUAGACAAAUACCCAGCUUUAAAGAUUAGCAGGAAACUUAGGGAUAAGCCAAUCUUUCAGUGUGUGGGAUCAUCCUCUCAAGGAAUUGCAAAUGCUCAAGGGUUGCACUAGACUCCUCAAACUCCAUCUUGCACUGGUGAAACUCCAUUUUCUCAGUCUGCUGGCUUUCAUUCUGCAUAUGCUUUCACUAAUUCACCUGCUUAAGGGUCGCACCAAAUGCAUACAACUGCUCAAGGAUUGCAGUAAGAAAUUUUAUUUCCAACUUUCGCUCAUAAGAGUUCAUAUCCACAAUCUAUAGGCUCUGGCUCUGCUUCUACUUCUACUAAUGCUCGUAUAUAUACACCUCUUUCAGUAGGCCCAAGCCAAAGAACUAUGCCUUUGUUUGAUGGCUUAUAGAACUUCACUUGGGAAGCUCUUUCUCAAGCAUAUAUGAGCUGUUUUGCUCAAUCUUAGCCUCAGUAUGUCUUUGCUGAUAAUGUGAGGCAAAUGGAGAACUCUGAUCCUAUUGAAGCCAUGCUUGCUAACGUCUAUCAGGUAGUAAUUUGUAAUAUUGCUUUUAUGUUACCAUUAUUAAUAUGAAGUUGGAUCCCAAACUGUGUUCAUCUUCCUGUAGCUUGGUUGUGCUGUUCAAAUAUCAAAGAAAAAUAUAAAGUCCUUGAUGUUGGAGACAAAUGCUUUACUUGAAUCGGGCCAAGCUUCUAGAAAAAUGAUUGAUGAGCUGGAAAAGUGUCUUAGUGAAGAGAAAGCUCUGUUGACCCAAUAGAAGUUGGAACUUAAUGCUGCAAAUGAAGAAUUAGCUUAGUCCCAGUCCCAAGUUUAAGAACUGUCCAACUCCCUUGACCAAUUGAACCUCCAAAUUUUAAGUAUGAAGGCUUCAACCGUUGAAGAGUUCAAAACUUCUACUGAUUUUAAGAAUAUCCUGAAUGAAGAAUUUCUAAAAGGUGGUGCUAAGGUUAAGGCCAUGAUUAAGAGCCGUUACCCUUAACUCAAUUACCCUUUUUAGACGACUGACGAUACUCGUUAUUAGUUAUAUCCAAGACACUGCAUUUUCUAUUAUCUCCCUAGUUUUUUGUUGUUGUUUUUCUUCUUUUCUCUUGUUUUUGCAAUGAGGUUGUUUUAGUAAUAAAGUUGUAAACUGAGCAUGCUCCGGCUAUCUUUAUUAAUGUAUUUGCUUUUAGUGCCUUACUUCUCUUGCUCCUUACUUGUUUUUGUGGAUUUUUAUAAAAGUAACAAAAAAAAAAUUACUUUCCUUGCUUUUCUUUUUCCUCAGGAAUUCUAUUAGUUUUUCUGCUUGCUCCCAUAAGAGUAUAAUUUAUAGGGAGGAUGUCUACUCUCCUUACUUUUAAAGGCAUGGUUUCUGCUCCCAAAAAUUCUUUUUACUUUCUUGCUUUUCCUUUUUCUAAAGAGGGCAAUGAAUACUUAUUAAUUUUUCCUGCUGCUAUUUUUCUCUCGGGACGAUGAUUUCUGCUUCAUAGGGAGUAUAAUUCUACUGCUCCCUAUUCUUGGGAGUACAAUUUUUGGGGAGCAUGACUGCUCUCUUUACUUUGGAGGGCAUGAUUUCUGCUCCAGAAAUUCUUUUUACUUUUUUUACUUUUCCAUUUUUCUCAAAUCUUCUGAGGGUUCGAGUCUGCUCCUUUCUUUGCAUUGGUAAGCUUAUUGGCAUUAGAGUAUUUUUGAGCUCUCGAUAACAACUCGGUGAAAGUCCUUGGUGCAUUCUUAGAAAGCGGGUAAUGAAAUAUUCCUAGUUACAAGUCUGCCAUUAUGGCCGUUAAUGCCACUGCAUCUGUACAAUUUUAUACUCUUACUGUCUUUUUAUUAAAACGAACAAUAUAUUCCUUCAAUGACUCAUCAUUCCCUUGCUUCACUGAUAACAAAUGAGCUUAGGGAAACUGAUGGUCUCUUGCUCCCACAAACUUACUAAUUAACAUUUAACUAAGUUGGGUAAAUGAAGAACCAGGCUUCAGCUUCCUAUACCACUUACGUGUUGUUACUGUAAGCGUUAGGAUAAAGUCUUGCACAUGGCUGCCUCUGUUGCCCCCUGCAAUUCCAUCCACGACCUAACGGUCUCCAGAUGCUCAGUUGGGUCUCCUUCCCCUCCAUAUAACUUUAUUUGGGGCAUCUUAAAUUUUGCUGGCAAUGGGGCAUCCAAUAUGUCCUUAGUGAAUGGUGGUUCUACCUCCUCUAAGAGUGGUUCUGCAGGACUUUUCUCCAUCUCAUCCACAUGUUUCUUAAGCUUUUUCAAUUUUGCGUCAAGACUUGUCGACCCAGUACUAGCAUUAGAGCCCUUUAACUCAUGCUUCUUGUAUUGACAUUUUGAAUUCAGCUUGUGGCACAAAUCAUGCUUGGCUUCUAGCACAUGCCGGAGGUCUCUUGGGUGAUCAGUACGACUUGCAUGCGUCUUUGCUCUUCUGACUGAUCUGGUAGGGUUAUUUUUCUAACGAACCCGUUGUGAGCUAUUAUUGUUAUCUUGUAGAGCAUCUUGCAAGUCAUUCUGAAGCCCUUUUUCUUCCCGCAAAGGCGGAUUUGGGUUUGCUCUAUAUUCCUUGUUCUCUAUAUACUAGAGAACCAUGGCUGUAUUCUGUGUUAAAUCAGCCACUUGUUGCGCAAAUGGUGGAUGUGACCCAGCGUUACUACGCUGCCUUCUUAAUGGACUAGGAACUAGGGACAACCUGCUAUUGCGGCUGUGAUAACUACACUGACUGAUGGUUACUGAAUUUGAUGCAACCUUAAUAACAAAUUUUAUAUCGCUCCCCACAGACGGCGCCAAACUGUCGACGUAAAUUUUUUAUUAACUUGGUUCGCCCUUUGGCGUACGUCCAUGGGCAAAGAAAGAUACAUAUUUUAUUAAGAUCGUGCUUACAACUCAACUCUUCCUCUCUUUGCUAUUUUUUUUUCGGUGCUUUACACUAUGAGAGACCUCUGCUUUUAUAGCCUUCUAUAGAUAAAGUUAUUUUCUAACUUAAACUAUAUCUAACUCUCAUAUAUCCUCUAGGAUUUUAAUUACAAAAUAUUUCUACCUUUUCAUAGGUUGUAUCCGUGUCAGACUCUAUUUAAUUUGCUUCUGGACCAAGCAAUGUCCUAUUGUCGACUUUUAUUUUGCUGGGCUUGAUUUCAACGAUAGCUCCUCUAUUUAGAUUUGGUUUCAAUUAUAGAACUGGGUCAAGGGCCCCAUGGACGCAUGACUUUUGCUAUCCUCCACUCCUGGGCCCAUUCCUGGGGAUCAUGCUUUGUUGCUCUCCAUUCUUAGGGAAACAUAAUUCCUGCUCCCCAUUUCUGGGGGAGUAUAAUUCUUUCCCAUUCUUAGGGGAGCACGACUCUAUUGCUCCCCAUUCUUGGGGGAGCAUGGCUCUGUUGUUCUCCAUCGUGGGGGAGCAUAAUUCCUACUUCCCAUUCUUAGGGGAGAAUGGUUCUGCUACUUCUCAUUAUUGGGGGAGCAUAAUUCCUACUCUCUAUUCUUAGGGAGCAAGGUUCUGCCGCUCCUUAUUCUUGGGGGAGCAUAAUUCUUGCUCUCCUUUCCUGGGGGAGCAUAAUUCCCGCUCCCCGUUCCUAGGGAGCAUAAUUCCUAUUCCCUAUUCUUAGGGAGCAUAACUUCUGCUCCCCAUUAUUGGGGGAGUAUAAUUCUACUGCUCUCCAUUCUUGGGCGCAUCACUUUUUGCUUUAUUGACUAUUUUAUAUUUUCUACAACAUAAACUAAUAAUAACUUUUUUUCCCUUUUCGAUUAUUGAUAAAUUAUUCAAAUAAUCAUAAUAAUAAGUUUGAUUAUUUAGCAUUUCAUCUUUUAGAUUUAUUUUAGAAAAUUAUGUUAGUUACGUAUUGGACUCUGACAAAUAAUAAUAAUAAUAAGAUGUUUGCUUUUUGAGAUUUGUUUUAGAAACUUAAUUUAUUAAUGUUUUGGAUUAAGAAAUUUGACGUAUGUUAUUAGUUGUGUUUUAUUUUUAGUAGAUUUUAUAUAUUAUGUGCUAUGCUAUGCUUAUUUAGUUGGGAUACUUACUUUGUAUUCUAAUUGAUGUGUCAUUAAGAUAAAUGAACAAUUUGAAUUAAAAUGAUAAGACUUAAUAUUAUCUAUCAUUUGAACCAAUCAAAUAGUGACACAUUAUUUGUCACAUUUGUUCUGAUAAAAACUAAGUAUUUCAAUUAUGUAAGUAUUGUACUAUUGAUUUAUUAAUUAAGUUUUUAAUUGUUUUACUUUUUAUAUAAUAAUAAAACAAAAACUAAGAAUGAGCCUUUGAGGAAAAGUCCAAUAUGCAAUUACACAUAUUAGGUUGAUGAGUGGGUGAUAUUUGACCCUUUUAUUAUAUCUCACCAGGCCCCAUUUUUCAGUUAAUCCCAUUAAAAUUUUUAAAUUAAUCUUUAUCUCUCAAUUACCCUACCAAAUCCUAAUGUAUAAAUUACAAAAUCUAUUUUAAAAAAGAAGAAAAUCUCAUAAUGACUAUAAUCUCUCUCUUUCUUUUUAAAGUUUUGCCCAUUAUUGUCAUAACCAUAAAAAAAGAUUCAAUACUUCUUCAUCAUUCUCUAUUGAGUAUUAUAAAUAAAUUUGUUCCAUGAUUACAAAAACAAAGUAUACAAUAUUUGAAAAGAAAUAAUAAUUUAAAAAGUUGAAAGAAAUUAGGAUUCAAGAAAUUAGAUUCGCUAAAUUAACAUUAAUAGAAAUUACAUAUGGGUGCACUUAAGUCUUAAAAGCUAUUUAGCUUUUAAAGUCAUUUCAUAUAAUGAUAAAGCAAUAUCAACAUAAAAAUGACUAGUGGGAGUUAGUGAGAUAUAAUGAGGGGGGUCAAACAAUUACAAUUCUAGAUUGAUUUAGCUUGACUUUUUAUUAAAUGAAUUGGGUUAGAUUAGGUUGGAUUGGAUUCAGUUAUAUGUAAUCUCCAAUGCUUGUAGAAUGGAGAAGUUGAGUGCCCACCCAACCCAACCUGACUGUGCCCACCCCUAUAUCUAUAUCUUAUGUUUCAGAAUUUUAAGAAAAUGGAAGUUUGAGCUUUUGAUUAAAUGUAAUUUCUUCAAAGUAUGUGGAGUAAAUUAUAUAUUUUUUAAACAUCCAUGGAUUUAUGAAAAUAUAGUUAAGAUCUAUUUGUUUGUGUUGAAACUUAUUAGGAUAGUUUCGUUAAAUAUAUUGACUAUUGGGAUAAGGGAGAGGCUUGAAGCAGCCAUAAGUACCAGAUAACUUGUUUGUCUCCGUGGUCGCCGAUUGUUCAAAAUUUCCCAAUUGUAAUUGGCCACAUCAACAAAGUAACUAGUUGACUGAGAGGAGAGUGGCUAGCCAAUUUCGUGUAUAUUUGAUUUUUUUUUCUUUUUCGUUUCAUGUCUCUAAUAGCUAGCUUUUGGAAAAAUCUAUAUAAAACUCGCUUAUUCAAGGACCUUUAAGCUUAUAAGUUCAUAAAAUCUUGAGCUAUCACUUCUAAAUAUACUCUUGUAAGCUUUGGUUUUCUAUAAACUUUUUUUUCUACCUUUGAUUUGAAUAAUCAUAAGUGUGGGAAACACUUGAGCGAAGAGAUGUGAUACGUUCACCUCAAAUUUGUAAGAGUUUGAUAAUCAACUCCUUAAAAUCAGUUGUACUCAUUAUUGAAAGCUUAGGAUAUAUAUGACUUAGUAUUAGUAUAAUCUCCAAGCUUAGAUUGCUCAGAGGCACAAAAAUAGGUGGAUUUAUCGAACGACAAAAAAAUUGUUGUGUUUUUUUUCCCUCUCUAUCUUUACCUCUUUAAUUACUUGUUAUCGCGAUAUUGUUGAAGAAAAUUUUUAAACCCAAAUUUACAGUCCCUCUUGGGUUAUUUAAUUAGAAUUUCAUUACGAGUAAAUAUUGUUCUACAACAAUUUGUAAAAUUUAUAGUUCAAUUUUAUUUUACAUUGAAAAUUUGAGUUGGCUUGGUAAUGUUGUAGCGUUUAAAAUAAUUAGUUGCUCAAAAAUUUUAUUGUUAAUAAUGUUAGUUUUAAAAAUAGUUAUAUGUAUUUUGCAAAUCUUUACAUAUUAAAUUGUUACAAAUGACUAAAAGAUAAACAUAAUGUAAUGAAAUUUAUUUAUACAUAUCUACUCUUGUGUAAAUAUAAUAUUUUUUAUGGUAUAUAUAUAGUAGCUAGUGACUAAAUAAAUAAAUUGGUACUUCAUUAUUUUUAUUUCUUUUUUUUUUUUGUUAUUUGAAAAUAUUUGAUAAUAAAAAUAAUAAUAAUAAUGAUCUCCUCAAAUUUAUUGAGUUCAUUUCUUCAUUGAACAUGCAUAACUUUAGGUUUAUGUAAUGUAUGAAAGGAUAAAUGUUAUAUUAAGGAUAAAAUUAAUUCUCAAAAUUAAACUUUUGUAAAUUAUAACAAAAACUUAUAGUUAUUUAAUAUUCAAAUUGGUCCAUGGUAGACAUGGCUCACAAAAAAAUAGGGCAUUUGACAUUCUAAAAUAAUAAUUUAAACAUCCAUAUUUUAAUAAAGUUUCAAUGGUCAUCAUUUUACUUGGAGCUUGUGGAUUACUGUCACCACCUUAGGCCAGGUGGGCUGAGUGCUGUGGCUUGGAUUAUGGCUUUUUCAUGUCUUGGCGGUAACAUGGGUGUGCUUGUGGCGAGCAUGAAAGCAAGGCAAGUCUGACGCACAGGCUGGGCCGCAGCAGCAAGCGUGUGCUGUGGGACAAGCGUGGGGGAGCACGACAGCAACAAACGUAAGAGCGUGCACGGGUAGCGUGCAACAUCUUGUAAAUGUGUGGGCGCAUGGGCGCGAGAGUGCUCGCGCAAGGCGCAUGGGCGCGUAAGUGAGUGCAUAAGUGCUGGGCACAGUAACAUGCGAGUGUGGCAUAGUGGCGCACGGUCAUGGGGCAUAGUAACGCGCGAGGCAUGCGGGCUGGCCGAGUUUGGACAACAUGCAAGGUGGCAUGAAACUAAGCCAAGGCCCGUGAAAUGGGCCCUAACUUCAAGCAUGAGUGGGUGGUUGUUGGCGCAACUAGUGGGAGACAUGGCCUUGGAAUGCUUGGCUAGACAUGUAAGAACAUGGAAAAUGGGCAGCGGCGGUUACGCCCCACAACUUCCUUAUUUCUAAACUAAUGGACAGUGGUUGCCUUGUUCCUUAGGGGAGUGGAGAUGUGCUCCCUAGUACAUGCUUAAUCGGUGUCUAGUUUUGUGGGAAAUUAAUUGAGGUGGCGCGAGGGCAGCACACCACCUCUCCUUAGCAAAUAGGGGUGUCAUUUGCAAUGUGUAUAUCUAGUGAAAGGACGUGUGUGUUUGGGAUGGCAAUUUUGGGAGAGAGUGGUGUCCUCUAAGCACACAUGUCUUCUUACUAGGUUGUAACUUUUCUUAUUGAAGGAAAUAGAAAAGUUGGAGGCCGGUGUCUUUGUGAAAACAAUCUUGUACGUGUUGGUUUCUCUUUGUUAAAGCGAAAAAUCCUAGGGUGCGCUUUAGCACAUAACUAAUAUUGGUAUUGUUGAAUGGUUGGUUGAGUGAGGCUUGAUGCCAUCACAGGCUUGCCGCAUCUUGAGGAAAGAUGCGUGACAAUUACAAUAAUGGUUGUUACAGACAUAAUCAAAUAUGUCAAUAAUCGACACUCUUAUGAUAUAUAAAUAUGCAAAAAUUCAAAAUGCAUAUAAAAAUAGUAAAUCCCAAAAAUUCAAAUAAUUAUUUAUUUUCCCAAAAAUUCUAAUAAUUAUUUAUUUUAUUUUAUUCUAUCUUUCAUAUUACUAAAUUGAGGUAUUGUGCAAAUUUUUACUUUUUUUUUUAAAUGAUUUUUUUUACUUGUUUAACCUAAUGAUGACCUAAUCUUCUUUUCACACAUCGACGAGGGAUUUAAACUUUCUACCUAUUAUUUUCAAGAUAAUAAAUUUUACUACGCCAUUUUGAAUCAAUUAAUUUGCACAUAAGAUCAAGAAAAAUCUGGCUGUACACAUCGAAAGCAAGGCCGAAACCAUUAACGGCAAAGUUAAGCUAUAGCCUUGCCAAAAUUAGGCAAUUUUUUUUUAAUUUUUUAACUGCAUAGUAAUUUUAUGAAUAAAAAACUAACUAUUAUUGUUAUAUUUUAUAAAAUUGGCACAAUAUUAUUUAUAAGUUUAUUACUCACUUUAAUUUAUAAUAUAGCCACUGUCAUUUUUCGCAACUUCUUCCACACUCCUAUCAAAGAUGGCUGGUGGCUGUCAAUUGCCAAAGAUGAUUGGUGUCGCAAAUGAAGAAGUCGCAAAUGUUGAAUUUGAUAGAUGGUGGUAGGCACCAUAAAGUUCGAAGAAAAAUAGCAGCACAUGGUUUUGACAAAGAAAAAACCACUUAAGAAGAACAAUAAAUAAAUAAAAUAUUAAACUAACAGCCAAUUUUGGCUAUAAAAAGAGGAGUUCCCUAUAAGUUAUAAUUAAUCCCUCAUUUUGUGAAAAGCAACCCCAUUUCUUAAUAUUUAGAGAGUAAAGAGUUUUGAGAGCUUAAAUUGUAAAGUUCCUAAGAGUUUAGUGAUUUGAGAGAAUGGGUACAUUGAGUUUUGAGAAAUAAGCUAAAAUAUUACAAUAGUUUGUAAUCAUCAUUUCAUUAGAAAAGUUUAUCGUUUUAUCUUCACCUGUAGACGUAGGUUAAAAGCCGAACCACGUAAAUUCUUGCACCCUUUUUGUAUGGUCAUUCUUAUUUUCUUCCCUUCAACUUCAUUUUAUCCCAACUCCACCCAUAAUUUUCCUAACAGAAAUAUCAAAUCAUUUGGUUACUGAAGUACUGUUCACGUGAAACGGUGGAAGUCGAUCCUAGUAAAGGCAAUUUGUAGUGAAAACCAAUGGUGGUAAAAUAUGAAAUUGAGAAGUUCAAAAGAAAUAAUUUUUGUUAUGGAAAAUGAAGAUGAAGGCUAAUUUAAGGAAAAACAAUAAUUUGGCAGAAUUGGAGAAAGGUCUAAGGAGAUAACUAAUGAUGUCAACUGAAACGAGAUAGACAAUAAUGCAAUUGUUGAUCUACAUUUAGCACUGACUGAUAAAAUGUUAUUCAAUAUGGAGGAGAAAAUGAUGGUAAAGAAAUAUAGGAUACUCUCACAAAACUGUAUGAGACUAAGUCUUUACACAAUAAAUUUUCUUAAAAAGAAAACUUUACAUCUUAUAAUGGUAAAAUCUACAUCGAUGAUUGACUAUGUCAACACCUUAAAGACUCUAUUUUCGCAACUCAUAACAUUAGGUUAUUAAAUAGAGGAAAUAAAUGUGAGAAGCUUCUACUUUAAAGUUUACCAAAUUCGUAUGAUCUACUCAUACCAAUCUAACGAACAAUAACCACACGGAUAAUCUAGUCUUCGACUAUAUUACAGCCUCUGUAUUAAAUGAAGAAAACAAGCAGAAAAAUAGGGAAGAUAGAUAUACGAGUUCGCAGCAUAUGAACGUAUUAUGAUUAAUGAGAAGGAAAUCAACAGAACAUGGCUUCAGCAUGAGUCACAAUCAUUGUAGAUCAAAAUUGAAAAGUAAAAAAAAUGUCAAAUGGUACAAUUGUGAUGAAAAAGGGCACGCUAAGAAAAAGUGUUAGAAAAUAAAAAAAAAGUAGAUAUGGUAAAGCGCCUAAGUUAUUAAAUACUCAGGUUUGUGUGGUAAGUUUAUCUGGUGAUAGCGAAAUUUUUUACAAUGAGGUAACAACUAUUGAAGAAAGCAGGAAGUGGUUAGUUGAAGUCUGAUUUAUAGACUCAGGAGCAAUAUGGCAUAUGAUUUUUCGAAGAGAAUAGUUUCAUAAAUAUGAAUAUAUUUUAAGAGGAUCUAUAUACAUGAGUGAUGAUCAUGCUUAGAAAUUGUUGGUACUAGUCCUGUCAAAAUAAAAAUAUUUGAUGGUACAGUUCACACAAUCUAAGAGAUAUGACAUAUCAAAGGCUUGAAGAAAAACCAUUGUCUUUAGGAUAAAUGGGUAGUCUUAAGUAAAAAAAUCAUGUUUAAAAUGAGAUAAUAAAGAUAAUCAGAGGCGCGCUCAUAUUAAUAAAGGCGAAAAAUAUCGCUAACAUAUUCAUGCUUAAAGAGGAAACACUACAAGCAGUUGGUGUGUGUAUCGCAUCAAAUAAAGAAGAGUUUAUAAUGAUGUGGCAUCUAAAAAUUGGCCACAUGUUUAAACAAUGUUUAAGAUUCAAUCUGAACUAAAGUUGUUUCUAGGGCUCAAAUCAGUGAACUUAGCAUUUUGUGAGCAUUCUAUUACCAAUAAGUAGCAUAAAUUGAAGUUCAGCAGACCUGACACCAGAAGUAAAUAUAUUCUAGACUUGAUUUAUUUUGAUGUUUAGGAAUCACCAUAUUUAUCCCUAAGAGGUGAAAAGUACAACGUGACUUUCAUUGAUGAUUACUCCAGGAGAUGUUCAGUGUAUCCAAUCAAGAAAAAAUCAAAUGUGUUUCUAAUGUUUAAAGAAUUCAAAGCGCAGAUUAAACUUGAAUCUGAGAAAAGGAUUGAAUGCUUAAAGAUAGAUAAUGGUGGAGAGUAUAUAAACAACGCGUUUCUUGCAUUUUAUAAGUAAGAAUGUAUUGGAAAGCAGUUCACAGUUGCAUACACUCCUUAGUAGAAUGAAGUGGCUGAGUGAAUAAACAACACUUUUAUAGAAAGAAUAAGAGUUAUGUUAACGAUUGCUGGUCUACCCAACUCACUCUGGCAGAAAUAGCUAAAAUUGCCUAUUAUAUGGUUAAUUGGUUUUUAUCAAUAAUAAUUAAAUCGAAGACACCAAUAGCGAUGUGGACCUAAAAGUCAAUUGAUUGAUCCCACCUACAUUCAUUUGGAUUUACUAUGUACUUCAUGUACAAUGUCCAAGAAAGAACAAAGUUAAAUCUGAAAUCUAAAAGAUAUUUAUUCUUAAGGUAUGCUAAUGGAGUAAAAAGGUAUCGUUUGUGGGACCUUAUUGCCCACAAGAUAAUUAUCAGCAGAGAUGUUAUAGUUGUAGAAAAUCAACUACAAAUAAAAGAUGAUGAUGAUACACUAUGAAGAAAAAGUUAGAGACUGUACCAAUAUAUGUAGAAAAUAAUCAGAAAAAAAAAUUUUAGAUUCUUCUAAGGCAGCACUAGAGUACGAGGAACAAGAAAUAGUUGAGUCCAAGGCUCCAGAAGUACGUCGAUCAACUCGUGAGAGACAACAACCAGUGUGACACUCGGAGUAUGUUACAGAGGUCAAUAUUGCAUAUUGCCUUCUAACAGGAUGGAGAGCCAUCAACUUUCCAUGAGACUUUAAACAACUCAUAUGUUACUUUGUGGAUGACAGUAAUACAGGAAAAAAUUAAAGCUCUACAUAAAAGAAAGACAUAAGAACUUGUGCCACUACGAUAUGGUAGAAAAGUUAUUGGUAACAAAUGCGUCUAUAGGAUCAAGUGUGAUGGUAAUAAUCAAAUGGAACAAUAUCAUGCAAGAUUGAUGGUGAAAGGAUAUACUCAAAAAGAAAAUAUUUAAUUUAAAGAAAAAAAAUAUCAACAGUUGUCUGACUCAUGACAGUCAAAGUAAUAUAAUUAAUACAUAUAUUUUACCUUAAGAUUUUAAGAAGGUCUAACUAAGAAAUUUGCCAAAGACACCAAAUAUGGUUAAGCCAGCCUAUUUCAUAGUAUUGAUCUGGAUAGAGAUGGCAAAGAUCCCACAAAGACAGACCCUGAGGGAUUUUCCCCAUUUGGGAAAGGUAUGAGAAUAAUUUUAUACCUAAUUUCUUAUUCAGAGAAGGGAGGGGGAUGAUUUUUUAAUCCAAUUUCUUAAUCAGGGAAGGUACGAGGAUAAGGUAGAAUCCUAUUCCUCUCCCCAUUUUCCCAUUUCCCCAUUUCAAUUUUUAAUUUUAUUUUAUUUUUGAAGAAUUAUUAGUGAAUAAAUAAUAAAAUAUUACAUAUUGGUGUAAAUAGCAAAUAUCAAAUAUUUAUACAAAUAAUCUAAACAUUAGUUAAAAUAAAGGCUUUAAUGUAAUUUAAACUAUAGCUAAAAGCCCACAAUCUCACAAGUCACAAUCCACAAAUCAAACUCUAAGCUACUCUCUCACAGUCUCACUCAUUCUUGUUAACAUAUAUGUUUCCAUAAUAUUGAUUUUGAUGAUAACAAACAAGAUUAAGAAUGAUUAAUCUUUUAAGAUCAAAUUAUUUUUUAUAUAUUUUAAAUAAAUCAUUAUUUUCACAUUUUAAAGGUUUUAUAUUUAAUGGAAAAAUGAUUUUAUGAAAUUGAUUGUUUUUAUUCUUUUUAAAUAAAUCAUUAUUUUCACAUUAUAAAUGUUUCAUAUUUAAUGGAAAAAUGAUUUUAUGAAAUUGGUUGUUUUUCAAAGUUUAUGGUUUAAUUGAAAGAUUUUUGAAAACUUUGAAAUAAACAAGUAUUGCUUGAAAUUUUGGAUAAUGACUUAUUUGAAAAGUGUCAUAGCAUUUUGGGCUAUACCAUAAUUUCAAAAAGUUUUGGGAUUAACAAAGCAUUACUUAGAAAUUCUGAAAUUGGACCUAUUUGUAAAGUUUUAUAACGUUUUGGGCCGUAACACAGUUUUAUAAAGUUUGGGGUCAAACUGUGAAUUUGGAAAAUAUUUCACUGUAGCAGUUACUGUAGAAAACGGCGAUCCGACAUCUUGAUAACGGCUCGCCGACAUCUAACAGAAUUGAAGAUUAGUCUCUGGACCUAAACGGCGAACCGACACGUGUGAUAAACGGCUCGCCGAUAUCAACCAGUAGCCUCUGGACCGAAACGGUGAUCCGACAUAUAGUUAACGGCAAUCCGACAAUUUGAAAAAUCAGCACAACGGUCAUAUUGACCAGUCAAACGGCGAUCCGACAUCUCGCUAACGGCGAUCCGACAUCUAGCUAACGGCGAUCCGACAGUGUGCAGAAAGUCAAUAACGGCUAGUUUUCAGCUCCAACUAUAAAUAAGCUCAAUCCAAUUCAAACAAGCAGUUUUCCAACGAUCAUCAUUGAGCAAAAUAUUGAGAAUACAACUUUCAUUGAGCUUUAAAUCUUUGUAUUCAUCUUAUUCAUUCACACAUUGAGCUUUCACUUGUGAUCAAACACAUUGUGUGAGAGAGAUUCAUUUGUAAUCUUUUUUUAUAAAAUCAAGUUAAAAGAUUGUAAGUGUUGGGAUACACUUGGGUUAAGAGAUUGGGGAUAAUCUCUUGUUGUAAAGGUCCAUUGACACCUUGGAAGUCAAUUGUAAGCGUUUGAAGCCUUGGGAGGCUAGCUUAGUGAAAUCCUCAAGCCUGGUGAGCUUGGAGGCGUGGACGUAGGCGGGGAUUGCCGAACCACGUAAAAAUCAUUGUGUUUGUUUUCUCUUCCCUUACUCUUUUAAUAUUGUGCAUGAUUGAAUUUAUUGUUUUCAAUUUGAUUAAGGCAAUAGAUUAAAUUGUUGUGUGGUUUGCUUAGCUUAAUUUUUAAAAACCCAAUUCACCCCCCCUCUUGGGUUGACUAGUUAGUAUUUCAUUUGGUAUCAGAGAGAGGUGCUCUUAUUUAGACUUAACCGUCUAGAGUAAAAGAUCCAUGGCAACCUAUAGUGACUCAACCUUUAGGGAAGGGCAAUCCACAAUUAGACCACCGUUCUUUGACAGUAAUGACUACUCAUAUUGGAAAACUAGGAUGAGAAUUUAUUUACAAGCUUUAGAUUAUGAAAUUUGGGAAAUUGUUUGUAAUGGUCCAUUUAUGCCUUUGACUAAAAACGAAGUUGGGGAAGAUAUUCCAAAACCUUCACGGGAAUGGAAUGAAUUGGAAAAGAGAAAAGUUUCUCUAAAUUCCAAAGCCAUGAAUGCCUUGUUUUGUGCACUUGAUAAGAAAGAGUUUCAUAGAGUAUCUAGUUGUGAGAGUGCUAAUGAAAUUUGGCACAAACUUGAAGUUGUUUAUGAAGGCACAAAUCAAGUGAAAGAGUCUAAAAUUAGUAGGUACACUCGGCAAUAUGAAUUGUUCCAAAUGGAACAAAAUGAGAGUGUGUAUUCUAUGUAUACUAGAUUUACGGACAUAAUGAACACUCUAGGAGCCCUAGGAAAGACUUUUUCAAAUAGCGAGAAGGUUAAGAAAAUUAUUAGGUCUCUACCUAAGGAAUGGAGACCAAAAAGGACUGUCAUUGAGGAAGCCAAGGAUUUAAAUAUCUUACCCAUUGAUGAUUUAAUUGGUUCUCUUAUUUCUUAUGAGGAAGACUUGGCAGCCGAAAGAGGCAAUGAGGAGAAGAAGAAAAACAUUGCUCUCAAAGCCUCGAAACAUGAGAGUGAUGAGGAAAGCGAGCUGGAUGAGGAGGAGAUGGAUAUGCUAGCUAGGAGGUUCAGAAAACUUUUUAAGAAAUCCGGUGAGCGAAGAAAAUUUAGAGACCUCAAGAACCGAAAGGAGAAGAAGGAAUUAAUCAAAUGUUAUGAGUGCAAGAAGUUUGGCCAUAUAAGAACGGAAUGUCCUCUUCUCAACAAGCUCAAGAAGAAAGCAAUGGUAGCCACAUGGGAUGAUAGCGAUGAGGAAACAAGUGAUGACGAAGAGCAUCAAGAAAUGACAAAUCUAGCUCUCAUGGCAAUUGGAGAUGAAUCGGAUGAUGAACUUGAUGAGGUAAAUGAUCUUUUUACUUAUGAUGAAUUAUAUGAUGCUUUUAAAGAAUUGCAUGAUAAUUGGAUAAAAAUUGGUAAAAAGAAUGCAUGUCUUAAAAAGAAAAUGGUAGAGCUCAAAAAUGAAAAUGAAUCUCUAUGUGCAAAGAUUACAUGCCUAGAAUUAGAGAAUAAAACAUUGCAUGAUAGAGUUGCAUUAUCAAAUGAGAAAUCUAGCACUUCACAUGAGCAUCUAAAAUAUCACAUAGAUGACUUGAAAAAGGAAAAUGAAAUGCUUAAGAAGAAGAGCAAUGAGUUAAAUGAGAUUGUUUUGAAAUUUACAAAUGGGCAAAAGAUGUUGGAUAACAUGCUUAAUUCACAAAAAUGUGUAUUUGACAAAGGAGGUAUUGGCUAUAAGCCAAAUUUGAAACAAAAGUAUUAUAAGAAUUACUUUGUGAAGAGUACCUCAAUUAACAAUCAAGUUGUAUGUCAUUAUUGUAAUCAAAACGGUCACAUGAAGCUUGGUUGUCCUAUUAAGAGAAAUGUAUAUUAUGGAGUCAAAUGUAUUUGGGUUCCAAAAGGAACUAAAUCUAACAUUCAAGGACCCAAGAGUAUUUGGGUACCAAAGGGCACAACGUGAAUGUUUUCUUUGUAGGUACCACAAUCAAGGAAUGGUGGAGAGUUCCUUGAUGAAAGCUUGUGAGGAUAAUCACUUGAGUAUGAUCUAGGAGAAAAAGAUGAGGCAAGAUGAUUUAAUUGUUUUGGUAAUAAUUCUUGCUAUAUUAAUUUUGUUGAAUGAAUCAUGAUAAAUGAAUUUGCGAAAGUAUGAUUGUAUGUUUACAUGAUUAAAUUAUCAUUGUGUUUAACAUUGAGUGUUUUAUCAUGAUAGCUUAUCAACUCAUCAUGAUGGAUUUGUUUGAUGUUAAUGUUUAUGAAAUGUUUAAGCAUGAUAGUUAAGUGGUGUGUUUGAUUUAUUCACUUUUGAAUGCUUAUAUGUUUAAUUAUUGUGAAAAUCUCUAGUCUGCACAAGCUGUAAUGAAUUGGUCAUAACUCCUUCUAGAGAACUCCAAAUCCAGUUCUGUAAAAUUUAUUGGAAAGUUAACUUAAUUAUCUUUCCAACAGUAUAUAGCUUGCAUGUUACUUCCGGCUCAAUCAAUACAGUUUUUAUUCCGAAUUUGACCUUUCUGCAUUUUAUUAAGUUUUGAAUGCUUAUAUGUUUCAUGAUUGUGUAAAAUAUACACAUGAUGAAUGAAUUAUAUGUGUGAAUUCAUAUGCUAUUAAUUGUGUUAUAUCAUCAUUCGGAUAACCGGAUUUAUCAAUCCGAAAAACUGGAUUUAUCAAUCCGGAAAACCGGAUUUGCUAAGCCAAACUCUCUAUGAGCUUUGGAAAUAUAGAAAACCCAACAUUAGUUAUUGCAAAGUUUUUGGAUGCAAAUGUUAUAUUUUGAACACAAAAGAUAAUCUUGGCAAAUUUGAUCCAAAAUUUGAUGUUGGUAUUUUUCUUGGCUAUUCAAACACAAUCAAAACUUAUUGAGUGUAUAACAAAAGAACUUUGAUUGUAAAAAAAAAAAAAAAAAUUAUACUUGUUAUAAUUGAUGAGUCUAAUUCUUCCGCUAUGGAGAAAGUUGUUGUUAAUGAUAAUGUAGAUGAAGAGCUACAAGAAGAUUAUCAAAUGAUAGCCAAAAGAAUGCACCACUUGAAAAUCAAGAGGAGCAACAUGAAGAAAUAAAUGCGGAGUAAAAUGAAGGUACUUUCUCAUACAUUCCCAAAGAGUGGAGGUAUGUUUCUUCUCACCUUAAGAACUUAAUUUUGAAAGAUCCAUCACAAGGUGUAACUACUAUAUCAUCACUUAAAAAUAUAUGUGAGCAUUUGUAAUAACGGAUUUGAUCACUUGUUCUUUAACUCAUAAUUAUGGCUUUUCUUAAUAGUUAUGUUGAUUUUGAUGAUCUAUAUAUUGGCAUAUGUUGAUUUUGAUGAUAAAGAAUGUGCUUUGAUGAUUCCAUUGUAUUUGAUGAAAUUUGAUCUUAUGGAAUUUAUGAUUGGUGAAUGGAUACAUUUUUUUUGCUUUCUUGACGCAUUGUUAAAUAUGCAUUACUUGCUUUAAAUGAUAUCAAAAGGGGGAGAAAUACACGAUCAUUAAGAUCUUGGCGCAUAUGAGAGUGUAAGUUAUAUUAAAAUGUCACAUUAGAUCUUUGAUGAGUUUAGUUGUCUUUAUUUAUAAAAUGUGAUUGAUAAUUAUGGAGUUUGAAUAUUUGAUAAUAUGCAUGCCAAUUUAGUAAAGAAAUCAAAACUUCUUUGCGAAGAAGAAUUUUCAAAAAUUCGGCAUAAACUUGGAAUGAUUUGAUUUCUUGAUGAUUUUGGUAAUUGAUGAUUAUAUGUGCGUUGCUUGAUGAAUUGAAGGAGUUGUUGGUUGGUUAUAAUUUUUUAAGCUUAUAUAGAAGUGUUUUUAAUCAUGUUGUGUAUUUGAGGAUUUGUUCAUUUUUAAGGGAAGACUUUGCCGAAAUUUUUGCUCACACAAAAUGGGUAAUAUCUUCAUCGAAUUAUUUUUGAUGAUCUUGUUAUUGCAUCUAUCUAUUGUUUUUUUAAGGAGGAGAUAAAUAUGAUAUAUUUUUGGUUAAAAUCAUUUUGGUUAAAAUUCUUAAAUUGGCCAUAUAUUUAGGGGGAGCAUAUAAUAUGAUUUUGGAUAAUAUGCAUUUUGAACUUUUUUGUUGUCCAAAGGGGGAGACAAAGUAAUAUCUCAUUUCGAUAUUGUCAAAAGGAGGAGAACAAUAUGCAUUUUGAGUAAUUAUUUUGAUAAUUGAUAUGUGAUUAUGGUGAGAACUUGAUGAUUUUGAGAUAUGAUGAUGAUUUGAUUACAUAGGUGUUUUAUAUGAUAAAUUUAUGUUAUGAGUUGUUGACUUGGAAAUUGAUGGAAUAAUGGUUCAUGAUAUUUUUGUGUGAUGAUUUGUGUAUGGAGUUGACAUGUAUCAUGAUUUAUAAUAAUUUGUGAGUAAUAUUACUAAACGUGUAUUUGAGGUAAUGCUUGUUGAUAGGGGGAGAAUGUGUCAAAAUUUCUACUCGGCUACAUGGGUAACAAAUUUGCUACUCUUUUUCUUUUCCACUAAGUUUUCUUUUUUGAUGAUGAGGGGGAGAAGAAUGCAUGUAUUUAAAUUUGUUAAUUUAGCUAAAUUGUAAGAGAAGCUUACAUUUAGGGGGAGCAAUUUGUGCAAUCAUUUUUUAAAUACAUGAAACGUUUGUCAUCAUCAAAAAGGGGGAGAUUGUUAACAUAUAUGUUUCCAUAAUAUUGAUUUUGAUGAUAACAAACAAGAUUAAGAAUGAUUAAUCUUUUAAGAUCAAAUUAUUUUUUAUAUAUUUUAAAUAAAUCAUUAUUUUCACAUUUUAAAGGUUUUAUAUUUAAUGGAAAAAUGAUUUUAUGAAAUUGAUUGUUUUUAUUCUUUUUAAAUAAAUCAUUAUUUUCACAUUAUAAAUGUUUCAUAUUUAAUGGAAAAAUGAUUUUAUGAAAUUGGUUGUUUUUCAAAGUUUAUGGUUUAAUUGAAAGAUUUUUGAAAACUUUGAAAUAAACAAGUAUUGCUUGAAAUUUUGGAUAAUGACUUAUUUGAAAAGUGUCAUAGCAUUUUGGGCUAUACCAUAAUUUCAAAAAGUUUUGGGAUUAACAAAGCAUUACUUAGAAAUUCUGAAAUUGGACCUAUUUGUAAAGUUUUAUAACGUUUUGGGCCGUAACACAGUUUUAUAAAGUUUGGGGUCAAACUGUGAAUUUGGAAAAUAUUUCACUGUAGCAGUUACUGUAGAAAACGGCGAUCCGACAUCUUGAUAACGGCUCGCCGACAUCUAACAGAAUUGAAGAUUAGUCUCUGGACCUAAACGGCGAACCGACACGUGUGAUAAACGGCUCGCCGAUAUCAACCAGUAGCCUCUGGACCGAAACGGUGAUCCGACAUAUAGUUAACGGCAAUCCGACAAUUUGAAAAAUCAGCACAACGGUCAUAUUGACCAGUCAAACGGCGAUCCGACAUCUCGCUAACGGCGAUCCGACAUCUAGCUAACGGCGAUCCGACAGUGUGCAGAAAGUCAAUAACGGCUAGUUUUCAGCUCCAACUAUAAAUAAGCUCAAUCCAAUUCAAACAAGCAGUUUUCCAACGAUCAUCAUUGAGCAAAAUAUUGAGAAUACAACUUUCAUUGAGCUUUAAAUCUUUGUAUUCAUCUUAUUCAUUCACACAUUGAGCUUUCACUUGUGAUCAAACACAUUGUGUGAGAGAGAUUCAUUUGUAAUCUUUUUUUGUAAAAUCAAGUUAAAAGAUUGUAAGUGUUGGGAUACACUUGGGUUAAGAGAUUGGGGAUAAUCUCUUGUUGUAAAGGUCCAUUGACACCUUGGAAGUCAAUUGUAAGCGUUUGAAGCCUUGGGAGGCUAGCUUAGUGAAAUCCUCAAGCCCGGUGAGCUUGGAGGCAUGGACGUAGGCGGGGAUUGCCGAACCACGUAAAAAUCAUUGUGUUUGUUUUCUCUUCCCUUACUCUUUUAAUAUUGUGCAUGAUUGAAUUUAUUGUUUUCAAUUUGAUUAAGGCAAUAGAUUAAAUUGUUGUGUGGUUUGCUUAGCUUAAUUUUUAAAAACCCAAUUCACCCCUCUCUCUUGGGUUGCCUAGUUAGUAUUUCAAUUCUUUCUAAAAUAAUCACAUCGUAGUCAGUACCUAACUCGUCCUCAUCUAUCGUAAUCAUGUAGCACAUCGCGUUGUCGAUGGCCAAGCAGCCCAGCUCAUUACAACAUGAACUAGCAGCCCCACUCGCUAAGAGGUAUCAUUGUUUAUGGAUAAUACAAGUGUCAAUAUUAAAUAAAAAUCUCAUUUUUUGAAUUUUGUUUUGAAAAUCAUUAUCUGAAUAUUAUAUAUACCAAAACUUUGAUGGAGGAGAAUAAAAUAAAAGCCAUUCAUGAUCAUUCUCACUUUAUUUUAUAUAGUUUUAGGUUAAUAUAAUUAAAUUAAGUUUGAAAACUAAAAGGUAAGUGUAUGAGAGAAUGUUUCUGUUGUACUUCAAAGAAAACUCCCUCCUAAGUGCAAGGAUCCAUGCACUUUCACUAUCACCUACACUAUUGGCAAUACCAAGUUUAAAAGAUGUAUGCUAGAUUUAGGUGUUUCAAUUAAUGUUAUGCCAUAUUCGAUUUAUAACUCUUUAAAUCUAGGUCGAAUGGAAGAAACUAAUAUAAUUAUUCAAUUGACUAAUAGAUAUAAUGCUUACUCAAAGGGGUUGUUGAAGAUGUCCUUAUGCAUGUUAAUGAAUUGGUCUUUCCAGUUGAUUUCUAUAUCCUUGAAAUGGAGGAUGAGUCAUCACUCAAUCCCAUGCCCAUUCUGCUGGGGUGACCAUUCCUUAAGACAGCCCGAAACAAGAUUGAUGUUCAUGAUGGAACCUUUGUUAACAUGAAUAUGUUAAUAAUAUUGAUUUUGAUGAUAACAAACUUUAAAUGAUUUUUUAUUAAAAUGUUGGAGCUAUUCCUUAAUAAACGAAAGCCUUAUAAUCAUUCCAAUUAUAUUCAUAAAAGUUGGAUCACUGUUAAAUUUCAAAUUGGAAAAUGAUUCUCUGCAAAAUCUGGCUGAAAUCGUGAUUCUGGAAAUAAACGGUGAACCGUUUUCCUUUUAAACGGUUAACUGAUUAAAACCAGAGAGUAUCAAAUUGCUUAAGCUUUAGUCGGUUAAGAAAAAUAGAAAAUACAAAAAGCUGGGAAGGCCACUGUAAUUAAACCGUGAACCAUUUAUUGAAACGGUUAACCGAUAAAAUCCAGAAUGAAAUAUUGUACCUGGAAACAAACGGCAAAAGUUUAACUGAAACGGAUAAGGCUAACUUGUUUUGUAGGUUACUGGAAACAAACAGCGAACCGUUAAUUACAAACGGCUAACCGAUAAACUCCAGAAAUGUUAUUUCGUAUAAAUCUUUAACCGUUUAGUAUGAACUAAUAACUGAAGUUCAUCUUGCAGGUCACUGGAAUUUAACGGCUAACGGGUAAGCUUAAACGGCAAACCGUUUAUUUGAAAUUUGGCCCAAUGGUAACUUUUGACUAGAUUCAAUGGUUAACUGUUAAUGACUAACGGCGAACCGUUUUCUAGCAGACAGUCUAUAACGGCUAGUUUUUCAGCUCCAACUAUAAAUAAGCUCAUUCAAAUUCAAACAAGGUUGAUCACAACACGACCAUUGAGCUUAUAUUUGAGAAUACAAUCUUCAUAGAGCUUUAAAACACAUUAUUGCUUCAUCUAUUCACACAUUGGGCAUUGAUUUGUAAUCUUAAAUAUUGUGUGAGAGAAAAAUAAUUUUUAAUCUUUUACUUUGAGUGAUUGUAAGUGUUCGGAUACACUUGGGUUAAGAGAUUGGGGAUAAGCUCUUGUUGUAAAGGUUCAUUGACACCUUGGAAGUCAAGUGUAAGCAUUUGAAGCCUUGGAGGCUUGCUUAGUGAAAUUCUCAAGCCCGGAAAGCUUGGAGACGUGGACGUAGGCGAGGUUGGCCAAACCACGUAAACUCUUCGUGUUUGAAUCUCUCUUCCCUUAUCUUUUUAUAUUGUAAUUGAUUUAAUUGUUAUUCCAUUAAAUUCAUUUUAGAUUUGCUUGAUAAUUUAUUUUAGAAUCAAAUAAUUUUUAUAAACCCAAUUCACCCCCCCUUCUUGGGUUGCACACUUGUAUUUCAACCUUCACAAUGGAAUUUGAUGGUGAAGUGAUCGGCUUCAAUAUAUUUGAGGCGAUGAGGUAUCUCAGUGAUUUACACUCUGUUUUAACCAUAAAUGAUAUGAACACUUUAGUGCAGGAAUUCGUUGAGUUAUCUAGUAACGACAGUUUUGAAAUCACCAUAAGUAAAAAUCUUAGGAAGAAUGAUUCUAAAGAACAUAUAAGUUUGAUAAAGUUGGAUGAUGAAUAGAAGAGGCUGUGACAAUCUUAGAUGGAGCAAUCCUAUUACGCACCAAUGGGUAUAAUGUUUCUUACCUUGAAUUGUCUUUAUCAAACAAGAAACUUUUACCUUCAACUGUACAAGCACCGAUCUUAGAAUUUAAGCCACUCCCAGAGCACCUACAAUAUAUUUACUUGGGUAAGAAUGAUACACUUCCAGUCAUCACUACUAAAACCCUCACUCCAGUUCAACAAGAAAAGCUAAUUAAGGUGCUUCGAGAGCACAAGACGGCGAUUGGCUGACCAUUGUCGACAUUAAGGGAAUUAGUCUUUCCAUGUGUGUAUUCAUCGCAUUUUACUAGAGGAAUGGUCUAAACCAACAAGAGAUGCACAAAUCCGCCUUAAUCCACCAAUGAUGGAAGUCGUAAAAAAUGAGAUACUGAAGCUUUUUAAUGUAGAGAUUAUCUAUCUUAUUUCUAAUAGUAAAUAAGUGAGUCAUGUGCAGGUAGUUCUAAAAAAAAUUGUGCAGUCAAGAAUGAAGAAAACGAGCUUGUAUCAACUAGAGUUUAAAUUGGGUGAAGGGUUUACAUUGACUACCGCAAACUGAAUGCGACCACUCGCAAAGAUCACUUUCUUUUGCCAUUCAUUAAUAAAAUGCUUGAAAGGUUAAGUGCUCACUCUUAUUAUUGUUUUCUUGAUGGUUACUCAAGUUAUGAUUAGAUUGUUAUCACUCCGAAAGACCAAGAGAAAAUGACCUUAACAUGCUUCUCCGGCACAUUUACUUAUCGACCCAUGUCAUUUGGUCUCUAUAACGCUCCUCCUACUUUUCAAAGGUGUAUGAUAAGUAUUUUUUCUAAUUACGUUGAGAACAUCAUUGAGGUAUUUAUUGAUGAUUUUAAGGUUUAUGGUGGUGAUUCUUUUUAUAGAUGUUUAGAUAACCUUACACUUGUGCUUAAACGAUAUAUUGACAUUAACCUUGUGCUUAAUUGGGAAAAAAUUUAUUUUAUGGUUAAUCAAGGUAUUGUACUGGGACAUGUUAUUUCUGAAAGGGGGAUUGAAGUUGAUAAAUCUAAGAUAAAUCUUAUUCACUCUUUACCACCUCCCAUUAGUGUGAAGGAGGUUCAUUCAUUUCUUGGUCAUACAUGUUUCUAUCUCAAGUUUAUCAGGGACUUGUCCAAGAUGGCAUUACCUCUCUACAACUUGCUUCAGAAAUAUACAACUUUUGACUUCAAUAAAAAGUGUCAAACAACCUUUGAGAAAUUAAAAGAGGUUUUGACAUCAGCCUCUGCGAUUCAACCAUCAAACUGGAAUUUACCAUUUGAUAUCAUGUGCAACGCCAAUGACUAUGUCGUUGGGGCCGUGUUAGGUCAGUGUGUGGACAAGCUUCCUCAUCUUAUCUAUUAUGCCUCUUGUACACUGAAUGAUGCACAACUCAACUACUCCACCACCAAGAAAGAACUUUUAACGAUUAUUUUUGCCUUGGAGAAAUUUCGUUCUUAUUUGAUUGGAUAUAAGAUAAUCGUUUCCUCUGACCAUACAGGUGUUAAGUACUUGCUCACUAAAAUGGACGCCAAGUCGCUCCUUAUUCAAUGGAGAUUACCCGAACUGAAAAUUCUAAGGUUGUGGUAGAUUUUAUAAAGUGCAACAUCUUUGCGAGGUUUAGAAUGCCAAAAGUCAUUAUCAGCAACAGAGGCACUCACUUUUAUAACAAGUCAGUAGAAGCCCUCUUUCGGAAAUACAACAUUACUCACAAUGUCUCUACAUCUUACCAUCCACAAACUAGAGGGCAAGCUGAGGUGUCUAAUAAGGAAGUAAAAUCAAUCCUUCAAAAGAUAGUUAAUUCGAAUAGAAAAUGUUGGAGCUUACGGCUUGAUGAUUCACUUUGGACUUACAAAACUGCAUUAAAAUGCCUAUUGGUAUGUCAACUUACCGGUUGGUAUAUGGUAAGUGUUGUACAAAUUUUAUUGAACUCGCAAGCGCACGAAUCUAUUAUAAAAUAGAUUAACGGUGACGAGUGUCAAUCCCACGAGGAGGUGGAUUUUAAUUAUAUGUAGAAUUAAUUUUCUAUGAGGGUGGUUGGAUUUGUGGUGAAAAUGAUUUGGAAAAUUCUAAAAUUUAAAUUAGAAUGGCAGGAAUAAAUUUAAAACGAAUUCUAUUGAAAUGAAGCACUUGGAUAUCUGCAUCAACAUGCACCAUUGGCUAAAUAUUCCUUAUUAAUGCCAAUUAAAUCAUGAGGGGGGUUUCCAUUCCUCAUGAACCACACUCUAAUCAAUAUGGUGCUAAGGGCUUAUCGUGUUAAAUAAUAAUAACAUUGUACUAGGGAGCCGGUGAAACCAGGGCGGUAUCUAGACAAGAUUAUUACUAUUUGUUAACGAAAAGUCAAAACAUCCAUAAUAAUUAGAGGGGAAGAGAAAAUAAAUUUACCAAAUAAAUCUCAUGACACAUGUUGAGACUUCACUUUCAACCUAAGCUUAAAAGAAACUUAGCUACUCAUAAUUGAACUAGGGGUAAAAUGAAAAUUUAUUAAAAUACGUAGAAAAUACAAGAUGGAGAAUGAAUUACAGAAAAUUGAACUCAAAAAUGAAUUCAUGGAUAUCAAAUUACGGGGGAAGCCCCUUUUUUUAUAGAUAUAUUGAGUAAAUCAUGGUCAUCGGAUUAAAAACAUUUCGGACGCUCAGGAUUGCGCCACGUCAUCGGUCAACAGUACGCGGUUUGAAUAGUUACGCGGUUUGAGUAGUGACACAAUUUGGUUGUAAGUUAUCCUGUGUAUUUGCAUGUACCGUACGCACGAUUUUUGGUCCACUUACAUGUUGCCACGUCACCGAUCAACAGUACAUAAGAAUUUUAGUCCAAUAGAAUCGUGAUACUUCAUCAGUCAAUGCCACAUCAUUGGUCAAUACCAUGUCAUCGUUCCAUAUAUGUGAACAGUGUGAUGAACAGUAACGCGGACAGUACCAUACAUGUGAAUAGUACCGUAUAUGUGAACAAUGUCAUUUUUCAUUUUCUGCUCCUCCUAAGGUUUUCGACCGUUCUGAGUUCAAAAGUGAUGUCCGUUUUGCCAUCUUAUCUCUCGUUCAUUGUGAAAUGAUCAUGAUGCCCCUAAAAUACAUAAAAUAAUUAAUUAUAAUACAACACACAUAAUUAAAUCACAAGAUAAUUAAAUACAUAAAAGUAAGAAUGUUAGUGCGACUUGAAAUAUAAAAUGACUAUUUUCUCGUUUAUAAAUACACACUUUCUAACACUCAACAGUAAGCCCUGUCAUCUUCCGAUGGAACUUGAACAUAAAGCAUGGUGGACUGUGAAACAAUAUAACAUGGAAUUGGAUGCCGCUGGCCAACACAGGGAGCUUUAAGUACAAGAAUUAAAGGAAAUUUGAACAAUGCCUAUAAGAAUUUGCAAAUCUACAAUGAAAAGACUAAGGCUUUUCAUGAUAAGCAGAUCUUAAGAAAGAACUUUAAAGUGGACAAAAAGUUUUACUAUUCCAUUCUCGUCUUAAGUUAUUUCCAGAUAAGUUUCGUUCUCGAUGGGUUAGCUUUUUUGUUGUUACUAAUGUUUUUCCUCAUGGUGCAGUUGAGAUUAGAAGCUUAAAGACAGGUAAAGAGUUCAAGGUAAAUGGUCAUAGGUUGAAGUCUUACUAUGAAAACUUUCAUACAUUCAAUGUAGAGGAGGUUCCACUCUAUGAACCCGCGUACGUUGAUGAGUGAAACAUGAAAACCAUGUCAGACUGAGGAUAAUAAACCAAGCACUUAUUGGGAGGCAACACAAUGGCUGGAGAUUAGAUUUGAGAGCACGCCGUAACAUAUUUGAUCUUUCAACCUUUCAUUCUCAUUUACUUUAUCCAUUUUAUUUUUAAUUUAGUUUUCUAUUUGUUUUUUGUGUGUCUCUUCUUAUUUCCCCAUGUUUAAUUCUUUCUUUUGUUAGCUUAAGCUUACAUUGAGGACAAUGUAAGAACUAAGUGUGGGGGGGGGGGGGGGGAGAGAGAUUUCGAACUUAGUUUUUGUUGCUUUAGCUUUUUCUUUUUCUAUUAAAAAAACCAAAAAAAAAAUUGUUUGUCUUGAAUAUAAGCCAAUGAAUAUGAUUCUUAAAAAGGGUUGAAUAUUGUCUUAGUUUAUAUUUGAUUCUUAUGUUAAUUUCCUCUCAAUUGAGAUUCUUUAAACCAUGAGCGCUAAUAUCAAAAUUUUCAUAACUUUAACUUUAAAUUUGAGAUUGAUUCAUCCUGAGUUGAGAAUUUUAGAUUGAGUAAAUGAUUGUUUAUCUUUAUUCUUAUCUCCACAAUACAGUGUAGUAUACACUUGUACCAUAGUCAGAAAUAACUACCUAUAACCCUUAAAAGCGAAGCUAUCCUUGAGUAAUUUAGGCAUAUGUAUCACCAGUAUGUAGAGAAUAAUCUAACAUGAGAAAAAUAUUAUCUUAAGGGGUAGAGUGAAAGAUCCUAACUAUAGAUAUGUAAAUAAUAAAAAAAUCAAUCUAGUGCAUUUGGUAAAAAAAUAAUUAAAAGAAAAUGCACACAAAUGCAUGUGAGAAAAAAAAAUUAGAGAUCAAGAUGAUAAGAUUAGUUUGACCUUUUUUUUUUUUUGUUCAAGGCAAAGGCUAUUGAUAUUGAAGAUCUUAGGAAUGGAUUUUGAUUGAGUUGAUUCACACACACACUACAAGAAUCCAAAGAAAGAUGGGAUUGACUAUUGAAUUAAAGUUAGAACUUUGAUAAUAUUUGAAUUUUUUCUUUGAACUAUAUAAUUUAUGCAAUUUUUUAGGCUAGUGUUGUGUUUUAUUUAAAGUCUUUUGUUCCGUUUAUGUUAUUAAAAAAAUGAAAUGAUGUUUAUGGGUAUCAUCGUUGAAGCCCUCAUGAGAGUAUACUCAUCCACUAGGGCCGCCUAGUGGUUUAAAGGAUUGUUGCAUACGCUAAUGCAAUCUUUUAGCAAUCGUGACUUCCUACGAAAGUAGACUAGUUUAGAUUUUCUUUUUGUUUUAUUUUUGUUCUAGGUUUGCUCGAGGAUGAGCAAUGGUUAAGUGUGGGGGAAUUUGAUAAGCGCAUAUUUUCUCUAUAUUUUACUAUUAAUUUUUCCAAUUUUUUCUUGUUUUGGUCUUAAAUACUCUAAUUAUUUUAGUUAAUUUUAAUUUAGUUAUUUUAUUAAAUUAUAUUUUAUUAUGUUAAUUUUUGUUCUAAUUUUUUAUAUUUUAUUAUUGUAGAUUUUAUUCUUAAUUUAUAGUUGCUAGUUAAUUAUAUUAUUUUACUUGAUAGGGAAUUAAUUAGAGAUUAUGGAUAAAAAAAAGGCAUAAAGAAGUUUAAUUUGGGAAGCAAUCAAGAUUAAAUUGGAAACCAAUUGAAAGAGAAGGGAAAAUAAAGUCAAGAAGCCGUGGCAAGCUAGCAUUCAGUGGACAUGCAUUAACAAAUAAAGAAUUGGAAUUGGCAAUUGCACAUGCAUGGCUUUAUAUGAUAUGGAAAGCAAAUUGAAGAAAAAGGAAAUUGCCAUAUUUAAUCAAGCAUGCGUGUGAUUAAAUGGCUUUGAUUUGAAAUCAAAGCGGACGGCAUGUGGAAGGCAUUAGUUUCCUUGUUGAUCAUGGAUUUGGAGGAGGCAAACAGUACCAAAUAAGUCCGCCACCAAGAAUUAUAAAAGCCAGCCUUUGGCUUCUGAACAAAUACACAACCGGUAGCCAAGUGGAGAAUUGGAGAUUGCAGCCGCAAGAAGAGAAGAUAAAUAAAAGAGGAGUCAGCCCUCUGAAUUAAUCUCCAUGACUGGUUUCAUCAACUAUUUUAUUUCCAAUUCAAUUAUAUUAGGUUAGAUUUUCUAUUUGGUUGAUGGAGAAUUCAAAACCUUAAAUAUAUCAUAUAAUUAAUGUUCAAUUUCUAUCAUUCAAUUUAUUUAAUUGAAAUUGUUUAUGUUCUUCUAUUAUUAAUGUUUAUGAUUUUAUUCUUAUUUUAUUUGAGUGGUCAAUUAAAUAAGACUUGAAUAAAUUCUAUUGAUAGGUUUAAAUUCUUGAUCCAUAAUUGUCAUGAUAUUUUAAUCAUUAGUAGCAGGUUAAAAUCAGUUAUUUCAAUUAGAGAACAUAACCUAGGUUAAAUAAUCUGAGCUUGUGUGUUUAUUACCUAGAUCAACCCGAUAUCUUUCUUGACUUAAUGCUUCCAUUAUCUUAAAUUUAAAGAGCUUAUUUUAAAUUAUUUAAGGUAAAGAGCUUGUUUUGUCUAAUGACACACUAAGGAAAGAUUAAGACUAACAGAGCUUAUUAUUGUCUACAAUUGAUAGUUUCAAUAGAAAUUGAUGAUAGAACUGAUAUAUUAUGUGCAUGUUUGGUGGUGGCAAAUGAUCCUUUAACCAAAGUUUAUUAUUUCUUUCUUCUUUAAUUAGAGUUUUUAUUAAAUUAUUGUUUUCGUAGUUUUAAUUUCUUUAUUUCCUGCUAUUUAGUUAAAAAGUCAUAAAACCCCCCAUUUUAUUUAUAAUUGUCAUUUUCUUUAGUUAAAUUAAUUUAUAUUAUUAUUCUUAUUAUUAUUACUACUAUUAUUAUUUUAUUUCAAGUCAUGCUUUAGAGUUGAUAAUAAAUAUAACUAGCAUAGUCUUUGUGGGAUCGAUCCUUACUUGCUCUGUACUAGUUGUUUAUGUUAUUAGUAAGGUUUUAAAUUUGGUGCACCCUAACGACACUACCAAAAAAAAAAAAAACAGUUAUUUAAGGAUCGAAAACCCUCGGAGAUCCCUUAUUAUUAUUCGGGGAAGGGACAAGGAUUUCGUUUAGCAAUUCAGAUGGGAGACCGGGAUAUAUGCAGAACAUCAGGGAUGAGUACGGAGAUGUCGAUCCCCUCUCUUCCCCUCCCCAUUGCCAUCCCUAAUUUUAGGCACUUCAUACAACUUGAUUCGUCAGCAAAAUGGCUAGACAUUAUUUGCUAAUUUUUCCAUGCAUGGUGAUUGAGUAUUAGGUGAUUUAUUUUGGAUAUUAUGGGUGAUUAGUAACUUAGAAUGACUAUAAAUAGGUUCAUUAAUUGUGCUUCAAUUGUAACAUAUCCAGAAGCUAAAAGAAAUUACAAUUUUCAUGCUUAUCUUAUAGUUUUAUUUGAUUUUUCACUGCAUCUUCAUUCAAGGGUAAACCCAUUAUUUGGCUGAAUGGAGUUGUAGUCUGGCAUAGAUAAGAAAAAAUUAGAUUAAUACCUUUAUUAAAAUUUAUAAAACUACCACCACACAUAUAUUACAAAACCACCACUUUAAUAUUGAACGCAUAUAUGCCAAUUAUUUAUUUUCACUUUCCCUUUUCUUUUUUAUGACUAUCAAUCGACAAUUAACAAAAUUCAAAUUGUAAGAAUUCACUUGGUUACUAUCAUAACACCUUGUUUUUGUAUUAUCUGUGCUUCCUAUAUAUAUCAUCAACAAUUAUAACAAUCUUUCAUAUAUCAUUAUAUAAAAGAGAAAUUAUUAUCUAAGUACUAUACAAAUUCUUUGUUCGACCAACUACGAAAGUUUGUUUAUAGGUAUCUGCUGCAUACCAAUAUUUGUGAAAAUAUUCAACAUUGCUAACUUUAUUUAUAAUAAAAGAGAAAAUAGUUGGCUUAAUAGUUGUCAUCUCGUCAUCUUAUUAUCAAGGUCGAGUUCAUACAUUGUGUGAAUAGAUUUCUAAUUCUUUUAGGGGUAUAUUUUUAAGAUGGGCUUUCUCUAUCAUACAUUGAGCUAGGUCCCAACAAAUUUUUAAUGCACUAAAUAAUAGAUUUGUAAUAUUUUAUGUAACGUAAUCUUAUCUAUAAAUUUAUAAAAUAGUAAUGUAUUUAUCUAUAAAUUUAUAAAAUAGUAAUGUAUUUAUGUUACGUAAAAUAAAAUAAAAAUGUUUUAAAAAAGUCAUAUAAUAUAAACCAGAAUUUUAAAAUAUAUAUCUAAAAUUAAAAUAUUGUCCAUCAUUAGUUGAGUUAGUGGGUACUUCCUCCUAUCUUCAUCUCUAAAAGUGGAGGGCUCCUGUGCUGGACUAUAAUCGUGAAUAUAUGUCGGGCUUAUUAAAAAAAGAUUGUUGGGCCCAUUUCAAAUAUAUGGGCCGGCCAAUGACCCACCCGAUUUGAACAGCCCAACAUCCAUGUAGUUCUGAGUCCCCUCCAUUACCAUAAACGAUUGUCAGUGGCUUGUAAAGUCUUUUUCUUCCCGCCGACGGGAAAUCCUUAGGCGUCCUGCAAAAGCCUGCUAUAAAAUGAUUUCCAAAGAUUCACAAUAUCACCACCCCUGCCAUGGUCAUUUCCGCGAAGCGACUCCUCAAUCUCCUCAAGGCAGAGAAAAAUCCUCACACCGCGCUCGCCCUGUUCGACUCAGCCACUCGCGAACCUGGUUACGCUCACUCGCCGCAUGUGUUCCACCACAUCCUCCGCCGACUCAUCGACCCGAAACUCGUCGUCCACGUAAGCAGAAUCUUGGAACUAAUUGAAAUCCAGAAAUGCUAUUGCCCUGAAGAUGUUGCUUUAUCAGUUAUUCAAGCUUAUGGCAAAAACUCAAUGCCCGAUAAAGCGCUUGAUGUAUUUCAACGAAUGAACGAAAUAUUUGGGUGUGAGGCUGGUGUAAGAUCGUACAAUGCUUUGUUAAAUGCUUUUGUUGAGUCGAAACAGUGGGACCGGGCUGAGUCUUUCAUUUCAUAUUUUGAAACUGCUGGUAUUUCACCAAAUUUGCAGACUUAUAAUAUUUUGAUCAAGAUUCUGUGUAGAAAGAGACAGUUUGAGAAGGCAAAACGGUUCUUGAAUUCGUUGUGGGAAAAGGGUUUGAAGCCUGAUGUGUAUAGUUAUGGUACUGUGAUCAAUGGGUUGGUGAAAAGUGGGGAUUUAUUGGGUGCAUUGGCGGUGUUCGAUGAAAUGUUUGAGAGAGGGGUGGAAACUAAUGUCGUGUGUUACAAUAUUUUGAUUGAUGGGUUUUUUAAGAAGGGGGAUUAUAUGAGAGCUAAGGAAAUUUGGGAGAGGUUGGUAAUGGAGACGUCGGUCUAUCCAAAUGUGGUUACUUAUAAUGUAAUGAUUAAUGGUUUGUGUAAAUGUGGAAGGUUUGAUGAGUGUUUGGAAAUGUGGGAUAGGAUGAAGAAGAAUGAAAGAGAGAAGGAUUUGUUUACUUACUGUAGUUUUAUACAUGGGUUGUGUAAGGCAGGGAAUGUUGAAGGGGCUGAAAGGGUUUAUAGAGAAAUGGUAGAAAGUGGAAUUUUUGUUGAUGUGGUUACUUACAAUGCUAUGAUUGAUGGGUUUUGUAGAGCGGGGAAGAUUAAAGAGUGUUUUGAAUUGUGGGAGGUGAUGGGUAGGAAGGGUUGUCUCAAUGUUGUGAGUUAUAAUAUAUUGAUCAGAGGUUUAUUAGAGAAUGGGAAGGUGGAUGAAGCUAUUUCCAUUUGGGAGCUCUUACGGGAGAAGAAUUGUAAUGCUGAUUCCACCACUCAUGGAGUUCUAAUAAAUGGAUUGUGUAAGAAUGGGUAUUUGAAUAAGGCAAUUCAGAUAUUAAAUGAGGUAGAAGAAGGAGGAGGUGAUUUGGAUGUGUUUGCAUAUACCUCCAUGAUUGAUGGGUUAUGCAAAGAAGGGAGAUUGGCUGAUGCAGCCAGUUUAGUCAAUCGGAUGGAUAAGCAUGGUUGUAAAUUGAAUGCUUAUACUUGUAAUUCACUUAUGAAUGGGUUUAUCCAAGCUUCAAAACUUGAGAAUGCAAUUUUCCUUUUUAAGGAGAUGAGCAGGAAGGGUUGUUCUCCAACUGUUGUCUCAUAUAACACUCUCAUCAAUGGUUUAUGUAAGGUCGAAAGAUUUGGUGAGGCAUACAGUUUUGUGAAGGAAAUGCUAGAGAAAGGGUGGAAGCCCGAUAUGAUCACAUAUAGCUUGUUGAUAAAUGGCCUUUGUCAAAGCAAGAAGAUUGACAUGGCUCUCAAAUUGUGGUGCCAAUUUCUUCAGAAGGGUUUUACACCUGAUGUAACUAUGUACAACAUUUUAAUACAUGGUCUCUGCUCUGCUGGCAAAGUUGAAGAUGCUUUGCAGCUCUAUUCAAACAUGAAGAAAAGGAACUGUGUUCCAAAUCUUGUAACUUAUAACACCCUUAUGGACGGGCUUUUUAAGACUGGAGACUGUGAUAAGGCAUUGGAGAUUUGGAAUCAUAUUCUUGAAGAACGGCUGCGACCUGAUAUAAUAUCUUAUAAUAUUACUCUCAAGGGGCUAUGUUCCUGCAGUAGAAUGUCAGAUGCCUUUGAAUUCCUGAAUGAUGCUUUGUGUCGUGGAAUUCUUCCAACCACCAUUACAUGGCACAUACUAGUGAGAGCAGUGAUGAACAAUGGGGCUUCAACAUGAUCUUUUGUUGUUCAGAAAAGCUUGGUAGUAAGUAUUGACUCCCACCAUUUUUCAGGCCCUGCACAAGAAGAAAUACUGGAACUACUCUGUGGGCAAGCCCGUAGAAGUUCUGGGUUCAGGUGCUAGGAUCCAGUACCCAUCCUUAAAAAGCCAAUGGGUGCAAGAAUGGAGCAUUUUGCAUUGAAGUUGAGGUAUGAGCUAUUCUUUCAAAAAUAAAAGAACUACAACCUUAUGUUUUUAUUCAUUAUGUUUCUAUUCAUUUCCUGAAACAGUCAUGCAUGCUCAUUUUUGCAGAUAUGCUUUCAGUUGGAAUGACAGCUAAAUCAAAAUGGUGAAACCCUUGAAAUCCUUCUUGUCAAUCGGCAUGCAGAAUCCCAGAGAUUACAGUUAAUUAAUUCAAUUCUGAGGUCAUAGAUCUUGUCACACAUUUGAGGAUUAAGGGAUAUAUAGAAACUCAUCUAGAUUGAAAAAAGAAAAUUUGGGAGGAACUUUUGGAGUGGUCAGAUCAAGGCCAGAGUGGAUGUGCUAGCUACUCUGGGGAUAUUUAUACCAGAAAACCUACAACCCAUGUUUGAUGAACCAAUUGAAUGCCAUUGAGUAUCAAACAUCAAAUUUCUAAUGACAUGCUGUUUAUUAUUUCCUUUUCCACUUAGGUAGAUGCAUCAUUUGUAACUAAACUUCAGUCUAGUUACCUUGUCCCUGGAUCACUGGGAAUGGGUUGGUGUUUAGAUGUUAGAUGCAUCAGGCAGAAAGCUUUUUCCUUUUGCUUGCCAGUCCUUUGUCUUUAAUUCUGUCUUGCAUCAAAUUUUCACCUCAUAUGUUUUAGCAGUUCCAAGAAGAAGUUAAACUGAAACUAAUUUUACGUUGUUAUAAACUAUGUUUAUGAGGAAUCCAAAAUUUUUGAGUGCAGAUAUGAUGACAGAAAAAUUUGCAAAGCAUCAUACAUGUUCAAUCAACAUUGGGUUUUGGUGAUUGCAGUGAUAUCACCAAGAUCAGAUGAAGAUGAUGCAACAGCAAAGUUGCUUGAUGUAUCAGUCCCUUGUGCUAAGAUAUCACAUGGGGUUAUGUAUCAUGCUAUAUUUUUCAAACUAAGGCUAGUGUUUUACACAAGAUAAUCAAUAAACUAGAGGAGGGAAAGGGCUCUCAUUUCUUUUCUCGGUCAGGUUUUUCAUGUCCUCGUUUUUCUGUUUCUGACAGCAUCCCCUGCUCAUGGAGGAACUGAAGAAGCAAAGGCACUAAUAUUGCUCCCAGAACAGCAACUUUUCUCCAAUCGGAUGAAGAGAUGAAAGAAUCAGCAAUUCCAAUGACUAGCAGACCAAUUAAAGCUAGGUAAAUAUUCCGCCUGGUUUUUGAUCCUGCACUUUCUGUAGUAAUCUCUUUUAUCUUCUUCACUUCCUCUGUAGCUUUUGCUUUUCCCACCAGCUUUUUCUGCCCUAGGCUUUUAAAGAACAGCCCCUCGUUCCGGUCUUCUUCCAUUUGACCUUGGAACUCUGCUAACUUGCUAUCAUUUUCUUCAAUCUCCAUUCUGUUCUCUUCUGCAGAUUCUUCAAAGGCUUGCAUUUGAGACUCUAUAUUCUCCAUUAUCUGUGAGCCUCUAAACAAACAACUGGGUUAUGAACCUUAUUGCAUGACAAUUAAGGUCAUUAAUGUCUGAUGUAAUGCAGCUAUCGAUAAACAUUACCACGAAAAAGUGUAAUCUUGCACUUCAGCUGUGUUUUUCAAAUUAAGUAGAAGCAGAAUAGUUACAAACAAAGCUAUAAAGAUAUCAUGCAUACCCGGGAGCUAGCCUCGUCUAGUCCUUUGAGAGCAUCCUCUCCAAUUUUGUCGAACUCAGCAUUGGCUUCUUCGGCAAAUUGAGUUAGAUAAGCUGAUCUUUCAUCCAAAUAGUCCGUGAGACGAACUUUUUGAGCUUGAAGCAUUGCAAUUCUUGCCAGCAGCUCUUGUUUUUUAAUAUCUCCUUCGGAUGGGGAUUCUUCAGACUCAGAAUCUUUGGACUUGCAGAGGGACACAAAUGAAGUUCUUGUGCCUGUAAGUCUUCGUGUGUGGAAAAGUAAAUGCGCAGUUGGGGUUAAGGCUGUUUGAAUAGCUUUGAGGGCAAUCAUUUUUUCUUUGCGUCUUGGACUGAGGGAGAAAAAAGAAAGAGUGAGGGUUUUGUAUUAGACGUUGGAAGUUUUUUGAGCCCCACAUUCUCUUUACAUUAUCCUGUAUUUGUUAUGUUCAUUUAAAUAUGCCCCCUUUCCCAAAAAUUAAAAAUUGUCAUUUAUCUUUAAAAUGUGUCCAUUAACUUAAGCUUAACCACAAGAGGACCCACUCAUUUGCAUAGUUAUCCACUUGAGCCCUUGCUGGUUUGUCUUCUUCUUAUUAUUAUUUUGGAACUAGUAGCAUCCCCAUUUCUUUUAAUAUAUAUAUAUUUUACUCCUCUUUUCUCUUUGAAGUUUUUUUUAUUUCAAAUAUAAAAAGUUAUUUAAAAGAUGGUACCUCUUUUAGAAGCAUUCCCGUUAAUUUAUUUAAUUUAUAAAAUAAUUUUCAUAUAUUUCAAUCAAAUAUUGUCAAGUUGUAUUUAAAAAAUAAAAAAUAAACGUUUAACUGCUAAAGUAUGUGAGACAUUGUUAACAUUGUAAAAAGUGUUGUCUCCCAAAACUCUAUAGGUUUUUUCAAUCAAAUAUUUUAAAAUUAUGUUUUUGGCAUUUAGAAUCUAAUAUGCAUAGAAUAAUUCUCGAGUAAAGGAGUUUUUAUUUUAAUAAAAUGAAAGACAAAACUAAAUAGUAAGAAAUUUUUUAUAAAAAAAAAAUACAAUUUAUCUUAUCUUUAAUAUUAGAGUUCGAAUUUUUAUGUUUAGAGUUUGAAUUUUUAUGUGGCCCUAUUAUAUUAAAUUAAGAGAGAACGCUCUUAAUAAGUAUAUACAUACGAGUUUAUCUGGUAAAAUGUGAAAACACUCACUAAAUAAUUUUCUAUAUACACAUUAAGUAGUUGGGCCUUCUUCCUCUUGGCCAAGAACAGUCAACACAUUAUAAUUCUAAUACGGACACAGCAAAUAAUUUUCAAGUAUUUUGAAGCAACUCAUAACUUCCAGUCCUGUGAACCUGCUUUGUCAAUCCAAACGGAGAACUGCAAACAUAAAUCGAACCCCAAAAAUUUAAUCCAAUAUAGCAAAUAUCGAUACCCUAGAUUAAAAAUUUGAUAUUUAAAACUAUAUGUACAAAGCAUUUCCUUUUAUCAAUCACAAAAAAACGUUAAUGGAACUGAAACUCCGAAAGAAAACACACACAUUGAUCCACCUACCAUUCCUUCUAUCAAUUUGCACGUCCAGUAGCCUUCUUGUAGGUAAACCACUUUGCAAUCCAUAGGUACACAAGGAAAUUCAACACGCUGAGGAUAGUGAGGAGCCAGUAGAAAUAAUCAAGAUGGCCCCGAUUCAAAUUAUCUGGAAUCCAGCCAAGCUUUCCAUUCCUUGUGGUCACUUUGGUGACAAUGGUAACCAGCAACGUACUUAAGUAGUUGCCUACUGCCACAGUUGUAAGUGAUAGAGCCGAGCACAAGCUUCUCAUAGCAUCAGGUGCCUGGUCAUAGAAGAAUUCCAACUGUCCAAUGAAAGUAAAAACUUCAGCACAUCCAACAAUAAAAUACUGUGGUACUUGCCAGAAAAUCGUCAUUGGAAUUGUCUCAAUAUCAUAGUAGUUGUUCCUCUUUACUAUGUUGAGACGAACAACCUCCAAAAUCCCGGCCGCAACCAUGGAGAAUAUGGAGAUGAGAAGUCCAAUGCCCAUCCGUUGAAGUUGGGUGAAACCCCGUUCAUGGCCUGUCAACUUUCUUGCGAAUGGGACAAUAACUAUGUCAUAUAUAGGAGCCCAGAAGAUUACACUGAGAGUGUCAAAGAGGGAGAGGGACGCUGAUGGAAUCUUGAAGUUAGGUCCCAUGUGUUGGUCCAUUGUGUUGCCUUGCAAAACAAACAUGGUGCUCAUUUGACUGUACACAGUUGCAAAAACAAUUCCAGAUGCCCAUACUGGUAGCAAUCUGAUUAUGGCCUUGAGCUCUUCAACUUGAGUCACCGUGCAGAGUCUCCAUGGGUCUGCCGAACCCUUGACUCGAUCAGUCUGAGUCUCCACAGCAGCCUUGUCAAAGAACCUGUAAUUUCACAAUUUUGUUAAGAGGACUGAUCAACCAUACAACUUUAGCAAACCAAUGAAAAGCUUAAGACCAUGUAAAAAAUGUAAUGUCCAAGAAGAGGUUCAAGAACAUCCACUUUAGUCUUCUUAAAGAAUUUAGUGACUAUGUAACUGAAUUACAGUGGCAAAUUAUGAAAGCUUAUUUGCUAAUUUGGCACAUGAAUAAAAAUGGAUCUCUCAUUAUGAGGUGAGAUAUCAGGGCAUGUCUACAGUAGUCGAAUCCUCUAGCAAACAUUAUCGGAUAUUAAUGACCAGUGAUUAUUUUGAACUACAGUACAUUUAAAAUGGUAUGGGAACGUAAGAUUAAUUUAGAUACUUCUUACUGAUUAGUGACAAAAAGGACCUCAUAUCCGAUGUGCUAGGAGAUGGAAAUACGCUUACUUGAAUUUGCUCGUGGACUCAAGUUUGCGGCUUCCUUGGAUAUUGCAUUCCUCAUCCGCGGUCUCAUAAAGAAGAGACUUAUCAGCAGGAACUACAACAUUCGAUUUCCUAAAAGAUGCAACUAUAACCUGCAUUAUCCUUGUAAGCGGACUGCCACCAGGUUUCUGUAUCCGAUACAACCGACUGCCUGAGAAGAAAAACACAACUGCAAUGGCCAUCGCAACUGCCGGGAUUCCGAAACCCCAACCCCAGCCCACAUUCAUUUGUAUCCACACAAGAACAGAGGAAGCAACAAGUGCACCAAUAUUGAUUGAAAGGUAAAACCAAUUAAAAAAAGAGCUCUUCUUCUCCCUCUCACCAUCAUCAGUUUCAUCAAAUUGAUCUGCACCAAAGGAUGAGACACAUGGCUUAAUGCCUCCAGUCCCAAGAGCAAUCAAGUAAAGUGCAACAAAAGUGACUGCUGUUUGCGCCCCUGUUGGGUGGCAGGCAUCCUUGUCACAUGAUGGUUUUAAUCCAGAGACAGAAGCAGUCAAUGUUAACAAUGUCAUUCCCUGCGAGACAAAUAAACAGAUAGAUGAUUGACAACAUGAUUUAUGCAAAAAUAAUGACUUACUUAAGCCCUUUAAUUCUAAUUCAUUAUUAUUUAGAGACCAGAUCAGAUGUCACAAAUAAAACCAACCCCUGAGAAUCCUCGUCAAAGUUUCGAAGGAAAAAGGAAUCAGUUAUAUUAGAAAAGCUAUCUCCUACAAAGGAACUGAAAGUUAUGAAUGGGAAAAUAUGAAAAAUUACAAUGAAAAAAAAAUAUUCACAAUGACUUAAAACAAGGAAGCAUUCAUGAAUGAAACAACUUGUUGUAGCUCUUAAGAAUUUGAUUGAAAUUGCAAUUAACAGGUCUAAUGUCAAGAAAUAGAAUUUAGGAAUUUAAAAACAUCUUAACAGAAGAGAAGGACUUUAAACCAAACUUACAAGGCAAUAGAUGAUUGAAAAACUGGCAAUGGUCCAAAAUCUACCCAUGUACGAAUCAGCUAGAAAUGCUCCAAUCAAUGGAGUAAUAUAGCAGGUUCCUGACCAAUUCGUGACAUUGUUUGAUGCAGUGACAUUUCCUUGAUUGAGCUGCUUCUGGAGAUAGUUCACCAGAUUGGUACUCAUCCCAUAAUAAGCCAGCCUCUCACAACAUUCAUUUCCUGAAAUUAAGGGUCUUCAUUGUUCAAUAUCUCAGGUGCAUUCUAUCACGAAAGAACAAAAACAGAUGGUAUUACACUAAACAAUAGAUGUUUAAAACCAUACCGAGAAUAAAGCGGCAUGCCUUCCAAUUUCCAGUUUUCUUCUUAUUAGCAGGUUUUUUAUGGAUAUCCACGGUCCCAUCUUUCGUAUAGAUAUCUUCUUCUGCCAUGUUAUCCUCACGGAUGUGCUAUAGUUCAAAUAACGUUGUACUCGAUUCUUCUAUCUCAACAUGUCACCUAAAAAAUCAGCGGAUUUAAUCUAAGAAUGAAUGAAUCAAUCAUCAUACAAAUAAUACUAAACAUUAUGAUGAAUAUGAAUUUAUGUUAGUGCUUUGUUUGGUAAUUGAGGAUGCAGUCAUGAAAGGAAGAAUAUCUGGAAUACUACAACAAAUUUCCCGGCAGCAUUUAGAGCACACAAGGAUACACAUACGUGAACCAUUCACUUACCAUACAUGUUUAUGUAAUACAACACAAUACAGAAAAGCAUGUAAGCACCCGAAGAUUUAUAAGGAUGUCAAUGAAUGUUUUCAAAUAAACUAAUUGACACCACGUACACAUCAAUGAUUACUUUAAAGCUACAAAGUCAAGGCACAUGAUAAUAAUGGAAAAAAAAAUUAAAAACAAAAUAAGAAAACACUUUUAUCUGACUAAAAAACCAAAGAUGAUGUCAAAGGCAUGAUGAUGAACUCCACACUGCGGCAAAAACUUGAACUGAAGGAAAGAAGCCAACUACAUAAGACCGAAAGGAGCCUCAGAGGAGAUAAAGAUUGACCAUAGUGCAAAACAAAAUUUAAGAGAUACACCCCGUCAACUUAUCACAAAAUAAUUAAAAAUUUCCACGGCUACCCUAAGAUGGUCAGAGACUCAGAAUCCAUACAAUAAAAUAAACAUUGUUAAUUAUUAUCAAGAAUCAUGCAAAAUGAUCAUUCUUAAACAAAUGAGGCAGCAUAAAACCUAAUACAAGAUUAAAGUGGACGUGUUAAUAAUACAUUACAAAAAAACCAAAUACACGAUUUUAAUACAUAAAGAUGAUCAAAAUCCCUAAAACUCAGAACAAACAAACACCCAAUAUAGAGAAAGACAAAGAAGAAAAUUACACGAGCAUGCAUGCAUGAAUAUAAGAACAAAACCCCACCAAGAAAAUAAGAUAAAGAAAAAUAUCUUGAGAGUGGAAAGAUUUAUAAACCUCUAUAUGAAGUGAAGAAACAGAGAGAUCCGAAAGCAGAGUAUAGGCUCCUGGUGUGAAUGGCGAGCAAAACCAGGACACAACAAAAGGUCCGGUUCCAACUCGUGCACACCAAAAAGAUGAUGAAUUUAAUAUGUGAGAGAGAGACAGAAUUCAAGUCAGAGAAAAUCUCUCACCUUUUGUUCAUCACCUACAUAUGUGUUGGUUGCCACCAUUAUGUACCAGUACAACUCAUAUUGCUUUUUCUGAUUCAUUUUGCAUUUUGGUACUUAAAUGUUUAGUAUUUUGUUUUCUUCCGUUUAUGUUACUUAAUUUUUUAGAUUGAUGAUAAAUCUAAUUAGUAAUUGGUGUUAAAAAUAGCAAAAUGUGAUAUACUGUGAUGGAAAAAUCUUGUAAAAUAUUUGGAUAUUGAAUAAUUACAAUAGAUAUCAUAUGUAGCUCCAAAAUGUCAUUCAAAAGGAUAAUGCUAUCUACCCUAUAUUUCCUAAUGAAUGUUUUUAUUUUUAUUGUAGAAAAGUGAAGGAAAGACCAAGUAUUUGUCACUAUAUGUGGUUUUUAAGAAAUUUUAAUUAGUUGACUGUCUGAAUUCAACUCGUUGAGAGGUAAGAUUGUUAAAAAUUUAUAAUUUGAACUUCAUCCACCUCUCCACCGAAAUAAAAAUAAUUUCCAAAUAAAAAUAAGAAUCUCAUAUGAGAAAUCCCAUUAAUAAGAGGGGUUAGAGACAAUAUAAAAUAAUUUAGGAAAAAAAAUAGUAAAGGAUCUAACAAUUUAAAAUUUGUUAGGUGGGUUUACCAUUUAUGAUUCUUAAAUUUGAGAUUCUUACGCUUCCUUCUAAUGUUUAGUAUCUUUGAAUCUGAACCAUUUCCGAGGAAAAUGCAUUGUCUAUUGACUAAGCUUAAAUACCAAUUCCAAAUUCGUGUUUAGCAUUCUUUUCAAAAUAAUAAUAAUAAUAAUAAUAAUAAUAAUCUCCUAUUAGAUUUACUAUGUAGGGUAAAUAAUAUAAAGAUCCAUGAUUUUGUUAAUUUCUCAUGUAAGGACAUAAAUUUACCAUUUAUUUCAAACAGGUCCACGGUCUCUAGGCAAAUAACCAAACUAGCCUUGUAAUGCGUUGGACAAUCAAUACGUAAAUUUGUAAAUACCUAAUUAAUAAGGAUAUUUCCGUCUCUUGAAUAGAGGUAACUAAGGUCAGGACCGCUUUUGAUACGAAUGGACGGACAAAUUAUGCCCUUGAAUAACAAUACAACAAAAGCUCAGGGACCUAAUAUGAAUUUUCAUAUUGGCGCGUGUAAGUUCAUGGGACCAGAAUCUCUCUCAAGAUAACGGUGUUUGUUCGGAUCCGGAUCCGGAAUCUUCCGCUUUUAGAUAAGAAAAAAUGUAACAAUGUCAAUGUCCAACGAAAGCGAUUAUUUUGAAAGCACUUUUUGGGCCCCAAGCACUUUUCCGCACUAAAAUCUAGCUUUUCCUUUUGUUUUUGCUUAGCUGGCGCACCAAUGUAUGGUCCUAGGCCUAUGGGUGGAUAUCACUGAUGUGAAAGCAUUUUUAUUUUGUUUAAGGAGUUGUGAGAGAUAUGAGUGGAGUUGUGAUGUGAUUAUGUGAAAGUGCUUUUUCUUUCCUAUUACUUAAAACUAUUAUGAUGAUCGAUCAGAUUUUUUUUUCUUUUUUAGGUGCAUAUAAAUUUGUUUAAUGUGUCACAUCACAUCCACACUCGGUUCCAUGUCGCUUGAACUUUUGGGGUAUUGGGCAAAUUAUGGCUGGGAUAUCAGAUUAUUAAGAGUACUGUUAAUUUUGAAAGCAUUGCCUUUAAUGUAACUUUAAUAUUAUUUUUUUAUAAAAUAUUUUGCUGUGAAGCCGUAAAAGCACUUCCAAAUCCACAAAAUUGGCUGGUGUGAGAUUUGACAGUCAAAGAUUAUCUCAGUGGACAAGUGCAAAUAGAAAGCAUGCUUGGCACGAUCAUCGCUGGCAGUGUCACAUUGCUUUCCUUUUUUGCCAACAUCAUCAACACAUCAUUGCUGACCUUGUUCUUACCUUAUUCAAAUUGAAUUCUUCUUCUUACCAAAGAUUUGAAAUUAGGAUUAUAUUUGCUGAAAUUGAGUCGGCUUUAUGGGUUCCCAUUUGUGAGCUGUUCAGUAAUCACAUAUCCAUAUAUAUAUCAGUUAAUAUAUCAAUUAGGCAUUUCUUCACUGGGAUGUGAGUGGGAGCCAUAUCCGCUUGCGACUAGUUGGGUAGUGCUUUUUGUGGUAAAAUGAAUAAAGUCCUUUGUGUCUAUGACUACUAGUAGGAAUAAAUUUUCGUUUAAAAAAAAUGAUAUGUUUGGUCGAGUAAUUUUUAAAUAAUUUUUUUAUUUAUCGGUGUAAGUAUAAGUAUGUUAUAAUUGUAAGUUUGUAUGAUGCAGCUGAGUUCAUAUAAUUCAUGCCAGGAAGUUGUUGAUGACAAUGAUAGCUUACCUCAAAAUUAUGCCUAUCAGUUUCAAAAUUGUUGCUUUUAAGUAACCUAAGAUUUAUUGUUUUUAGUUGUUCUCAUCAUCUCAUGACCCCACUUUUUCAGCUACUAUCAGAUAAGUGUCAGAUUUAUGUCUUAGCCAUCACCAGUCAAAGAGUUUUGUGGUGUUUAGCGGUAAAAACUGGUUAUGUUAUUGUCAAUGGGCACGCAUAUAAGAACCUUGAAGCAAAAGUGAUAAAUAAAUAACCAUUUUAAGAAACUACUAAUCAAAAUUAAGAGAUUGUCGCCAUAUGAAAUGAUAGUAAUUGUCUAUCGAUAAGCUUUUCAUUGACAGCAACAUUAUUGACACUGCUGAAUUCACCAUCAGACCCUUCAAAAUUAAAUAAAUUUGAGUUAAUAUGAAAAUAAAGAUGCAAAAGAAAUCAAACAAGAAGAUAAGAUCACGAAUCAAUGGCUGGAUACCACCAGCUUCUUAUAUGUAUAACACCUUGCAACCAUAAGAUAUACUCCCAAAUUCAAAACACUCAAAAGAGCCAAAAGCCAGAAGAAGUAAUGAAGAUUACCAUAGUUCAAGUUAUCAGGUAUCCAGCCAGGCUUGCCAUGCCUAGUGCUGAAAUCUGUCACAAUGUUAACAAGCAGUGUGCUCAAAUAGUUCCCCAACGCAGCAGUUGUUAGAGACAGAGCUGAGCAAAGGCUCCUCAUGGCAUCAGGGGCCUGCUCGUAAAAGAACUUCAAUUGCCCAAUAAAAGUAAAAACUUCGGCACAACCUAUAAUGAAGUAUUGAGGCACCUGCCAGAAUAUUGACAUUGGUAUGUGCUUGAGCUCAUAGUAAUUGUGUUUCUUUACCUCCCUCAGCCUCACAAGCUCCAGAGUCCCGGCUGUUAACAUUGCGAAGAUUGAAAUAACAAGGCCAAUGGCUAUGCGUUGAAGUUGAGUGAACCCAUUUUUAUGGCCUGUGAACUUUCUUGCUAAUGGUACGAUAAGACGGUCGUAAAUUGGUACCCAGAAGAUGACGCUGAUUGUGUCAAAGAGGGAAAGUGAAGCUGAGGGGAUUUCAAAUGAAUUGUCGAUGUGAAGGUCCAUUGUGUUACCUUGCAGCACAAACAAUGUGCCCAUUUGACUAUAUACAGCAGAAAACACUAUCCCAGUUGCCCAUAUCGGAAGCAAUCUUAUAAUGGACUUGAACUCUUCAACUUGAGUCACAGUGGAAAGUCUCCAUGCAUUUACUGAGCCUUUAACACAAUCUGAUGGAGUCUCCACGGCUGCUUUGUCAAGGAAACUGAUGAUAUCGAUAAUAAGCAACUCUCAAAAGUAAUCUAAAUGGCUCAUAUGACAAUUAAAUUGGUUAGUUUUGCGUGUGGCAUACCUUAACUGCUUUGUGUGAUCAAGCUUACGGCUUCCAAUGACGGCAGAUUCUGCAUCAGCAGUCUCAUAAAGAAGGGACUUGUCAGCAGGCACUUUUAUCCGAAAUUUCCUGAAAGAAGCUACUAAAACCUGACAAAUGCGGAUCAACGGACUCCCUCCAGGCCUUUGGUAUCUAUACAGCCGACUACCUGCAAAGAAACUGACGACAGCAAUGGCCAUAGCCACUGCUGGGAUGCCAAAGCCCCAACCCCAGCCAACAUUUGUUUGAAUCCAAACAAGACAAGAAGCAGCAACAAGGGCACCAAUGUUAAUCGAAAAAUAGAACCAGUUGAAGAAAGAACUCUUCUUUUUCUUCUCUGCUUCGUCAGAGUCAUCAAAUUGAUCAGCCCCAAAAGACGAGACACAAGGCUAAUCCCUCCAGUCCCCAGAGCUAUUAAGUGAAGUCCUACAAAAAACACAGCAAUUUGCAAUCCUGUUGGAUGGCAAACAUUCCUUUCGUCACAAAGUGGUUUUAGUCCAUGGACAGAUGCCGACAUUGUUACUAUUGUCAUCCCCUGCAACAUUUACAAGCAGGUAUUAAUUUAUUAUCCGAAAUGAAGUGGGAUUAAAAUGAUUCCUUGGACCUUAAGUUAGCAGAGAGCAACAAUUAAGCUUUGACAAACUUACGAUGACAUAAAUGAUGGAAAAACUAGCAAUUGUCCAGUAUCUUCCCAAGUAGGCAUAAGCUAGAAAUGCCCCAAUCAGAGGCAUGACACAGCACGUACCAGACCAAUUUGUGACAUUAUUAACAGCUUGAACAUUCCCCUGGUUUAGUUCGAACUUGAGAUAAUUAACAAGAUUAGUGUUAAUUCCAUAGUAUGCCAAUCUUUCACAGCAUUCGUUUCCUGCAAGUAUAUGCAAAACCGAGCAUCGCUAGAAACAGUCAUCUCUGAGUGAUCAUCUAAAUUUUCAUCAAAUUAAUAUACAUCUAAUUAACAAUACCUAGGAUGUAAGGACAUGCUUUCCAUGUUCCAGUUUCCUUCUUAACGGCAGGUUUGUUGCCGAAAUCAAUUGUUCCAUCGUUAGUAUGUAUAUCUUCUUCAGCUGCCAUUGCUUCUUGUCUUGUAAGCCAAGAAACCGUCUGAUGAUUUUCUCCUUCCAGCUUGAAUUUUAUUAAGUAAAGCAUGCAUGGUGGGUUCAGAGCUCAUAGUCUUUGAUAUUAAAAGGACAUUCGGCAUGCAGUACUAUUGUAUUACCCAAUUCUUAAAUGCAUGCAUGGUUGAUGAUGCCUGUCAUUUUCAUUGACUCUGAUGAAGUGUGUUGUGGAAGACAUCACAAAUCAAGAAAUGAAUAACAUGCUGAUAUCGCUAGAAAGAAGCUUAUACAGAUUGCAGCAUGGGUGUUCAUAUCAAGAUAUCACAAAUCAAGAAACGAAUUUACUCAUUUUAUUUUAACAUGAGUGUUCAUAAAUUGUGGCACACGUUUAUAGGAAAGCAAUUAUUACACAAUUUAUUUAUUUAUCUUUUGAGUGGUGAUAUUUGACCCCCUCAUUAUAUCUCACCAAUCCCCACUAAUUAUUUUUAUAUUAAUACUUAUUUUAUCUUUAUAUGAAAUGACUUAAAAGGAUAAAUAGAUUUUAAGUACACCCACAUCAUAAUUUUUAUUAAUAAUUAAUAAAACUAGUCUAAUUUUUUAAACCCUAAUUUCCUUUAACUUUUUUUUUUUUUUGGUGAGAAUUGAUUAAACCCUAAUUAUAAUGAUCAAUAAUAUUCUUAACCAAUAAUUGCUUUGUUAAACGUUCAGCCAAAUCUUCUUAAAACAAUCCUUGAGAAAUAGAAAUUCCCUACAAGCAUCAUAGAUGAAACAAAAAGCCAUAAGGAUGGUCCUUAUAUUGCCUGAUUAUUGGUUUAGUGGCAUUUAAUGAAACAAUCUCCUUGUCAUUGCUAUGGAAGUAUUGUUUGUAGCAAAUGAGCCUUUAUUUCCUGAUGAUUGCAUGAUCCCAUAAACCCAACAAGCAAGACAACUGAACAUGUAAGUCUUGGAGUGAGAGUUCUACAGAGUGACCUAUGGUUGAUUGUCUUCUUCUUCUAGUAAAGGGAAAAGCGAGUUUGUUUAAAAUUUGUAUAAAACCCUAGAAUCUAACUUUUUAAAUUAUCUCUUUUCAUAUAUUAUAUACUCCCUGCUUUUGUAACUAUGGAAGAAAUUAGUUUGCAGUACUCACUAGCAGAUGAAGAAGAAGUAAGUUUAAAGUUUUUUUCCCUUUAAUUUUUGUACUCUAUUUAUUUUCAAUUAAUUUUUGUACUCUAUUUAUUUUCAACACCCUAACAAUUUUAUAUUUCUAACAAAUUUUAGGAUGAAAAGCCUAUUAAUCACGGAAACAAUGUCACAAGAGAAUCAGACAUUGUUGAUUAUUGUGCUUGUGUUUUCACCACUGACAAGGUAGAUAGCUAACUUUCACUUUUUAAUUUUUUAUUAUUAAUUAAUAUUAUUCAAAGCUUUCUAAUUGGAUAUAUUAUAAUUUUGUUUUGAUUAGGUUUUUAAUAGCAGGGAAGAAUUAAUUGAGUGGGCGCGAAAUGCUGGCAAGAGAAAUGGAUAUGUCAUUAUAAUAAAAAAAGUCAGAUGUAAGUGCACAUGGUAGAAAUCCAAGAAUAAUUUUCGCUUGUGAAAGAAGUGGCGCUUACAAGUGUGUUUCUAGUCAAGGUCAAAAGCCAAAAUGUCCUAAGGCAACCGGAACAAAAAAAUACAAUUGUCCAUUCAGAUUAAAAGGGCAAUAUUUGGCAAAUGACAAUUGUUGGGUUUUGAAAGUGAUAUGUGUUAGCCUAUAUGGCUAUAAAUAUUGAUUUUGAUGAUAAAAAACCACAUGUAUUUAUUAAGCAAAGAUUUAUGAAUUAUGCUUUUAUAAUAAGAAAAUGAUGUUAUGGAAUUAAAGCAUUUUGGACUAAAAUGAAAGUAAUUUCAAAAUCUUUGAUAGUGUUUUAAAUUUCGGAUUUGGACCUAUUUGAAACUAUUUAAAUGUUUUUGGGCCAUUCUAAACUUUCACAAAGUUUGGGCGAAAUCAUAAUUUCAGAAAGUUUUGGGAUUAACGAAGCAUUACUUAGAAAUUCUAAAAUUGGACUUAUUUGCAAACUUUUAUAACGUUUUGGGCUAUACUAUAGUUUUAUAAAAUUUGGGGGUCAAACUAAAAAUUUAGGAAAAUUUUCACUGUAGCAGGUUACUGUAGCAAGCAGCUUACCGGAUAUAAAAAUUGGAAAACCGGAUACGGGGCAGUAAGCAUCCAGAACGCAAACGGCUUAUCGAAUUUCGUAACCGGCAAGCUGGAUAGGCAAAAUUCAAAAUUUUGCCUUAACGGUAACAUAAAUCCGGCUUACCAGAUUUCAUAAAUGGCAAACCGGAUACACCCAGAAUGUGAGUAACGGCUAGUUUUUCAGCUCAAACUAUAAGAACUCAAAUCCAACUCAUUUUGAAGCCCUCCCAACAAGCAAAAACAAAAAGCACACGUGAUAUCUUGAGCCUUCAAACUUGCGAAAUACAAAUAUUGAAUCAUUUCUUGUUCUUCAUUUUUGAAUAUCUACUCAUUGAGUGAGUUUCAUUGUAACCUUCAUUUAUUCAUCUCAAUUGUAAGAAUUUGAGUGUGUGAGACACUUGAGUGAAGAGAUUAGGAGAUAAUCUCUUUGUUGUAAAGGUUUAUUGACACCUCGAAGUCAAUUGUAAUCGCUGAAGCCUUGGAAAGGUUUGGAUAGUGAAAUCCUCAAGCUUGGAUUGCUUGGAGGUGUGGACGUAAGCGGGGAUUGCCGAACCAUGUAAAUAUUCGUGUGUUUGUUUCUCUUCUCCCUUACUCUUUAAUUUUUGUGCUUUUCUUGAACUUAUUGCUUUCAAUUUUUAUUAAGACAUUAGAUUGCUUGUUGUGUGGAUUUGCUAGGAUAAUUUUUAAAUUUUCAAUUCACCCCUCUCUUGGGUUGCAUACUUAUAUUUCAAUAUGUGCAGAACAUAACUAUCCUGCAGCAAAACAUCUUGAGGGGCACUCAUAUACAGGUAGACUUACUGAAAAAGAGAACAACUUAUUGAUUGAUGUGUCAAAAAGUAAUGCAAGGCUAAAGGAUAUACUAUAUACGAUAAAACAAAGAGAUAUAUAUAAUGCUACUACUAUGAGGUCUAUUUACAAUGCAAGAUAUAGAUACAAGGUUAAAGAACUAGCUGGUAGGUCAAAGAUGCAACUACUCAUGAGCAAAUUGACUGAACAUAACUACAUUGAGUGGUAUCGAAGUAAUGCUGAUACAGACAGUGUUAAAGACUUAUUUUGGGCUCAUCCUUUUGCAAUUGACCAAUUACGGGCAUUUCCACAUGUGUUAAUUAUGGAUUGCACAUACAAGACCAACAUGUAUGAUUUUCCAUUACUAGAGGUGGUUGGUGUCACCUCGACUGAGAUGACAUUUUCGGUAUGUUUUGCAUAUAUUGAACGCGAACGGGAGGAUAACUACAGUUGGGCACUAGAUAAAUUGAAAGGUUUUAUGGGUAAUAAUAUGUUACCGAGUGUAAUUGUGACAGAUCGAGAGGUAGCAUUAAUGAAUGCUAUUCAAAAUGUUUUCUCAACUACAACUCAUCUUCUGUGUAGAUGGCAUAUCUCAAAAAAUAUUUUAGCUAAUUGUAAGAAGUUAUUUGAGACUAAUGAGGUAUGGGAAUCUUUCAUUACUAGUUGGAAUAUAUUAGUACUAUCUGCCACAAAAGACCAUUAUAUGCAACACCUAAGACUUUUGGAGAGUGAAUUUGUUAGAUAUCAAGAAGCUAUUGAUUAUGUGAAGAACACAUGGCUGGAUAAGUACAAGGAAAAAUUUGUUGCAGCUUGGACUGAUUCAAUAAUGCAUUUAGGAAAUACGACCUCAAACAGGUAAAUAUUCAUUAAAAUAUAUUCUUAUAUUUAAUUUUAUUAUUGAAAAAAUAACUUUUUUUGGGUAUUUUCUUAACUGGGUUGAGACAUCUCAUUCAACAUUAAAAAGGAAACUACAAUCAUUGCGAGGAACUUUUGAGACGUUAUGGACUAAAAUCCAUGCUUUAGUAUAACUGCAGCAUACAAAGAUUAAAGUUUCGUUAGAGAGAAGUUCAACAACAGUGCAACAUGAUUUCAAACCUUCAGUUUUCAAGGAAUUGCGAGGAUUUGUUUCACGAAAUGCACUCAACAUGAUAGUUUGUGAGUCUAAACGAGCUGAUUAUAUUGGUCUAGAUCCAUUGGCUUGUGGAUGCGAAGUUCGACGCACUCAUGGAAUUCCAUGUGCACAUGAGAUUGCAAGGUAUAAGCGUGAAUGAAGACUUAUUCCUUUGUCUUCUAUACAUCCACAUUGGAAGAAACUAGACUUAUUACCUACUACCAAAGCUGAAACUACAGAUUUAAGUUGUUCAACUGAGAUGGAGAUGAUUUUGAAGUGUUUUAAUAAUAAUGAUUACACUGGAAAGUUACAGAUUUUGAAGAAGUUAAAAGAACUAGCAAAUCCAGCAUCAACUUAUCUUAUUGAGCCAGAAGCUACAGCAAGAACACGAGGCCGACCUUCUUCAAAGGUAGAUAAUUCUACUUGUCGAGAUCCAUCCAAAUUUGAACAUGUAUUAUCUGCACUGAAUAGUCAUUCUCCACAUUUAUCUUCAAGUAAGAUUUCUGUUAAAUCUAAAAUACAACAAAGAAAAAAAGUGCAUCAGUCUCAACUUCCUAAGCAUUCUUCUUUCAUUGAUUCAUUUCCACAAGGAUUGUGGCCAUAUAUACAUCAUGUUAAAGAUGUUGCUGCAGAUGGUCAUUGUGGCUUUCGUGUUGUGGCUGAUUUAAUUGGUUUGGGUGAGGAUAAUUGGAUUCAAGUGAGGAGGGACUUAAUUGAUGAAUUAAAAAGCCACUUUGAUUACUAUACCCAAAUAUUUAAGUAUGCAGGUAGAUCUGAUGAGAUUCUACAGUCACUUUCAUAUUUUGAAAGCAAUCCAUCAAAUGAUUAUUGGAUGACCUUCCCUGAAGCAGGAUAUCUUAUCGCUUCUAAAUAUAAUGUUGUGCUGAUAUUCUUAUCUCAACUUCAGUGUCUCAAUUUUCUUCCACUCAGAUCAACUCCAUUACCACGACCCUCUCAAAAGAUUAUUGCAAUUGGAUUCAUUCACAAUUGUCAUUUUAUAUAGGUAGUUUUUUAGACUUUUUGUUAAUAAUUAUUAUUUCAUACCACGACCCUCUAAGAAAAGAAAAAAAAAAGAUUUUUUUAACACUUGUUAACUAUGAUUUUUUCAAUAUUUUGCUUUUUUUAUUACAGGUAUUCAUGAAUCCAGGUUCACUGAUGCCACCAAUAGCAAGUAGUUGGUUAAAAUAUCAUUCUUUUAUAGCAGAAGGAUGGGCAACUCCAUAUGAUAGGAACAUUAUCGCUUUUAAAGAUUUAGUACCUAAUGUAGCAAGCAAAGACACAAUUGAUUUGGAUGAUCAAUAAGUGUUUCCAUUAUUUAUUGUUUUUUUAAAUGAUUUGGGCAAGUUGUUUUGUAAUAAGUAUUUAAGUUCAUAUAUUAUUUAGAAACUACAAUUUUAUCCAAAGAAACUGCAACAACUUAUUAACACUAAGAGGGGAUACAGAGCCACUGGUUGAAUGUAGUACCCAACUACCCAUUGUUACAAUAUUUGGAGUAAGAGCUACGAAAAUCGGUUUAUUUGCGCUAUUAGAUAUCAUGUCGAUGUUUUAAUUGCCUGGUUUUCUCAAAUCCUUAAAACUGAUUGUUAUUAGAAAGGAAUUAAUGGGGAAAGGAAAGUCAUGAAAAGUUCUUCUGUUGUAUUAACUGAAGUCAGGCAGUUGUUGCUUUGGAGAAGUUUGUACUAUCUGCUGAGUAUUUCAUUAAGAGGAAGCUAGAUUCGGAUUUUUUUUUUUAAAGAAGAGCUAUAUCCGGAUGUUGAUAUAUGAAUAAAUAAGAUUUAAUUGGUUUUAACUUUUGUUAUUUCUUGCAAGUGUAAAUGGGUUAAAAAACUGUUAAAUAUGUGAUAUGAGCGAGGAAAUUACCAUCAAAAGGGUUACUUGAGAGUUACAAUAGCUGUUUUUUAACCUAAUUCUACUUUGAUAGAUUCAUAAUGCAUGCUUAUUUAAGAAAUUUGGUCACUUUGGUGGUCAAAAUCUGCUCGGCAGUUGCAAAACUUCAUAUAUUGUAUAUAGAACAAAAAAAACAGUAAUGAUCAUUUUUACAAAGAAUGAAACUAAUAAUUUUAUUCAUUCAGUAAAAAUGACAUACACUUGGAAGACUAUUCAUAGCUAUGAUGAAAUACAUAAAUUCUCCAAUUUGUAAACAAAAAAACAACCAGUCAAGAUACUCAAAGAAUUGGAAAAGCCAAUACAAAUUGAAACUAACUACAAUUUUUAAAUAUAUAAUUUCUUGAAUUUGUAAACACCACACCUCGACAUGCUGAAGAAGGUAGCUGCACUUGCAGGAAAUUCCAGAACUAUCAUGUCUACCCCCUUGGCUAAUUCUUGUAUUUCUUUACUCACUUUGGGCUUGACAGACUUAGUAUGAUACUUUGAUUUUUCAGGAUUGACUCGGCAUUGUUCGUGGUCCAAUCCUUACUGGAAUUAUUAAAUUCUUUUCCAUGGCUAUGGUGGCGAUUAUGAGAAUUUUUUUUUGUUUUAAAAUAAUUUUUAUAAGUUUUAUAAAUGGGUGCAUGAAGUAAGAUUAAAAUUAUAACAAGGGUAAAUUAGGAAUUAAGUGGGGUAUAUUAAGAGAUAAAAAUUAUUUUAAAAUUUUUAAUGGGGUUAAUUGAAAAGUAGGGGUUUGUGAGAUAUAAUUAGGGGGUUAAAUAUCACCACUCCUACUGGUGUUAACAUGAGUGUUCAUAAAUUGUGGCACACGUUUAUAGGAAAGCAAUUAUUACACAAUUUAUUUAUUUAUCUUUUCCAGUAGUCACUAGUCAGCCAUUUCCUUGUACUGGGCCGGAUUUGUUAAGUUUUUAUGAUACGAUUACUAAACGAGAAUUGGAAUGGGUUGAGAUUAAAAUGAGCUAGAAUUAGAAUGAGUUGAAAUCAGAAUAAGUUGUUUAUUUAAACUGUAAGAAUUAAAAUCAAUUGUAUAAUCAGUGAUGUGUUCACUUUGUCUUACAAUCGAAAUCGGAAUGAGUUAAAUUAUUCCAAGUUACUAUAAAGUCCUUAAUUAAUUAUUGUCAUAAUUAUAAUUUUAUAUUUUAAUUAUUGUGAUUAUUAUUAUUCAGAAGUUAUUAAUUAUUAUUAUUAUUAGCAAUUUAACUCAAAAAUUAUUAUUGUUAAUAAUACAUUAAUUAAUUAUAAUACUUUUAUUAAUAAUAAUAAUCGUCGUCGUCAUCAAAUAACGAUGAUGAUGAUGAUGAUGAUGAUGAUGAUGAUGAUGAUAAUAAUAAUAAUAAUCAUCAUCAUCAUCAAUAGCAAUAAAUCGGAAUCGGUGGUGGCCAUCAUCAAACGAUGUCGAGAUCAUCAUCAACAUCGUGAAGAUGGAUAGUGAAGAUUGCAGUGGAGAUGAGCGAUGAAGAAGAUAACAAAGAUCAACGACGAUGAUAACGUGAAUGGCGAUAACAACAACGUGACCGGCGACAAUGAAAAUAAUGAUGGCAAUGGGGCCAAAAGGUGGCUGCGAUGGAGGCUAAAGGGUUUGAAAUGAAUGUUUGUUUUUUUUUCUUUUUUUCUUUUUUGCUAUUUAUAUUUUUAAUCUAAUGGAAAUUUAGAAUUUUAAAAUUCUGAUGGGAGCAAAUUUGGUAUUCUUAGGAAUGGAAAACUGAUUCUUUACCCUCCUUGAGAUCAAUCUCCAAUUUUCCAUUCCUAAUUUGAUGUGGGCACCACGAUUUCAAUUUCAUUUCAUGCCUUUAUUUUGUGAAGUAAUUGUUGUUAAUAAUUCUGAUUUCUCGAUCCGGAAAGUAAACACACCUUAAAGUUAAAUAAACCUUAUCUAUCUACUAACUAGUCUCCAUCUUCAAUUCAGGUGAGGUUUGGGGUGGUGAUUUAGUAGCAUAACGGUGAAUAAUUACAAAUUCUUUUGUUGCACUGUCGACCAAGUGUUACAUCUCAAAUUUAUUCUUAGAAAAUACUUAUAAAAAGUUAAAUAAUAAUAAUAUACAAAACAAAAGGUUGUGACUCUUCUUAAGUCAAGGAGCUAACGAUGUUGAAAAUGAUAUAUGAAGGGACAAGGAUGUGAGUGGAAUAGGUUGGGAAUUAGAGUACCAUCUAAGGUACACAAGGUGCUCUCACCGACCACCAAAUUAAGUUCCAUCUUCUUCCAAUCUUCUUUUACAUUCAUUUGAAAUUGACCUAGCAAUGAAAAGGAGAAAAAAUUAGUUUGUAAACAUGCGAAAAAGUAUAUGAUUUUCCCAUCAAAUGUGUUUUUAUUGUUUUUCAACUUUACAAAACUUCAAAACGAUGACAAUUUUUUUUUAUCUUUUAGUCUGAUGACAAUUAAAUUUUCUCCACCUAUGUGAGUGAGUCCGAACUUCAAAUUUCUUAUUUUUUACCUAAGAGAUAUUACUAGUUGAAUUAAUUAAUACCCAUGAAAUUUGUAUAUAUAUUGCUCACAAUUUUUUUUGUUUAUAGUAACAAUUUUUCAACAAAUUAUCGCUUAUACACAUCCUAAUUUAAGGAGAAGAAAAUUAGAAUGUAAACAUGCGAAAAAGUUGUCAUCAAUAACAAAAAAAAGUUGCUAUUAAAAACGAAAAAAACUUGUGUGUUCACAAGUAACAUAUGUUGUAACUCGUGGCCUUGUUAAAAUAUCUCACGUUUGCACAUUGUGCCAAUUACUUUGAAGAACCUUCGUCUUUUGUGCGAACCUUCGUCUUUUGUGCGAACCUUCGUCUUUAGAAUACCACCAAAAGCCAUUGAAUCUCUUCUGAAGAAUCUUUAGACCCGUCUAGGGACAAACUUAUUUGUAAACAAGUUCACGAUGAUCGGACAGAUAAUCUCUAUUUCUAAAACCAAGUUAACCCUAAAGAGUAAUUCAUAAUCACUCCAUAUAUAAAUGCCACUAACCAACUGCUUCAUUCGAGAAUAACAAAGGAAUAUAUAGAAAUAAAAUAGAUAAAAUGGGGGUGGUACUGUAAUCAUGGUUGUUACUUAACCACCGAUGGUUUAAAUUUAUUCUUAACUUUCAAACAAAUCAUCAUGUGUCCCGUCGGGUUACUAUCUGAUGCAUAACAUGAAAGGCAUUUUCCAACCAUUAAUUACCUUCGUGAGUAAGCAGUUGUGAACUAAUUUGAUCAUACGGCCAAACACAUACUCUUUGGCAUACCUUCAAAAUUACUCUAAAAACUACUUCUUGAAAGCAAUUUUUAUUUGUUCAUUAUGUGACUCUUGCCUCAUUGUUGGUGAGUCAAAAAGAUACUGCUAAAAAAAGAACUUAGGAUGUAUCCAAAAGCUUUAAAGCAAAGCAGUCAAAAGUUUAUCAUUGUGACAUGCUUUAUAGAUUUAUUAUGUACGCAAUCUACAUGUUGCAACAUUGAUUUUACUAUUGUUUUUAAUUAAAUAUGUGAAAUCACAUCUUAUUAGGUUUAUGAUGUGGUGUUCGCAAAUGGGAGAAAGCAUCUUUGAAGCAACUGUGUAUCAAUAAUUUAAAUUUUUUCUUAAUUGAUGAUAUAAAUUUAUAAGAAAAGAGAGGGAGAGAGUUGAUACUUUUUUAACCUUUAGGUCCUUGACAAAUUUUUAAACCUUACUUCAUCUAUAUUGUUAAAAUAAUUAUAGAAAAAGCCAUACAUAAUUAAAGGGUAAAUAUUAUUGUUUAAAAAAAAAAAACAACGUCAAGAAUGGAAUGGAGUAUUAAAAAUUCAUACUUAAGUGGUAAAAAACCAUACAUAAUUAAAGGGUAAUUGACAUGUCUCAAUUAUGACCAAUUGCAGAACAUGCCCUUUAGUUUUCUCACAAACUUAGUGAAAGGGAGAGAAUAAUUUAAAUUUUUUCUUAAUUGAUGAUAUAUAUUUAUAAGAAAAGAGAGGGAGAGAAUUGAUACUUCGGUUUUUCUUAUAUUCUUUUUAACGUUUAGGUCCUUGAUAAAUUUUUAAUACCCUACUUCAUCUAUAUUGUUAAAAUAAUUAUAGAAAAAAAACCAUACAUAAUUAAAGGGUAAUUGACAUGUCUCAAUUAUGACCAAUUGCAGAACAUGCCCUUAUUUUUCUCACAAACUUAGUGAAACUAGGUUUUAUUAUCCAUUUGACAUUCACCAUAUGUAUUUGAUGUUAUGGUUCAUAGUUCAUUGAGUGAUUGAUCCACAUUUUAAAAUAUGACAACCAUAUUUUUAUAAGAGAACUGUUAUUUAACGUUGGAAAUUAUUAUUUAUAAAGCUUGUAAGAAACAUGUAAUAACUACUAAUUAUUCUAUUAUGCUAAUUAUUCGAGUUUCUAAGAUCUUGAUAGAUGUAUAGUUCCUCUGUAAUGAGAACAUCCACAUUUUGUUGAAGUGAGAAUACUAAUAAAAUACAAAAACUCACAGAUUUCAAUUUAUUGAAAACUAUAUUUUUUUAUUUGUUAGUGGCAUUCUCACUUUUUUUGCAUAGAGAUGUCUUCAUUAGAGAAUGAUAAUGACGACGAUGAUGAUGAUAUAGAGCAUAUAUAUCUUUCUAGCAUCUUGCUUAGGUAGGUAUGUAAUAUAUACCUAAUAAAAUAAAGUUCAACCUACUAUUGGUCUUCAAAUUAAAGUUUUAAACUAAUAAAUUUUCAGGUCUACCAGCUUAGUUGAGAUUCAUAAUUAAUUUUCCUCAUGAACAUAGUUUUAGUUGAGGGGAUACCAUAAUUUGUUCAUCAAUGAGUUUUUAUCUACUCGACAUAUUAUAUUUAUAUACCUUAAAUAACGUUAUCAGUUAGUAGUUGAUCAAGAUAAAUAUCAAGAGAGUGGAGACAUAAAAUUAAAUGUUUGACCAUAAAUACUAACUCCAACUAACCAAGUUUAACUUCUCUUGUAAACUGAAAACGGAACUAAUAAGAGGCCUAUGAUUAGCUUAGUAUCUUAUUUGCUAACCUAAAUCGGUGUCCUAAAAAACGACUUUAUGUGACAUGCAAGAUAUCAUUCAUAGAGACAUUUGGCAUUAUUUCAGAAACCUUGUUUUUCAAGAAUAAGUUCAUUCACCUAAUUAAGGAAAAACGACAUGGCAGCAAUUCUCUUCAUCUCCUAUAUAAGUUUGCGUUAGCCCGUCAUACACUUGCAACAAUUCCAUUAAGAUAAAUCCAAAACAAGUGAGAAAAUAACAAGAGUGAUCAAGUGGGAUUUGAAAAGGAGAUAAAGAAAGAGAUGGACUCCUGGGUUCGGCUUCUUCUUCUCGUAGCAUGCCUUUUUCCGGCUCUCGUCGAGUGCCGGGUUCGCCAUUACAAGUUCAAUGUAAGUGCAUUGUUCAUUCAUUUCAUAUACAUAUACUUAUGGAUACACAUAUACAUACAUUCGCAUGUAUAUAUGUAUGUAUUAUUCUUAAUUCUAAUGAUAGAAAAUGUAUUUUUCCAUUUCUAGUAAAAUAAAUAAUCAAUAAUAGUCAUGUACAAGUGAUUGAGCCAAUCUUUAUGUAUAUAAGUUUCAUAAUUUGGUCUCAUCAACUUGACUUAAAAAUGGAAGCUUUGCAUCAUGUAAAAGACAAUUCAAAAUUUAUUAAUUUUUAACAGUUGUUAUUUUUUAUUUGCUGUGGGGGAAUUAUCUUCACAGGUGGUGAUGAAGAAUAGCACUAAAUUGUGUUCAUCCAAGCCAAUUGUCACAGUUAAUCGCAAGUUCCCGGGACCCACUCUCUAUGCGAGGGAACAUGACACAGUGCUGGUCAAAGUAGUCAACCAUGUCAAAUAUAAUGUCACUAUCCACUGGUAAAAAUUAAUUCAUCAAUACCCACUAAAAUAAUAAUAAUAAUAAUAAUAAUAAUAAUAAUAAUAACAAUAAUGACAAUAACAACAACAACACAACAAAAAAUAAAUUAAAUAUUUCCACCUAAGUAUGUCUUUUAAUUGAUUCAAUAGGCAUGGUGUCCGGCAACUGAGAACCGGCUGGGCCGAUGGACCAGCAUACAUAACACAAUGUCCAAUUCAGUCAGGGCAAAGCUAUCUGUACAAUUUCACAAUCACAGGCCAACGGGGCACACUUCUUUGGCAUGCACACAUUCUCUGGCUCCGGGCCACCGUACACGGCGCUAUCGUCAUCUUGCCGAAGCGCGGCGUUCCUUACCCUUUCCCCAAACCCCACAAGGAAGUCGUCGUCGUCCUCGCCGAGUGGUGGAAAUCCGACACUGAAGCUGUCAUCAACCAAGCUUUGCAGUCCGGAUUGGCCCCUAAUGUCUCUGAUUCCCACACCAUUAACGGACAACCAGGACCCAUCUCCAGUUGCUCGUCACAGGGUAAACUGUUGCGCUUUGCUUAACUUUGAAAGCACAAGGGCAAUUAAAAUCCUUCCAGUAAACACAUUUUGAUAUUUCUUAUGUAUGAAUGCGCAUGCAGGAGGCUUUACAUUGCCGGUGGACAGCGGCAAAACCUACAUGCUACGAAUAAUCAAUGCUGCACUCAAUGAAGAGCUAUUCUUCAAAAUAGCAGGACACAAGCUAACUGUUGUUGAAGUUGAUGCCACUUAUGUUAAACCAUUCAAAACAGACAAUAUUGUAAUAGCUCCAGGCCAAACCACCAAUGUCCUGCUCUCUGCUGACAAAACAUCCGGAAAAUACCUCGUUGCCGCCUCGCCGUUCAUGGACGCUCCGAUUGCAGUAGACAACGUGACCGCCACCGCCACGUUACACUACUCCGGCACACUCGCCAGCUCCGCCACAACUCUCACCAGCACUCCUCCGAAAAACGGCACCGCCAUUGCCAACAAAUUUAUUGACUCUCUCCGUAGCUUGAACUCCAAGAAAUACCCAGCUAAAGUCCCACAAACAGUUGAUCACAAUCUCUUGUUCACAGUUGGGCUUGGAGUUAACCCCUGCCCUUCUUGCAAAGCCGGUAACGGCAGCCGUGUUGUGGCUUCAAUCAACAACGUCACAUUUGUUAUGCCAACGAUUGCGUUGCUUCAGGCUCAUUUUUUCAACAUCAGUGGAGUUUUCACUACCGAUUUUCCUGGCAACCCACCGCAUACUUAUAACUUCACCGGCACUCCAACAAAUCUGCAGACUUCCAAUGGAACAAAAGCUUACAGGCUAGCUUACAACUCUACAGUUCAGCUAAUUUUACAAGAUACAGGAAUCAUAGCCCCUGAGAACCAUCCAGUCCAUUUACACGGAUUCAAUUUCUUUGCCGUCGGUAAGGGACUUGGUAACUUCAAUCCCAAGAAAGAUCCUAAGAAGUUUAAUCUUGUUAAUCCUGUUGAAAGGAACACAAUUGGAGUCCCAUCUGGGGGAUGGGUUGCUAUCAGAUUCCGCGCAGAUAAUCCAGGUAAACAAAUUGUUAAUACUAUUGAUGGGUCCUCACUUAAUCAAUCAAUCUUCGGGUCUCUCAUUCAUUAAUUUUCUUUUUUAAAAUUUUUGUAGGAGUAUGGUUUAUGCAUUGCCAUCUGGAAGUACACACAACAUGGGGAUUGAAGAUGGCAUUUUUGGUUGACAAUGGCAAAGGCCCUAAUGAGUCACUUUUGCCACCUCCAAGUGAUCUUCCAAAGUGUUAAAAGAAACCGGAAAAACAAUGCAUAUUUAAAUUUACAAAGCAGAGAGAUCUCCUCUUCAAGAAAAAGAGUUUGCUGGAGAAGAAGGAUGCAGCAUAAAAAGAGAGUGUUAAUAAGCGGGGGUAAAAAAGGCGAGAGACAGAAUCCAAUUAUUUCUUGAGUGAAUGCAAAUUUUUGCUCAAGCGUGUGUGAAUAAUAUUUGUAAAAGCGUUUCCGUAAAUGAAAUUUUUUCAAGAAUUUGUUCAUUAAUUUCUUUAUUCUUACUUUACUCGUUCAUGAUCUAAAUUUUAAAGAAUCUUCGCAUGGGAGAUAGCUUGUUUCUAAAGUGGCAUAAUUAGUGUAACAGAUUCAAAACUGAGGAUUGGCUAAUCCAGACUAGAAGAUGGUCGUUCUACUGAAGGAAAAUUGACUUUGGUAAUUUAAUUUGCAGUAACUAUCUAUUUGUGUUUCAUUUACUUACGGCAUGUCAUUUCCCUAUGAUAUCCCCUGUAACCCACUUGGCGUUUAUCUCCCAGUAUCCCAACUUCAUCAAAUUUGUUAAUUAUUUACAAAGAUGGUUUUUCAACCAAAAACUUAACGUUCGAACUUUUUGAUUUGCGUUUACUUCGUUGGUGCUAGUUAGUGUAGUGGGUAACGUAACGAGUUAAACGAAAAAGGUCCAUUGCACUCCCCUCCAGUGCUCAAAGCCCGAAUCAAAACCGAAAGAAAAGUUGGGCCUUUGAGUGGACACCGAUGGAGAUUGAGUUAACGAUCUGGGCAAUGCAUUUCAUUGCGGUUGGAUGCAUGCGAAGGCACCACACCCACAAUUAAAAUCAUGCCAAUUCUUGAAUUGAAUCCAAUUAUGGGUGCUUUUAAUUUGAUUGGGACCCUGUAAAAGAAAAGCUCCAACGAUUGCACAUGAAAUGGAAGAGGCUUCCCUGUGGCCACUGUCCUCCUCCUCCUUUGUUAGACACAAUGGUGACAAUUCAAAACAAAGAUUCCAUUUCUGUCACAAAAGUUUCAACUUUGAUCAUCAUUUCGCUACAAAGACACCAUUUCAAUCAAUCAAAAACAGAAAAGGUAAUUUGGAACAUUUGGAGUUCUUCUAUUCUGGGACUGACAAGUACCCACGGAAUCAUAAACACCAAUAAAGCAAUUGUUGUAUUGUAUCCAUCAAUGCCCCCCCAGUACAUCAAAUAUCCCACAAAGUCUUAUUAAAAAUCUCUUUUUGAUUUCGGAGUGCAAUACAAAAGUUGUGUAACAUCAAUGACGACAAUACUACUGGUAUUAGCAGCAUCAUUAACUUGUGUUUUGAGUAGCAACAAAUUUCGCAAUCGCAAUGCUUCUCAUUUUUCAGUAAUUAAGCAGAGGGUAGCCAAACUUAUGAUGGUGACAUCUCACCAGCGCAAUAAUGGAGGUCAUAAGAAGCCUUAGAUUUUCGUUACCAAUAUUUGGCAUUGAAAUUUUACCUGAUGGCGUUGCUUCUUUAUAUAUGUGUGUGUGUACACACAAACUUAUAUGCAUAUUAUUAUCAUAAAUUUAUUGAUAUAAAUAAUCAGAAAUCAGCCCUCAAAGGCGUGGUCGGAUUAAUUGCAGUGCAGCUGUAAUUUCUAACAGGUUCAAUUCUUAAGGGUGAUAAAGGAGGUAAAAACUAUAUUUGAACUUGACUACCCCCCUUACCUUUAAAAAAAACAAUAAUAAUAAAUCUACUUAAUUUAUUAUAGAUUAAAUCUAUAAUGACACAGUCUUAAUUUCUACUAUCACUUAAUAUUGGAGAAAUAUACUAUCCCACCCAUAUCAAUAAUAAAAAAAAUAUUUAUUCUUACUCAAUUAAAUUAAAAAAAAAUAAUUGUAAUAAUCGUGACUAAGGACACCCAUGGGUUCGCGAAUACACUAUUGUCCUUGGACUCUAAUUUCGGCUUCGAUAUAUGAGCCAUGCCAGCAUUAUGGAAUGAAAAGGCAGCAAGGACUUCAUUAAAAUAUCAAUUGGGGGAAUGGGGACCAAUCUGCCCAUUCAUUUUCGCUCCACUCUCUACUUUUAUUUAACUUUUAGUUAAUUAAAGAGCUCUUCGAUUUGCAAACUCCCAUCAACAAAUAAAAGCGUGUAUAAUCUUUUUUAAUUCUUGAAUGAAGUUUGAGUCUACUUAAUUAUUUAUUUAUUCAAAAUUUUACUCAAAUCGAAUAAUUUUUUUUUAUUUAUGUAAAUAAAGUUUAAAAUUUGAGAUUUUUUGUACUACUUAUGAAAUUUUAAUUUUACUAAUUAAAUUCACUAGCGCUCAUUUAAGUUCAUUCAAAAUAUUUUUAAGAAUAAGAAUAUGUUAAUAAAUCUAAUCCAAAUUAUAUCUAUACAUAAAAUUAAGUGAAAUUUAUUCUUAUCUUCUAAUAAGAGAUGGUCAUAGAGAUUCAAACUCUAAAUAAAUUAUAAGUCUAAUUAUUGGACCAACCUCUCGCCCUAAUAAAAGUGCAGUCCCAAUCUACAUGUGGAAAGGGCAUUCAAAGAAAUUCAAACAAACAGAGAGCUUGAGAAAUUAAUAAUUUGGAUACCCAUGGUCAUGGCAUUGAAUGGAGUGUUACUAUAUAAUUUUAUUUUAUUUUUUUCCCCUCCCUUGGAAGGUGCAUUUUUUAAUGUAUUUGCUAGUUGUACAAACCACCCACAUGAUGCACAUCUAGAGGCAGGCUUCAACACAACUACACCAGAAAGAAACGGACAAUUAGACAAAUAGAAAAUUAGAGAAAAUAAUUCGUGUCCACGAUCUCAGAUUAAUCAAUUAUCACUUUUAAUUAAUUUUUUUUUUUUAAAAAAAAAGAUAAAGAUUCUUUCCAUUUUUGGAAACACACAGUUUGUUUAGGCAGUCUUGUCAUUCCCAAAACAGUUGUUUUAAAGUUUAAACACCCUUUUCAAAGUCUCUGAGUGGGAGACAAUUAUUUUGAAAAUUAUUAUUAAAAAUUAGAAAAAAUCAUAUAAUUCACAUAAAUAAAUGUAUGAAGCAUUUGUCCAUGUUUGUGACUUCCACCAUCAAUCCAUCAUCAAGUAAGUUACUCUUAAAGAGUAAUUUGGGUUCAAGUUCCAAUUCGUGAUACUUUCUUGCUUGCCAUUGACAUUUUCUUUAAGGUUGAUCAUAGAAUAGAUUUAGUAACUCGUUUAGAGGAUAUUGGAACUACAAAACAAGCAGUGUUUCAAUAAUGGCCUUUCAUUUCUUGGCAAAAUUGGAAAAAAAAUUAUUGUUAUUAUUAUUACUACUACUACUACUAUUAUUACGACUGUUGAGCUUUUAGUGCACAAUUUUAGGCCAAAAGAUUGAACCAACCUCUCCAACAAACUACAUGUCUAUUGAUUCUUUUUAAAUAUUUAAUACAUGGAUUGCAAAGACGAAAGCAACCCAUUAACUUUCUGCAACAUGAAUAAUAUAAUCAAAUGUCAAAUGAUUAGGAUUUAGUGUUGAACUAAAUUUGUUGUUGAAUACUGAAUCAAUGAUUAGAAUUGAUUUAAAUUUUAUUUUUUUUUAUUUCUCUUGUUUAACAACCAUUGAUUCAGCACUGAGCAAAAAUUCAACCCAGUACUAAAUCCUUAUUCAAUGUCAAAAUGGUGAAAUAAAACAAAUGUCAGCCUCAGUUACAACCAUCUAUCAACAUAUAAAUUCCAUAUAGAACUAUAAACACCAAGUAAAAUUUUUAGUCAAAUAAAUUAUUCAAAUUCUACAACCAAGGACAAAAUUAUAUUACCCGGAUGCAACUUAUCCACAGUUUUCUCAUUUUCUAUUUCAAUUACACUGAGUAUCUGUUGUUUGCUGUAAAAUGUCAAAAACAAAUAGUUAUCAUAAAAUACCCAACAUUAUACAAAGGUUGGUAAUAAUUUUUUUUUAAUAUAAUAAACCAAAGUCUAAUAUACAACUGAAACCCUUAAUAUUGUUGAAUUAUGCAAAUUCAACACAUAAUCUCACAAUCAUUAAGGAGAUUUCAAACUCCAUCUUAAGGUUAAGGAAGAGAAGUGCCAACUUAGUGGAGGGAAGCGGGGAAAAAAACUCUUAGCUCAUGUUUGGUUGGUCAGUUUCAUUUUUAUUGUUUGGAUGGUAAAAGAAUUCAUUUUUCUCCCCUUAUUUUUUUUUUUUCCCUCUUCUCCUUUCUUAUUCUCUCCUUUUUUUAUAUUUCUUCAAACCAAACAUGUCAUAAAUCCCUAAUAAACGAAUGUAAUAAUUUAUCUUUCCUUAUAUUGGAGAGGGCCAUUACCUUUCCCGGUGUCGGCCCAAAGAAUCAGUUUGAAAGUCCGAACUAUUAACCAAUUUAAAAGGCCACACACUCAAUGGACCCCACAAACCCAAUGGCUUUAAUUUUAUUUAAAAGUGUCUUGACUCGGCUCAAGCAAGUGCCGUCGUGGGGCUACAACCAACAAGCCUUUAUUAUGCAUUUCAAAAAUCAAAAUCAAAUGUUAGUGGAACAAUUCAGCCUAUUUUCUACAUAUUAUGUCAAUAAAUUAAAUAGCUCUGUCAUUAAUUAUAUUGUUGAACUAAUAUUGAAAUUUCAUGUCGGAUUAGAGUAAUUACAUGUUUAUAAAGUUGUACAUAAAAAUUGCAUCUUGAAUGAUGUGGUCACACGUUACUUUUAUUAAUGCAGUGAGAUUGUCACAUUAAUAUUAAUAUGUUUGUGUAAAAAAUUAAUUAUUAUUAAAUACAUGACAAUAAUUUAUUGAUGUCACAUUAUUUGGAAUAUAAGUUUUGUGUCUAAAAUUUGUAAGUAUGGUUGCUAUCCUUUCACUGCGCCAAGUGUUGUGAAAUAACAAAUCAUUAUAUGAAUUAUUGAAAGAUAACACUUCUCAACAUUAACUUUUUUUUUUUCAAAACAACAACUUACUACAUUUCCAUCGCUGUCAUUAGUCUAAUGUUACACUGACGUCAUAUGGGCAAAAUAGUUUUUUCAUCGAAUGAAGUCCAAUUUUGUAUUAAGUUUUAGGAUUAUUGUCAUUUUACUACACCAAGUAUAGCAUAAUAAAAAACCACUACAUAAAUUAUUGAAACGUAGUAUUUCAUUGCAUUAACUUAAAAAAAACAAUUUAAUACAUUUUCAUUAGUUUACUAUUAAUCAUGCAACAAAUCAAUAGCAAAGCUAACACUAUCAUUUAAUUAUCAUUACAAAUUUAAGUAGAGAUGAUUUUUUAUUUCGCAUCGAGAGUAAGACAAAAUUGUAAAUUCAUGUGUUAUUGAUUUAUAAUGUUUUCUUUUAUUUUAAGAGUUAUUCAUUAAAAGAAAAUUUUGAUAUUUUAUAAGUCGAUUAACAAAAAUGACGAAAAUAUAAUAAAUUAUUAUUUUUAAAACGUUUGUUUAAUAAAGUGUUAUCUUUUAAUAAUUUAUACAUCCAUUUAUUAUUUCGGAACCCUUAAUGUAGUGAAUGGAUAAAAACGCUGGUAAGUAUAUUCCGACUGGUCAAAUUAACAUUAAUGAGAGGGAAUAUGACCCUUAAUUAACAAUGUAUUAAAUAUGAGUUGACCAUAUUAAUGAAAGCAACAACACAUCAUAAAAUUUGCAUCUGGCCCUCACCUGUAUUGGGGUCAAACUAAUGAUUUGUGUGGGCGUAUAAUAAUGUUUCUACUUAAUGAACUUCUCUUCGCCACUAAUAAAAAAUUUGUAUGCAAUAAACAUCCCUAAUCCCAAAAGUAAUUAAUUAAUCGAAAAUAUAUAUUUAAAUAAAAAAAUCGAACUGGAAAAAUAUUCACACGAUUAUUACUUUGACUUGAAAUUCCAAAUCUAAAAAAACUAACGAAAUUAAUAUUUUUCGUUAAAAUCAAACUAAAAUCAAGAGAUGAUCCAUUACUCAGGAUUAAGAGAGAGAUAGACCAUUACCCAAUCAUUACUUAAAUUAAAAAAAAAAAAAGAUAAAAUCAAUUUAAUAGAAAUUCAGAUCAAAUAUCAUUUUACAUUUUUAAACCUCAUAAAUUAUAUUCUAAAUAGAAAUAUACAAAUUUAGGAAUAUAACCGUAGAGUUUGAUAAUUUUUUCUUCUAAACUCGAUCUUUUUUUCCCCUUUCCUCCUUGUAGAGACUAAUUAUUUGCCUUAUUAUAAUGAAAUAUUUUGGAUUCAAACAAUUGGUUUAAAAUGGACUUUCUUUUCUAAUUUCUCCUUCAAGAACAAAUAGGCUGGUUAGGUAAAGAAGUCCUAAUUAAGUCAAUUGAUAAUCCCAUUACGCAACCAGGCACAAUUUGCUUGCCGAGUUUUAAUUUUUCACUUUUCAGUGUGAUUCAAUUUAUUCUUGCUAAUGUAAUGUGCUUUUUGACAGAGAGUAUCAUCAGCACGGGACAAACAUCUCACGUGCUACAGCUAAAGUGCUAAACGUCAACUCCAUUGUUCAUUGUUCAAAGUUGGAUUUUCUUUGUAAAAUGACAAUAAUAUCCACAGCUAAUCCUUCUUUAGAUAAUUUUCCAUUUUAUCCCUAUAGUUUGCAAAAGUAACAAACAGGUCCAGUCACAUUUAUCAACCGGCUCACACAAUGACACAAUUAUGUCCUUUUUUUUAUUGAGUGAUGAUACAGUUACAAACUCUUGUACAAAUUCAUCUUGUAUAAAUUAAUGUGACAUUAAUUUAUUGGUUAAAUGAAAAUAUAAAAUAAUAAAAAUAAAUCAUGUGGGCCAAGAGAUAUUUAAUUCAACAAAUUUAAUCAUGUCACAUCAGUUUGUACAAGAUAAGUUUGUACAAGAGUUUGUGGCUAUAUCAUUACUCUUUUUUUAUUUUCUAAUUUCAUUGAAAAAAAAUUGACAAUAAAACAACAUGCUACGAUACUAAUACAUUGUUCAACAUUAUAAUUGAUUUACGAUAUUAGUAUAAUGAUCUAAUUUAUUAAGUCAUUUCUUAGUUAUUAAUAAUUAAAGAGAAAGCAAGGCACUGAAUAAUUAAUAUGCAACAAUAAUUUUGAGCUUUCAAUCGAUCAAUUUUUCAUGACUUUUUCAGCAUCAUACUCUACCACCAUAAUUGACUCUUCUAUAUGACAUAAUGAUGACUUAUCUUUUGAAAUCAAUCUUAUAAGACUUAUAAUUUUCUUAAUAAGAACUUAAGAGAUUUCAAAUUUAAAAAACAACUCAUUGUGACAUAAAAAAAUCACAAAAAAUAAUUAUAACCACUACAGACAUGAGUUUGAGUCAAAGAACUACACUUACAUUCAAAGAACUACACUUACAUGAAGAGAAAAGAUAAAAAUUAAUAGUAAAAAAAAAUAUUUUCCCUAAUGGAAAGAAGAAGAAGAAAUAGAGUUGAUGAUUACAAUGAGAACAAAAAAAAAAUCCGAAUGUAAUUAAUAAAUCACUUACAUAAAAAUUAAAAUGAAUAAUUUGAAGGUAUGAGAAUUGUAUCAAUAGCAAACUACCUAAGUCUUAUUUGACUAUGAUAAUUAUUUCAUACGUAUACUAAAAGUAUAAUGUUUUUUUUUUUUUUUAUUACAUGAGACUAUUGCUCAUAUUACAACUCAUAUACAUGAGACUAUUACUGAUAUUUACAAAUCAGACUAUUACUGGGACCAACUGACAUCAAUGCUAAUGGAGCUCUGCCCAGAUUUUAACCCUCACAAAUAUUCGAGGGAUGUCUACUCCUCACUCAUGGGUAAGAGAGAAGACUACCUUCACUCAAAUUAAUUGAAGAAGGAAAUACCCCCACAAUACUUUUGUGGGGGUUCGAACCGCUGCCCUCCAAGUUGGAGGGCAGCAGCCCUGGCCACUCGGGC